GGCUACUCUCGAGCAAAAUGAACGCAGCCACGCUAUUUUCUCCGGAUUUUAAUAGCCGUUUGGACAAAGGUUUUUGUGCAUAACCUUUGGGGCCUAAUUCCGUUGGUUUUUCUUUGAAUAUUUUGAGGUGGACUAGUACCCUCAUGACGCGGUAUAGGCGAGAAGGAUCACAACUUAGAGCAGACGAGAGCUCUAAGAGUGUCAUGGGGCUGCCAUGGCUUUCAAUUGCAUCCGCUAUCCCGAGUUCAAUGGCGCAUUUUACAACGCGAUUUUAACAAAUCCGAACACAUAUUUCCACACAUCCACUUUCGCACGCUCUUCUUCUUCUUCCCACGUUAACUCUCUUUUUGUAUCUUCCGUUUUUUCUCUGCGUGUGCGUCUUGUUGUCGAAAGCUCAACAAAAUGUGCAAGAUCGUGAGUGGAAACAAACAAUGACAAGGAAGAGAUAAACAAACAAUGAAACCAAGUAACACACAGAAAUAAUGGGUUAGUUGGUCUCUUUUCACUCUAUUUCAUUGGCUCCGUAAGAAGCUCUUUAUAUUACAAACUAUAUAGCCAAUAUCUAAAACCAUUAACUACAUGUUCCCACCUCACUUGACAACAUUUAUUGCGAGUACUAGCUAUUUGGGUUAAUAUUUGAACAUUGGACUACAAGUAUGUGGAAGCCCAAUGAUGCCGAUUAAAAGAAAACUUGCCCGAAACCCAUCAUCGAGCCCAUAGACAAGUUGGCACCUUCCCAUUAAUGCAUAGGUCAUGUGCCUAUGAUUUAAAAUGUCAAGUGAUGGGGACUAACUCACAAUCGGCCAAAAACCACUUUUCAGUGGCAACACAAGUAAAAAGCUGAUGACUCACUACCCUCCAAGUGUUUUCGGGCAAGAGCAAAGUCACUAUAGUCGGGCUAAACUGCCUAUAAAAGGAGGAAGAGGCCCAAGAGACAAAGAUACUCAACCAAUCAAACAAACAAACAUACAAAUUCUGGUCUCAAGCCAGAUUUGCAUCUAAAAGCUGUAAUCAGCCCAGAUCUCAAUAAUUUUAGGAUCAUUCCCUACAAAAGCCAUCUUUUGUCUAGUUUAGAAGCUCUGCUAUCACCCCUAGUGGCUUAGUAUCGAUUCCCUUGUGUAAACUUGUUUACCAUCCAUCCCUUUUUUAGCAUAUAAACCCUGUAAACUCAAAAGAGAAGUGAUUGCAAGAAGUUCAACCUUACCCGACAAGGUGAAAUCUUGCUCAAAGCUCUUUGUUUGUUUUAUAAGUUAAUAGAUCUACUACUUAAUGUCUUCUCCAACAUGUUUUCAAGUCAUUUCCAUCAGUUUUCCCAUUAUAAGUGUUCCAUUUGCAUCCAGAUCUGGUUAGUUUAAUGGACAUGCUAUCAUUAAAAUCAAUCAAGAACCAAGUAAAUGACUUAAGGGGAUCUGAACUCCCUCCAUUCGAACAUACAAGACUAUGAACUAAAAGACCUUGUUCGCAAGGCAAGAAAAAGAACUUAAUGUGGACUUAACCCAUCCACGACAAUCCUUUGAUAACAAGAAGUUUGAGUAACUUGGGGCACAAGUAAUUGACUAAACACAAUCUUGUUCUACAUUUGCUAUACUGAGAUAGUAGUGCACGCCUAGCACUUGGUUAGUUUUGAUUGCGAGCCUCAAUGCCUAUACCUAAGUCCCCACAAAGGCACAUUUCAAAACUAACUCUAUCCUUUUCUUGCAGCACAUUAGCAAGCAAGAGUCUGACUACACAUCUAGACCCGGCAGUUUCUGACACGACACGGUGACACGACACGAAAAUGACACGAAAAUACCGAGUUUCGGGUCAACAUGAUAACUUAUCGAGUGACCCGUUAAGAACCCGUUAAUAACGGGUUCUUAACGGGUAUACACGCGGGUAACACGUGGGUAACCUGUUUCGACCCGUUAAGAAAAAAAUUAUUUUGAUAAUUUUAAAGUUUAAUUACUAAAAGAUUUAUUAUAAAAUACAAUAGCCAUAUUAAUAUAUACAAUAUAUUCUAUAUUAAAUAUAUAGUUUUGUAUUAUUAUUCUUUAUAAGUUAAAAAAAAAGUUUUAGUCAUUAUUUAUUUUUAUUAUGAGAGCUCCUUAUUAUCAUUAUCAGGAUAAAUAUUACUUAACAUAUUGUUGUCCAAAAUUAAAAUAAACUAAUAUAGUAUUUGUAUAGGCAAGAACUAAGAAGACACACAUACAAGUAUGAAAAAUGUGAAAGAAUAUAUAAACACUCGUGAUUCAUCAUUAUUCCUCCACGAGUAGAUAAUGGUUACACUUACAUUAUCGUUUAGAUUUUUAAAAUCCUCCAAACCUUCAUGAAUAAUGUUUUUUAUUUGAGGGAAAAAUUAAUAAAAUUAAUAAUUAUUAUUGUAUAAGUGUAAAAAAUGUAAAAAAAAAAAUACAAUCACUCAUAGUGACAAACUUUACAACUUUCAUGAAGGGGUUAGCUUCGAAAUCCAGCACUAUAAUUCAUAAACCUUAAAUUUAUAUUUAACCGUCGAUUGCCAUUUACGCUUUAUUCUUCUUACUGAAUUUCAUUUUUAAAAUUUUCUUUUUUGAAAACAUGAUCAUUUGGCGGAUGUAAGAAGAUAAACGGUUUAGAUCUUUGAUAUCAUGUUUCGAUAUUUAUGUUUAAUUGAAAUAUGAGUCGAUGUCAUAUAGUUUGUAGAAACUUUAUAAACAUCAAGCAAUAUUUUCACUAACCGUAAAACUCUGAAUAUAAUAUCAAUGAUCCAAACCGUUCAUCUUCCUGCAUCCUCUAAUAUAUCAAGUUUUCAAAAAAGAAAAUCUGAAAAAAAAUAAAAUUUGAUGAGAACAAUGAAGCGUAAAUGUAAACAACAAUCAACGGUUAAAUUUUGAUCUAUGAUUUAUAUGAUUAUAGUGGCGAAUUUCAAAGUGAAGCUCUUCAUGAAAGUUGUAAAACUUGUCAUUACGAGCGUUUCUACAUUUUUCUAUAUUUUUUUUACACUUCCACAUUAAUUAAAAAAUUAUUAAAGACUUUAGGUAAGUGAAAAUAUACUUAAAAGAAAAAUGUGUUUUUAUGUUUUGGACGUGACAAUAUGGUAUGUAUAUAUUUAUUUAGUAUUAUGUUUUUCAUUUUAUUAUUUAUAGGUUUAAAAUAUAUUUUCCUUAACGGGUAAUGGGUCGGAUCAUAUUACCUGUUAAUAUUAUCAAGUCAAUUUGGAGUCGGGUCAUUUUACCCGUUUAUUUUAACGUGUGUUACACGACACGACCCGUUAAGAUAUCGGGUAUGACACGAAAACGACACGAACACGAAAAUCACGACACGAAUGCCAGGUUACCAAUUCCUUGGGGAGUUGUGUUGAGAGCCGAUGAGCUCUCUCCGGAGAAAUCUUCGCCUGAACACCAGCCAUGUCCAUGUUGACAGCUAGCUCUUAUCAGUGUCAUUACCAGAAAUUCUGGUUUGCCCUGCUAAAUUUUGAGGGGACAAAAUUUUGUAAAUUAACUUCUUCGUACCCCCGACAACUUCACAGGUUCGUAGGGUUAGUAAAGUCAACAUUUUAGGUUUACUAGAAAAUCUUUUGAGAUGGAACAAUGUCGCAGGGUAAAAAUAAUUCCGUAGGGAAAAAAUUUGGCGGCAAAGGAAAAAUUUGGGGCGCAAUUAAUGAGGUUUUAUGGGGUUGAUAGCUGUUCAUCAUGUAAAUACAGUUUAACUGACGGAUUAAUUCAUCGCGUAAGAUUAUGUGGUCGUCUACAAAAGCCUAGUUUAUGACGUGUAAAAGAACAGGGAAACAUGUACUUACGAGACGAGUAAUUGAAAUAGUGCGACGACGGAUUCCGUUGGGUAAGAUGUGGUUCACCAUUUUGCUCAGACUGCUGCCUUGUUCCCCCAUUUACCCCUCACCCUUUUUCAUUGUUGUGCUUUCUGCAGGCCCCAUGCUGUCCCCCGUUGCAUCUCUCUCCAUCUCUUCCUCUUCGAAAUAUUUGAAGGUUAGUUUAUUUUGAGUUUGUCAUUAUUUUUUCCUUUGAAUGUGUUAUUUACGAUUAAUUUUUAGUGGUAAGCAUUAACUUAUUUAGUUGUGAUAUUUGUACAUGUUGAAUUGUGUAGGAUGUGAAAUUUGUAGUUGUUUUUGAAAUAUAUGUGGAGUAGGGAAAUUUAAUUUGUGUAGCAUUAUUAGUGUAGGACUUCAUGGUGUGAAAAUUGGUAAAAUUUCAUUCUGUUUAUAUGAAUUUAAUUAUGUUGAAUUAAAUUCGUAUAAUAAAAUCGAAAAAAACCUUAGAUCCAUUUGAGAUUUUGUUGGAAACACGUGUAGAUGUAGUAUGCGGCUCCACAAUCUAACUUAAUCUUGAAUUGACCAGUUCGAACAAUUUGGGAGUGCACUAGUAUAUGUGGGUUUGCAAUGAAUUUGGCUAAGUUUCGGUUGUGAAAAAUUCGGUUGUAUCCUCCUAUUAUUCUUCGAGUGCCUAGUAGAUAUUUAUCUGUAAUAUCAAAUUAAAUAUAUUUUUCUAGAGAUAAUUUUCAGAUGAUAAAUAGAAUAAAGAGUUUUGAAUAUGAUAUUUGUACGUUCAAAAGAUAUCCGUUUUGCCGUUGUUACAUAGAGAGGCAAUUAUCACCAUAUUAACAAAAACAACAUUAACUCAUAUACGCCAAAUAUUGUCUCGUAUAUGCAUGAAACGAGAAGAGCACUACAGAAGUGUUGUGCAAACAACAACAACAACAACAAAGCCUUUUCCCACUAAGUGGGGUCGGCUAUAUGAAUCCUAGAACGCCAUUGCGCUCGGUUUUGUGUCAUGCCCUCCGUUAGAUCCAAGUACUCUAAGUCUUUUCUUAGAGUCUCUUCCAAAGUUUUCCUAGGUCUUCCUCUACCCCUUCGGCCCUGAACCUCUGUCCCGUAGUCACAUCUUCGAACCGGAGCGUCAGUCGGCCUUCUUUGCACAUGUCCAAAUCACCAGAGCCGAUUUUCUCUCAUCUUUCCUACAAUUUCGGCUACUCCUACUUUACCUCGGAUAUCCUCAUUCCCAAUCUUAUCCUUUCUCGUGUGCCCACACAUCCCACGAAGCAUCCUCAUCUCCGCUACACCCAUUUUGUGUACGUGUUGAUGCUUCACCACCCAACAUUCUCUGCCAUACAACAUCGCUGGCCUUAUUGCCGUCCUAUAAAAUUUUUCCUUGAGCUUCAGUGGCCUACGACGGUCACACAACACGCCGGAUGCACUCUUUCCAUCCAGCUCGUAUUCUAUGGUUGAGAUCUCCAUCUAAUUCUCCGUUCUCUUGCAAGAUAGAUCCUAGGUAACGAAAACGGUCGCUUUUUGUGAUCUUCGCUAGAUUGCUCCGGUCAUUAGUGUGGAUAAGUAUAUAAAUGGAUAGAGAUAGGAAAACAAACACAAGAUGUACGUGGUUCACCCAGAUUGGCUACGUCCACAGAAUAGAAGAGUUCUCAUUAAUUGUGAAGGGUUUACACAAGUACAUAGGUUCAAGCUCUCCUUUAGUGAGUACGAGUGAAUGAUUUAGUACAAAUGACAUUAGGAAAUAUUGUGGGAGAAUGAUCUCGUAAUCACGAAACUUCUAAGUAUCGGAGUGUGGUGUCGUCUUGACUUGCCUUAUCGGUCUCAUAGGUAGAUGUGGCAUCUUCUCUGGAAGUACUCUUCCUCCAUCCAGGGGUGGUAUCUUUAACUGGUGGAGAUGCACAAGGUAAUGUAUCAAUUUCACUUGAAGCUUACUUGUAGUUUCAGGCUUGGUCAAGCGCGAUACAAACCAUGUAGUAGGAGUCCCCCAAGUCGCCGAGCUAGGGGGUCUGCUGAAAGAGGUGACAGACAAGGUAAGCAAUCAGAGCUCCGACUGAUUGUUCACCUUCUCCCCAUCUUGCAGCAGCAUGAAGGAUAAAGAGAAGAAAAAUGAGAAGAGAUGAUAUGAGAUACUUUUGCUUUUGAAGAAGUAACUUUCCACAGGCUUAUUCUUGAACUGAGCUGGAGGGUUUUCUGGUUUCCUCCAGAGUAUAAGGCCGACUGAAGAAUUUGAGGGUCAAAACAAGUCCAUCAAAUCUAGAGUACGUUCCACCCUGCUGAUAUGGGAUACUUUUGCUUUUGACAGAGUAAUGGAUGUAUCGGCACGUGUGCUGUUACGCUUGUCUCCACAUGCUUCCUUGUAUCCUUCGCACUUGCCCUAUCUGUUCCUCAAGCAGAUGCGGAAUCUUCCCUGGAAACAUAAGAUGAUGAAGAUGAGUACUCGAGAGCAAUGCCAGGUAAGUAAUCAGGUAAGGGGUUCCAGGCAGUCAGUUCCUGGCUGGAAGCUUGAUUCCAAGUGCUGACUGAUUGCUCUCUUUCUCCUUGUCUUGCAGGUAAAAACAAGGCCAAAAGAAAAAACAGGGAAAAAGCAUGAUAUGGGAUACUCUUGCUUUUAACCCUGAUGAUAUGAGAUAUUCUUGCUCUAGUAUAGCUUGUUUGCAGAGGUAUUAUCGGGGGGAAAGAAAGCUGAAUAUUUCGAAAGGCUUUGUUGGGAGUGCCCUCUCAGAUAUGAUGAAGGGUUGAGCAUUUUUGCAGGUCUGCCUGUCCGUUGGGGAUGGAGGUCGACAUAUAUAGGAGUCUCCCUAACAACAAGUAGUAAUGCUAUUCCUUUACCCUGCUUGGUCAUAGCACGGUAGUGGGAGCUGCCAGUUUCACAUGUUUUAACUCUGUCAGAGCACUUUGAAAAAGUGGUCUGUGGUAUCUGGCUCUCGAGAUUCGGAGAACGAUGCCUCUUCGAUUUUUUGAGAAAGCAAUCAUGCUGGGGGUCUGACUCUCGAGAUUCGGAGAGCAGUGUCUCUUCGAUUUUUGAGGAAGUAAUCAUGUUGGGAGUCUGGCUCUCGAGAUUCGGAAGGCGGUGCCUCUUCGAUUUUGGAGCAAGCAAUCUUGUUGGGAGUGUUGUCUCGAAUGUGAGUAAAGGUUGGACAUGUUUGCUAGUCUACCUUGCCACGAAGCACAAAGGUUGACACACAGGGACUUUCCAAUUAUCCAGCAAUGGUACUGUUCCUUUACCCUCUCUUCGAUUUUGAGAAAGUAGUCAUGUUGGGAGUCUGGCUCUCGAGAUUCGGAGGACGGUGCCUCUUUCGAUUUUGGAGCAAGCAAUCUUGUUGGGACUGUUUUCUCGAAUGUGAGUAAAGGUUGGGCAUGUUUGCUAGUCUACCUUGCCACGAAGCACAGAGGUUGACACACAGGGACUUUCCAAUUAUCCAGCAGUGGUACUGUUCCUUUACCCUUGUGGGUAAUAAUAUGGUAGCUAGACCUUCAAAAUUUAUGUGUCUAAACUUUGUUAGUGCUGUUUCUUUGCUAUUCUUUUACCUUUCUUGGUCAGAGCGAUGUAGUGGGAGCUGCAAGCUUCACGUGCUCAACUUUGGCAGAGAACUUUGGCAAAGUGAUCUGUGGUACCCAUGAGUUAUUGUUGCGUGUGGGAAGUGGGUGAUUGAACAUUAAGAUUCAUGUGCUUUCUACUUCACCAGAAGUCUUCGACAGAAUGCCCAUAAUUUCUGCAAAGCUGAGUGUGCGUGUGACAGGUGCUGACAAGGCUAGAAAAGUAGAUGCCUCUUCGAUUUCUGAGAUCGGCCCUCGUGGUCUCUGAGCAGCCCAGCUUUUGAGAAAGCGAGCGCCUCUUCGAUUGAUUCGGAGAACGGUGCCUCACCGAUUUUUGAGAAAGCAAUCAUGCUGGGGGUCUGGCUCUCGAGAUUCGGGGAGCAGUGUCUCUUCGAUUUUUUUGAGAAAGUAAUCAUGUUGGGAGAGUGGCUCUCGAGAUUCGGAGGGCGGUGCCUCUUCGAUUUUGGAGCAAGCAAUCUUGUUGGGAGUGUUUUCUCGAAUGUGAGUAAAGGUUGGGCAUGUUUGCUAGUCUACCUUGCCACGAAGCACAGAGGUUGACACACAGGGACUUUCCAAUUAUCCAGCAAUGGUACUGUUCCUUUACCCUCUCUUCGAUUUUUAAGAAAGUAGUCAUGUUGGGAGUCUGGCUCUUUAGAUUCGGAGGACGGUGCCUCUUCGAUUUUGGAGCAAGCAAUCUUAUUGGGAGUGUUUUCUCGAAUGUGAGUAAAGGUUGGGCAUGUUUGCUAGUCUACCUUGCCACGAAGCACAGAGGUUGACAUACAUGGACUUUCCAAUUAUCCAGCAGUGGUACUGUUCCUUUACCCUUGUGGGUAAUAAUAUGGUAGCUAGACCUUCAAAAUUUAUGGGUCUAAACUUUGUUAGUGCUGUUUCUUUGCUAUUCUUUUACCCUUCUUGGUCAGAGCGAUGUAGUGGGAGCUGCAAGCUUCACGUGCUCAACUUUGGCAGAGAACUUUGGCAAAGUUAUCUGUGGUACCCAUGAGCUAUUGUUGCGUGUGGGAAGUGGGUGAUUGAACAGUAAGAUUCCUGUGUUUUCUACUUCCCCAGAAGUCUUUGACAGAAUGCCCAUAAUUUCCGCAAAGCUGAGUGUGCGUGUGACAGGUGCUGACAAGGCUGGAAAAGUAGGUGCCUCUUCGAUUUCUGAGAUCGGCCCUCGUGGUCUUUAGGGAGCCCAGCUUUUGAGAAAGCGAGCGCCUCUUCGAUUUCUGAGAUCGGCCUUCGUGGUCUUUGAGCAGCCCAACUUUUGAGAAAGCAAACGGCUCUUCGAUUUCUGAGAUCAACCCUCGUGAUCUCUAAGCAGCCCAACUUUUGAGAAAGCAAACGCCUCUUCGAUUUCUGAGCAGGCGCCUCUUUGAUUUCUGAAGCUCCGUCGAGUGCAGAUUUUUAUAGAGGCUGGCAUUAAGUUCCAAAGCACACUUGAAUCUCCACCAGUAGAAGCUUCAUUCUUGCACUUCUAAGAUCUUGAUUUGUCCGACCUCUUCUCUCUUCAACACCUUUGAAAAUGUCUGGUCCCUCCGACCGUCGUUUUGACUUGAACCUUGUUGAAGAGGCAGCCCCGCCUUCUCCAGACAACAUAUGGCGCCCAUCCUUCGUCUCCCCAACUGGUCCUCUUACCGUUGGGGAUUCCGUGAUGAAGAAUGAUAUGACUGCUGCGGUGGUGGCCAGGAACCUUCUCACUCCCAAAGAUAACAGACUACUUUCCAAACGGUCUGAUGAGUUAGCUGUUAAGGAUUCGCUGGCUCUCAGUGUUCAGUGUGCAGGUUCUGUGUCUAAUAUGGCCCAACGCCUAUUUGCUCGAACCCGCCAAGUUGAAUCAUUGGCGGCUGAAGUGAUGAGUCUCAAACAGGAGAUUAGAGGGCUCAAGCAUGAGAAUAAACAGUUGCACCGGCUCGCACAUGACUAUGCUACAAACAUGAAGAGGAAGCUUGACCAGAUGAAGGAAACUGAUGGUCAGGUUUUACUUGAUCAUCAGAGAUUUUGUGGGUUUGUUCCAAAGGCAUUUAUUGCCUUCGUCUUCUGGGGCUGUACCGCGCGUAAUGAAGCUCCAAAUGAUCAACCUCUGAUGCCUCCUCCUUCUAGGGUUCUGUCCAGUACUGAGGCUCCAAAUGAUCCCCCUCCGGUGCCUUCUCUUUCUGGGGCUCUACCGACUGCUGAGACUUCUCCUAAGCAACCUUUGUGAAGGUUCCCUCUUGUGUGUUUAUUUUGACUCAUGUAUAUGUACAUAUUUGUAGCUUAUCGGGGAUAUCAAUAAAUAAGCUUUCCUUCAUUUCAACGUAUUGUGUUAAAUACACCAAAGCCUUCUUCGCUAAGUUCUUUGAAUUUUCUUUUGUUGAAGCUUGUAUGUUGAAGCUUUCUGAGUGGAGCAUGUAGGUUGGGGUAGUGUUCCCUUAAUUUCCCGAGUGAGGAAAACUUAUUGGUUGGAGACUUGGAAAAUCCAAGUCACUGAGUGGGAUCGGCUAUAUGAAUCUUAGAACGCCAUUGUGCUCGAUCCUGUGUCAUGUCCUUCGUUAGAUCCAAGUACUCUAAGUCUUUUCUUAGAGUCUCUUCCAAAGUUUUCCUAGGUCUUCCUCUACCCCUUCGGCCCUGAACCUCUGUCCCAUAGUCGCAUCUUCUAAUCGGAGCGUCAGUAGGCCUUUUUUGCACAUGUCCAAACCACCGUAACCGAUUUUCUCUCAUCUUUCCUUCAAUUUCGGCUACUCCUACUUUACCCCGGAUAUCCUCAUUCCUAAUCUUAUCCUUUCUCGUGUGCCCACACAUCCAACGAAGCAUCCUCAUCUCCGCUACACCCAUUUUGUGUACGUGUUGAUGUUUCACCGCCCAAAAUUCUGUGCCAUACAGCAUCGCUGGCCUUAUUGCCGUCCUAUAAAAUUUUCCCUUGAGCUUCAAUGGCAUACGGCGGUCACACAACACGCCGGAUGCACUCUUCCACUUCAUCCAUCCAGCUUGUAUUCUAUGGUUGAGAUCUCCAUCUAAUUCUCCGUUCUUUUUGUAAGAUAGAUCCUAGGUAACGAAAACGGUCGCUCUUUGGUAUUUCUUGAUCUCCGAUCCUCACCCCUAACUCGUUUUGGCCUCCAUUUGCACUGAACUUGCACUCCAUAUAUUCUGUCUUUGAUCGGCUUAGGCGAAGACCUUUAGAUUCCAACACUUCUCUCCAAAGGUUAAGCUUUGCAUUUACCCCUUCCUGAGUUUCAUCUAUCAACACUAUAUCGUCUGCGAAAAGCAUACACCAAGGAAUAUCAUCUUGAAUAUGUCCUGUUAACUCAUCCAUUACCAACGCAAAAAGGUAAGGACUUAAGGAUGAGCCUUGAUGUAAUCCUACAGUUAUGGGAAAGCUUUCGGUUUGUCCUUCAUGAGUUCUUACGGCAGUCUUUGCUCCUUCAUACAUAUCCUUUAUAGCUUGGAUAUAUGCUACUCGUACUCCUUUCUUCUCUAAAAUCCUCCAAAGAAUGUCUCUUGGGACCCUAUCAUACGCUUUUUCCAAAUCUAUAAAGACCAUGUGUAAAUCCUUUUUCCCAUCUCUAUAUCUUUCCAUCAAUCUUCUCUCGUAAAUUUGAGGAAAUUAAUUAGAAUCUAAUAUUGUUAAUGAUUAAAAUAAAUUGUUUGAACUAAAUAUUGUAGAGACUCCUCCAAAGAGAGUUGACCUUUUCAAAAAUUCUCAAAGGCACAAGACUAAACCCAAGCCUAAAAUGGAGUUUGGAAAUAGUUUUCAACCAGCUAUAGACGCGCUUUGGUUAGAACCUCAUUAGCUGCGUAAUUGCCCCAAGCGCAAAGAUGACAACACAUUGUGGUUGGCUCCAGGCGUUUGCAACUCUACAUUCUUCACUUGACCAAUGUGGGACAAAGUUUUUCUCUUAAAUAUGUCUCAAGACUCUUAACAAUCUAACACAUCACACAAUUAUAUAUUAUUGUCAAAACAAUCCAAAUAUUACAAGCCAGAUGACAAAGCAACAACACUAGAAAAUUACCUUUGAAAACAAAAAAGCACUUAUUGAGAAUACCAAUCGACAUCCUUAAGUUUAAUUGCUGCAUAAAUUUAUGGAAAAGCUUGAAUCACUGAUUGGACUGCAUGAAUAGGUGUGAUUGUGUAUCGGCUAAAUCCAGCCUCUCCAAGAACAUAUCCCCAUUCCUUAAAGGUCCUCUCUUUGCCUGUGUUUGUAUGGGCCAGCAUCACCAUGUCUAGCAUCAAUCUCACAUCUGCUAGCUUGUUGUCUUCUUUUCCAUCUUCUUCGAUCACAGCUUCUAUGAUUAUAACUUUCCCUUUAUCGUUCGGAAUAGCUUCUCUGCACUUCUUCAGGAUACGAAUGCAGUCGUCGUCUCCCCAAUCGUGAAGAACCCACUACAAUUCACGAAAAGAGAAUUAGAUCUUACCUUUUAUCAUAACAUGUGUUGUAAAUCAAGCAAGAAUAGAGGGACUCCAUUUUUUUUUUCUUCAUAAUAAUAGCAGACUACAUGAUGUGAUAGCUGAUAUAUUUAUUAAUCCUCAUCUUAAUAUAAUAAGUCAUAAGUUGUGAUCCCUAGCUCUAUUGAGGUUUCAUUCGGGAUUUAUAUUAAAGAAGAUGACUACUAGCAGGUAAAAGCAAUAAUCUUCCAAAGUAAGUGGUUUGUUUUUAAGUUUUAAAGCCAAAAUGGUUUGUCCCCGAGAUCAGUAUAACUUAUUAAUUUGGUCAUUCAAAUUUGAAAUCAAUAGAAAUGGUCCAUGAUUUUGUCUACCAUCAAUCGUUUUGGUCAUUCCGUAUAAAAUCUCUGUUAAAUAAGAACAAAAUGACAUUUGACAAAAGUUGAGGGUAUUUUGUCAUUUUAGUCCUUAUUUAACGAAGAUUUUUCACGUAAGAACCAAAAUGAUUGAUAGUGGACAAUCUCAUAUACCACUUCUAUCAAUUUUUAAUCUAAGGGACCAAAGUAACUAGUUAUAUCAAUCUCAAAGACCAUUUUGGAUUUAAAAAAAAACCCUAGUUUUAUUGAUUUCCUUAUACAAUAAAUAUACUGACCAUGAUAAUUGCAGCAUCAGCCUUCGGAACACAAUAAAAAAAGUCACCUCCGACAUUCUCAAUCCGAUCACACUCAUGAGCAACAGACACAACAUGAGGACGAUCAAAGUUGAUGCCUCGAAUCCACGGACAAGUCUCGACCAACAAGCGCAACGUAGUCCCAUCACCACCACCCCACAUCUACUAUUGUCUCAAGCCCUUUGAACACUUCUAAACAGCUUUCAAUCACUGCAGGCACAGCCACCCUUGCAUCACAAGCCAUUGCAUCAUUGAUGAGCUUGCUGUGAUCAGGAUUGGCGGCAGCAAAGCUCCAUAAAUCUUCUCCAUGCACUGCCUCAAAUGACGGAUUGCUAUUUCCUCGAAGUCGGGCACUUAGGCCGUGCCACGGUGCCAGCAUUACUGGGCUACUCUCGAGCAAAAUUAACGCAGCCAUGCUAUUUUCUCCGGAUUUUAAUAGCCGUUUGGACAAUGGUGUUUGUGCAUAACCUUUGGGGCCUAAUUCCGUUGUUUUUUCUUUGAAUAUUUUGAGGUGGACUAGUACCCUCAUGACGCGGUAAAGGUGAGAAGGAUCACAACUUAGAGCAGACGAGAGCUCUAAGAGUGUCAUGGGGCUGCCAUGGAUUUCAAUUGCAUCGGCUAUCCCGAGUUCAAUGGCACAUUUUACCACCGCGAUUUCAACAAACCCGAACACAUAUUUCCACAUAUCCACUUUCGCACGCUCUUCUUCUUCUUCCGACGUUAACUCUCUUUUUGUAUCUUCCGUUUCUCUCUGCGUGUCCAUCUUGUUGUGCGAAUGCUCAACAAAAUGUGCAAGAUCGUGAGUGGAAACAAACAAUGACAAGCAAGAGAUAAGCAAACAAUGAAACCAAGUAACAAGUACUCAAAGAUUUAUGCUAGUUGUAAGUUUUGUAAACUGCAGGUUUAAUAUGAAUAAUUAGUAAUCCAGUAUGAUUAAAGAGGAGCAUAUGGAUAUAGUGUUUAAACACUCAACAUUUAGGAUGCACAAGUGAAAGAUGGAAAAAAUAUGAGAUUCAACCGCAAAAGAGUGGAUGUAAUUAGCUAGUGUGUUUUUCUUGGGAUUUCUAGCAUCUACAAAUAUAUGUUGAAAGCUUGGGAUUUCUCACACACACAUGUGUGUGUAUAUAUAGACAUAAUGGCCUUUAUGGAGAGGGAAAACUUUUUUUUUUCUUUCAAAAAAUGGAGAUUAGUUAUGGGACCUAUUCCACGUUGAACUUUAACAAUCCAAGCUGUCUAUUUUUUUUAUCUCCCGAUUCAUAGAUCAUCCAUGCAAAAAUUCAAUUCAGUUUGAAACCAUUUACCUAUUUAAUUGUUAUAAUGAAAUUUCAAUGUUUCUUAGAACAUUGUGUUUGUCAAUUUCUUUGAACUUAACCAAAUGACUCAAUUUUUUCCAAUUUGCCUAAUAUUUUGCAAGAAUGAUCGUGCACCUUGAAAAAUAGAUGGUUCGGAUUAUUGAAGUUCGAUGUCGUGUGAGCCCUAAACAAUCCCCAUUUAAAACAAAAGGAUGUGGAGUCCUUCCCUUAAAGGCUUUGUGUGUGUAUAUAUAUAGGGAUAGGAUCAAGGGACAAAGAUUUUGACGAAAAUUUUUACACUCUUUUGUAGCCUUUAGAUCUUAUAAGAUCCAACAAUCUUGAUUCAUAGUGAUUUCGAGGAUUUAAAAAUUAAAUGACAUGGAUGAUAAUGUAGAUUAUAACUAAUAUGGAAAACGCUAAUUUAAUUUAAAAGGAAUAUCAAAUAAUAAUAAAAUUGAAAUAUAAAUAAUCAAACUUUGAAAUAUCUAAUGUAAAAAAUAAAAAUAAAAAAAUAAAAUGAAAAUUCCAUUUCCAUCUUUGUCGAAGAGGUCUGCAACUUCUAGAUGAAAAGUCUUUCUUUCCUUCAAACAAAGAACCCUAAUUACAUAAAAAACAUGAUACCAUGCAGAAAUAAUUUUACUUUGAGAAUAAUUUAGGGUUUUGUUUUGAGUUUAAGCACCCUAAUCCUAGGCUAGCAACUCAAUCAUUUUGCCACCUCCAUAGCAAAACCCUAUCGAGCCAAGCAUUGAAAAUUUCUGCAGCCACAAACUCAUCAACCAUUCAUUGUGCAUCAUAUUAAAAAAGAAAGUGAAAUCCAGGAGUCAAGAUUGAAGAUUUAGAAUUUAGGGUUUUGUUCUAAGAAGAUUCAAGACACUGAUAGCUUGAUUUGUUGUAGUAUGCAUCAAAAUUUCGUAUCAAUCGAAUUAGAGUAUCUCAAGUAAUGAAGGUGCAAGAACAUCGAUUUGUCUCCUCACCUUUCUUGGGUAUUCUUCACUGUGGGUUUCAUAUUCUUUUUUUUUAUCAGUUCAAAUGAAAUUUUUACUUUUCAAUUUUAUUGUAUUAGAUAUUUCUGUUUAAUUUAAAUUAAUGUUUUUCUUAUUGGUUAUUAUCCACAUAAUUAUCCAAGUCAUUAAUGUUUAAAAAUCUCCACAUCACUCUUAAUCUAGACCAUUGAAUGGUAUAAAAUCUAAAAGCUAUAAAGGAGUGUAAAAAUGUUUGUCAAAAUGUUUGUCCCUUGAUCAUAUCCCAUAUAUAUUACAUCCAAAGGUUCAGGCUGAAUUGAAUUUUUGCAAAUAUUUUUACACUCCUUUUUAACCAUUAGAUUUUAUAACAUCCAAAGGUCUUGAUUAAAUGUGAUUAGAAUGUUUUUAAACAUUAAAUGACAUGAAUUAUAACUAAUUAAAAAAUAAGAAUGUUAAAUGAAUAUCAAAUAAUUAAAAUAAUAAAACAAUUAAAAAUAUCAUCUAACUUAAGGUACUGGCCAAGAAUGAGGUGAAAAAAAAUUUUCAGCACCUUCAAUAAAUAUUGUUCUCAUUCGUUUGAUACAUAAUUUCAAAAAAAAUAUUAAGUUAUCGCUCGAUCUCUUGAAUUAUUUGUUAGGUAAACAAAAUGAAAUUCUAGACCCUAAAUCUUCACUCUUGGUAUAUUUGGGUGAUAAAUUAGGUUGUACAAAAAUCCCAAUUCAUUACGUGGAGAAACAUGUAUUAAAUAUUGUAGAUUAUGUAUACACAUUAUACGCAUAUAAUACACGCAUACGCACACAUUACACAUUAUAUGUUUGUGAACUGUGGGGUAGCUUUGGUUCAUUGCAUGGAGAAAAUGUGUCAAAUAUACACAUUAGAUGUAUAUAAUACACGCAUACGCAUACGCACACAUUACACAUUAAUUAUAUGUUUGCGAAUUGGGGUAGCUUUGGUUCAUUGCAUGGAGAAAAUGUGUCAAAUAUUGUAGAUUAUCUGCCAUAUUCAAUGGGAUCUCUGCAAGAUUCAACAACCCUAGAUGUACAAUGUCAGACAUCCAUUUGCUGUUUGGUUGCAAGGAUUUUGUCUUAAUAUCAGACGGGCUGGGCAAAUGUGCAAACCCGAUUAGCCGGGGUUGAUAGAAAAAUCCGAAUUCGGAAAGCGAGCCAAAAUUAAAAAUAAAAUAAUUAAAGAGAAGCUGAAAGUGAAGAUAAAUUCCUUUUAUAGAAAUAAAUCAUAAUUCUUUACAGAGUUAAAAUAAAUAAAUAAUUAAACUUCUAGUAUCACAUUUGAUCCGAUCUUAUCUCGUCUAUCAUUUUGAUUGUCUAGUUCGUAAAUAUGCAUAACAAUAGAGGGCUGAAUUUUUAACAGCUCAGUAAAAACAUAACCUUAUCAUAAUAAAUUGACAAUACUAAAUUAAGUGUCAUGACAUCAUACAAUCAGGUAUCAAAUCAUCAGCGAUAACAAUGCAUGAAUACAAUGCAAAACACCUUAACUAUACUCGUUAAUCUGUAAACCAAACACCCAUAGCUCAGACGUCCCAUUAUGUACUUAUACAAACUAACCUCACAACUCAAUCAUCCCAAUUUCUCUUUUGUUAGUCGUCUUGCCUAAACUCUUUGUUGCUAUUCCCGAAUUACCCUGAAAAAACUGUCAUUAUGGACUCGCUUGAGAUCUGGCACGUGUUGAAAUUUUAAGUGGUAUUUCAAAACACAAAUUCUCAUCUCACACUACCUUUGUUGUUUAUAUUUGUUUUAAUUCAUAAUUACAUUUGACUCUUUAAUUUAAUUUCCUUUUGGUAUUAAUUCAUUUAUAAUCUUUGUUGACCGUACCUUUAGAAAUAACUUUCUAGGUUGAAUUCUUAUACUACACAUUCAAUGCAUUUGACAUCAGAUCUUUUAUAUGUUUGUUUUGAUUCCAAUCUUACUUAAUUGGACCGUUUGGACUAGGCCUGGUUGAAUUCUUAUAGGACAUUACACGACACGAAAUUAAUAGAUGUUUGGGUCGACGUGAUAACGAAUAGGGUCAUUAUCGGGUAAUCCGAUAAGUACCUAUUAAGAUAACGGGUUGAUUCGGGUAUACACAUGGAUAACACGAUACACAAUAAGCAAAAUAUUAAUUUUAUAAUUUUAUAACCCUAAAAAAUACUAUAAUUAUAUAUAUAUAUAUAUAUAUAUUAAAUUAACUAUAAUAAUUGUAAUAAUUAUACCCCCAAAAUAUUAACUAUAAUAAUUAUAUAUAUAUAUAUAUAAUUUUAAAUUAAAUUUUAUACCCCUAAAAACUAUAAUAAUUAUACGUACAAAAUAAAUAGAUUUAAAUCUACUUAAUAUAUAUAUAUAUAUAUAUAUAUAUAUAUAUAUAUAUAUAUAUACCAUUGAACUUGAUGGGAUACGAAUUAUAUGAAACUAAUUUCAACGAUUCAACCGUCAAAUCACGAUUUAACGGUUAUUUUAACUUCUAUUUUGAUGAUUUUUUACAGCUACACUCCUUGACCAUAUAUGAAUAUAAUGAAUGAAUUCGAUCUUCAAUUUAAAAUAUUUACACUAGUGGAUACCACAAAAUAUUAUAUUAUACUUAAUGGAAGUAUGAAUAAACUCUUAAGUGUUAGUGAUCUAUUGUUUUGAUGGGAUACGCAUUCUACGAAACUAGUUUCAACGAUCCAACCGUCAAACAUGUUUGUAUAUACUUCGAGAUCGCAUAUGCCAAAAAUUGAAAAAAACAAACAUUUAGAGAUUAAGUAACCAAACAAAACUUUUCGACGGUUAUAAAACGAAAAAUCACGAUUUAACGGUUAUUUUAAUUCCGAUUUUCAUGAUUUUUUUACAGCUGCACUUUUUGACACUAUAUGAAUACAAUGAAUGAAUUCAAUCUUCAAUUUAAAAUAUUUACACUAUUGGAUACCACAAAAUCUUAUGUUAUACUUAAUGAAAGUAUGAAUAAAUUUGUAAGUGUUAGUGAAUCUAUUGUUUUGAUGGGAUACGCAUUCUACGAAACUAGUUUCAACGAUCCAACUGUCAAACAUGUUGGUAUAUACUUCGAGAUCACAUACACCAAAAAUUGCAAAAAACAAACAUAUAGAGAUCAAGUAACAGGACAAAACCAUUUGACAGUUAUAAAAAGAAAAAUCACGAUUUAACGGUUAUUUUAACUCCGAUUUUGAUGAUUUUUUACAACUACACUCCUUGACCCUAUAUGAAUAUAAUGAAUGAAUUCGAUCUUCAAUUUAAAAUAUUUACACCAGUGGAUACCACAAAAUCUUAUGUUAUACUUAAUGAAAGUAUGAAUAAACUCUUUAGUGUUAGUGAAUCUAUUGUUUUGAUGGGAUACGCAUUCUACAAAGCUAGUUUCAACGAUCCAACCGUCAAACAUGUUUGUAUAUUCUUCGAGAUCGCAUACACCAAAAAUUGUAAAAAACAAACAUUCAGAGAUCAAGUAACAGAACAAAACUUGUCGACGGUUAUAAAAAGAAAAAUCACGAUUUAACGGUUAUUUUAACUCCGAUUUUGAUGUUUCUUUACAGUUACACUUCUUGACCCUAUAUGAAUACAAUGAAUGAAUUCGAUCUUCAAUUUAAAAUAUUUACACUAGUGGAUACCACAAAAUCUUAUGUUAUACUUAAUGAAAUUAUGAAUAAACUCUUAAAUGUUAGUAAAUCUAUUGUUUUGAUGGGAUACGCAUUCUACGAAACUAGUUUCAACGAUCCAACCGUCAAAUAUGUUUGUAUAUAUUUCGAGAUCACAUACGCAAAAAAUAUCAAAAAACAAACAUUCAGAAAUCAAGUAACGGACAAAACGUUUCGACAGUUAUAAAAAGAAAAAUCACGAUUUAACGGUUAUUUUAACUCCGAUUUUGAUGAUUUUUUAUAGCUACACUCCUUGACCCUAUAUGAAUACAAUGAAUGAAUUUGAUCUUUAAUUUAAAAUAUUUACACUAGUGGAUACCACAAAAUCUUAUGUUAUACUUAAUGAAAGUAUGAAAAACUCUCAAGUGUUAGUGAAUUUAUUGUUUUGAUGGGAUACGCAUUCUACAAAACUAGUUUCAGCGAUCCAACUGUCAAACAUGUUUGUAUAUACUUCGAGAUCGCAUACGCCAAAAAUUGCAAAAAAAAAAAAGGGUAAAAGACUGUUUACUACCCUUAUGUUUCAUGGUUUUCAACAUUUAGUACAUCAAGUUUUUUUCGUCUCAGAGUCAUACCUAAAGUGUAAAUUUUGGGACAAUCUCAUACAUCCGUUAGUCAAACUGUUAAAUUUGCCGUUAAUUGUGACGUGGCGCCCAUGUGGACAAUGACUGGGCGCCACGUGUCAGCCACGAUUUUUUUUUUCUUUCUUCUUUUCUUCUUCUUCUUCCACCCGACUGCAACAUUUUUUUUUCCUUCCUCCUUCUCCUUCCUUCCCCUUCUUCUCCUUCUUCCUUCUCUUCCUCCGAAUCUGGGGAAGUUUUUUUUUUCUUCCUCCUUCUUCCUCCUUCUUCCUUCCUCUUCUUCUUCUUCUUCUUCUUCCUCCGAAUCUACCCAGAUUCGGUUUUUUUUUUUUUCUUCUUCUUCCUCCGAAUCUGCCCAGAUUCGGUUUUUUUUUUUUUUUUUUUUUUUUUUUGAGGAAGAGGAAGAAGAAGGAGGAAGAAGAAGAAGGAAGGAAGAAAAGAAAAGAAAAAAGUUGCAGUCGAAGGAUAUAGAAGAAGAAAGAAGAAGAAAGAAGAAAAAAAAAAAAGCCGAAUCUGGGUAGAUUCGGAGGAAGAAGAAGAAGAGGAAGGAAGAAGGAGGAAGGAGGAAGGAGAAGGAAGAAGGAGGAAGAAGGAGGAAGAAGAAGAAAAAAAAAAAAAAAAAAAACUUCCCUAGAUUCGGAGGAAGAAGAAGAAAAAGAAGAAAAAGAAGAAGAAAAAGAAGGAGAAGGGGAAGGAAGAAGGGGAAGGAAGAAGGAAGAAGGAAGAAGGAAGAAGGAGGAAGAAGAAGAAAGAAGGAAAAAAAAAAAAAACGAAUCUGGGCAGAUUCGGAGGAAGAAGAAGAAGGAAUAAGGAGGAAGGAGAAGGAAGCAGGAAAAAAAAAAUUCCCCAGAUUCGGAGGAAGAAAAAGGAGAAGGAGAAGGAAGAAGAAGGAAGAAGGAGAAGAAGGGGAAGGAAGAAGGAGAAGGAGGAAGGAAAAAAAAAAGUUUGCAGUCGGGUGGAAGAAGAAGAAGAAGAAGAAAGAAGAAGAAGAAAGAGAAAAAAAAAAUCCCCAGAUUCGGAGGAAGAAAAAGGAGAAGGAGAAGGAGAAGGAAGAAGAAGGAAGAAGGAGAAGAAGGGGAAUGAAGAAGGAGGAAGGAAGAAGGAGAAGGAGGAAGAAAAAAAAAAGUUUGCAGUCGGGUGGAAGAAGAAGAAGAAGAAGAAGAAGAAAGAAGAAAGAAGAAGAAGAAAGAGAAAAAAAAAAAUCCCCAGAUUCGGAGGAAGAAAAAGGAGAAGGAGAAGGAAGAAGAAGGAAGAAGGAGAAGAAGGGGAAGGAAGAAGGAGGAAGGAAGAAGGAGAAGGAGGAAGAAAAAAAAAAAAGUUUGCAGUCGGGUGGAAGAAGAAGAAGAAGAAGAAGAAGAAGAAAGAAAGAAAGAAAAAAAAAACGUGGCUGACACGUGGCGCCACGUCAUUGUCCACAUGGACGCCACGUCACAAUUAACAGUAAAUUUAACAGUUUGACUAACGGAUGUAUGAGACUGUCCCAAAAUUUACACUUUAGGUAUGACUCUGAGACGAAAAAAACUUGAUGUACUAAAUGUUGAAAACCAUGAAACAUGAGGGUAGUAAACAGUCUUUUACCCAAAAAAAAACAUAUAAAGAUCAAGUAACGGGACAAAACUUUCGACCGUUAUAAAAAGAAAAAUCACGAUUUAACGGUUAUUUUAACUUCGAUUUUGAUGAUUUUUUACAGCUACACUCCUUGACCUUAUAUGAAUACAAUGAAUGAAUUCGAUCUUCAAUUUAAAAUAUUUACAUUUAUGUUAUACUUAAUGAAAUUAUGAAUAAACUUUUAAAUGUUAGUGAAUCUAUUGUUUUGAUGGGAUACGCAUUUUACGAAAGAGAGCAAUCAGUCAGCACUUGGAAUCAAGCUUCUAGUCAGGAACUGACUGCCUGGAACCCCUUGCCUGAUUACUUACUUGGCAUUGCUCUCGAGUACUCAUCUUCAACAUCUUAUGCUUCCAGAGAAGAUACCACAUCUGCCUGAGGAACAGAUAGGGCAAGUAAGAAGGAUACAAGGAAGCAUGUGGAGACAAGCGUAACAUAACAUGUGCCGAUACAUCCACUACUUUGUCAAUACCAAAAGUAUCCCAUAUCAUCAGGGUCGAACGUACUCUAGAUUUGAUGGACUUGUUUUGACCCUCAAAUUCUUGAGUCAGCCUUAUACUCUGGAGGAAACCAGAAAACCCUCCAGCCCAGUUCAAAAAUAAGCAUGUGGAAAGUUACUUCUUCAAAAGAAAAAGUAUCUCAUAUCAUCUCUUCUCCAUUUGCUUCUGCUUAUCCUUGGUGUUAUUUACGACACAAAGAGAAGGAGAACAAUCAACCGGAAGCCGAAGUCGAACCUUUGAUCCAGGUUGCUUGCUUGGAAGUCUGAUUGCUUACCUUGUCUGUUACCUCAUUCAGCAAAUCUCCUAGCUCGGCGACUUGGGGGACUCUUACUAUAGGGUUUGUAUCGCACUUGACCAAGCUCGAAACUACAAGUAAGCUUCAAGUGAAAUUGAUACAUUACCUUGUGCAUCUUCAUCGGUUAAAGAUACCAUUCCUGGAUGGAGGAAAAGUACUUCCAGAGAAGAUGCCACAUCUACAUAUGAGACAGAUAAGGCAAGUGAAAAUGAUACCACACUUCGGUACUUAGAAGUUUCGUGAUUACUCAAUGGCUUGGAUCUUGCAAGUCCCCAACCGAGGAGUUUCCCUCACUCGAGAACUUAGGGGAGCACUGUUUGUACCAUACUUGGCCAAUCCCGAAACUAUUGAGCAUCGGUCAACGUUAUACCGUCAAGGACUCAGAAGAGUUUCCUUCUAACCAGGAGGCCAAUCACAGUGCGACACGUGUCGACAUCAGAAGCCAAUCAUAACGCAACAUGUGUUAACAUCAGAAGCCAAUCACAACACAACACGUGCCAAUGUCAGAAUAAAACUAGAAACUCUCUUCUAUAAAUAGAGAUCAUUCUCUCAUAAUAUUUCCUAAUGUCAUUUGUACUAAAUCAUUCACUAGUACUCACUAAAGGAUAGUUUGAACCCAUGUACUUGUGUAAACCCUUCACAAUUAAUGAGAACUCCUCUACUCCGUGGACGUAGCCAAUCUGGGUGAACCACAUACAUCUUGUGUUUGCUUCCUUGUCUCUAUCCAUUUGCAUACUUAUCUACACUAGUGACCGGAGCAAUCUAGUGAAGGUCACAAACUUAACACUUUAUGUUAUACCAAAGUCCUCACUGAUUUUGUGCAUCAACACAAUGAAUGAAUUCAAUCUUCAAUUUAAAAUAUUUACACUAAUGGAUACCACAAAAUCUUAUGUUAUACUUAAUGAAAGUGCGAAUAAACUCUUAAGUGUUAAUGAAUCUAUUGUUUUGAUGGGAUACAUUCUACGAAACUUGUUUCAACGAUCCAACCGUCAAACAUGUUUGUAUAUACUUCGAGAUCGCAUAUGCCAAAAAUUGUAAAAAACAAACAUUCAGAGAUCAAGUAACGAGACAAAACUUUUCGACGGUUAUAAAACUAAAAAUCAAGAUUUAACGGUUAUUUUAACUCUGAUUUUGAUGAUUUUUUAUAGCUACACUCCUUGACCCUAUAUGAAUACAAUGAAUGAAUUCGAUCUUCAAUUUAAAAAAUUACACUAGUGGAUACCACAAAAUUUAUGUUAUACUUAAUGAAAGUAUGAAUAAACUAUAAUAAUUAUAUAUAUUAAUUUAACAAUUUUAUACCCCUAAAAACUAAAAUAAUUAUAUAUAAUUAUAUAUAUAUAUAUAUAUAUAUAUUAAAUUAUGUGUUUUAAUGUUUUGAAGUAAUAUUUAUGUGGCAAAGUGUAGUAUGUGCAAAUUUAAGAAAAAAUAUAUUUUUCUUAACGGGUCAUAACGGAUCAUAACGGGUCAAGUCACUUUACUCGUUGGGUAAAGUGACCCGACCUGUUAAGGACCUGUUAAGAUAACAGGUGUGACACGACACGACCCGUUAAGAUAACAAGUGUUACACGAAAAUAACACGAACACGACAGACACGACCCGUUUGUCAGGUCUAGUUUGGACAUGGCAUUAGAAUUGGUUUUUACUUACUGUUAUUUUCAAGUUAGAUGAGAACAAAAUCCUUCAGUUACAUGAAUUUGGUUUUAACGUAUUGGUUAACUGUGAUUUGAAUAAAUAACGUUGCAAUCAUUUGAUUUAAUUUGUUUUCAUUGCCAUGAUUGUACACAGGUUUUUGGGGCUCAGACUUUACUAUAUAUGGGCAGCCGUGAGUCUUUUUUGGGAUCAUAUAUACAAGAUCAUCAUCUCUAUUACCUAAUCGAAUCCCUCUGUUUUCUAAGUGUGGCUAUAUCAUUCAAUUGUUUUGUACCAAUGGAAAAAUUGAGUUAUUUAUUUGAUUCAAGUGUGGCAAGUGUACGUUUACAAUGAUCAUAGGUUGUUAUAUCUUGAAGAAUAGGGUGCCAUAACUUGUAUUACACCGAGACAUUGUCUCUGCGAGACGAAAUCUACUCUUAGGGACAGUAAACUAACAUGCCUCAACCUAAAAUCUUGUUUUAAUAACUAUCUAUGAAGAAAGAUUUCUACAUUACAAAAGAUAAGUAUUUUGUUGUUAUUAGAUUAGUUUGAUCUAUUUUAUUAUUUUGAUGCGAAACAAUAUUUACUAAUAUAUUUAUCUUAUAUGAUUUAUUGUAGGAGAAGUAGCAUUCAAAUCACCUAUAUUUCCAACAAUCUUAAGUAGGGCUGGGUUUGGUUCUUAUCGGUUCAGUUUUUUGCCAAAACCGAAACCAAACCGAAAUUUCGGUUCAGUUCGGUUCGGCCCAUAUUUUUUUUGGUUCGGUUUUUUUUUCGGUUCGGGUUUUGUUUCAGUUUUUUUUUUUUUUUUUUUCCUCCAAAAAAUGCAAAACAACCACAACAUAAGAUAGAAAUAGAAAAUAUGACAUGUUUCCAUCUCUCCAGGACGGUUUUUCAAUAUUCAUGAGGGAAGUUACUACUUACUAAUUAAUCUAAAAACAUAAAGUCUCAUAAAACUAAAAGUCUUCAAAAAAUGAAAAUAAACAUUUAAAGUCCAACUAGAAAUAGAAUCAAUCAUCAAUCAAGUUUAAGUCUUCAAAAAGUCCAAAUUAAACAUCAAAGUUUAAGUCUUCAAAAAGUCCAAAUUUAAACAUCACACAAGUCAAAUAAACCUUCAAGGUUUCAUCACUUCAUGUUUUGCACAAAUAAAAUCUUCCAAGUCUUCAAGCUCAAGCUCAACGCAUAGGCGGCUUAGGAGGCAACAUAGCACCUUUCUUUGAGCUUUCCCUUGCCAUUUCUACAUACAAAUAAAAAAAAAAAAAGAACAUGAUGUAAAGCAAGCGUGCAAAGAAGGAAACAAAGAAUAAAGCUGGAUAUGAGCAAACUGUAAAAUGCUAUAACUUACAAGACUAUAUCCAUAUGCCGAGGAGCAUAAUGUCCACCACCUAAUCCAAGAAGAAUUUUAUUCUUAUCCUUCUCCCUAGAUCGCCAAUAAUAUAGAAAAUGAAGUUAGAGAAGCAUCAAACUUUGGUUAAAAUUGCAAACAAAGACAUGAGCUUUUCAAGAAAAUCAAUAUACCCGUUCCAGUUUCCAACAGCAGCUCCUCCUCCAAGCCCAAGUCCUUCCCAAACCAACUGCAAGAACAGAAAUUGCCACCAAUUUACUCUCAUGAGUUGUUUAUUCUAUUAUUUUUUUAAGAUCAGGGAAAACUAGAAACAUUACGAAGAGGAAAGUAUUUAUUCAACAAUAGGACGUAUCAAUGACUCUUGCUCAAAUGAUUGAAAUGGUUAACUGUGUACUUAACUAGAGCAAUAACUUGUGCUGCAUCCUGCCUUUUCCAGUACUCAUCUGUACUGCCUAUAUCAACCAGAAGGAACAAAUAAAAAAAAACAAAGAAACCCUCAAGUGCAUGGUAAAAAAUACGAAAAACCAUGUCAUAUGCCGAAACUUCAGACCGAGCAGUUACAACAAUAGAAAUAGCAGAAGCAGUAAACUUUACCCUUUGAACGAAAUAAAUCAAUUCUACGAACUGAUCAUCAAAAGGUAUAAAAAAAAUGUUCAUAAGAUUACUAAAAACGCAUUGGAGGAAAGUAAAAAUUCAUGCCGCGCAAUGGAAAUAUGUAUAAUUUUCCCUUCCAACAAAAAGAACAAAUAGCAUCAUGCAAUGUAAUUCCAGAAUGAAAAGCAUAAGAGCAACGGGGUUCAUCAAAAACUCACCAAUCUCUACGAACAUAGUGGGCGUAUUCGUUACCGGUCCAUGAUGCGUACCCUCCAAUGUAAUCCACAUUCAAACAUACACAACGGUAUAAAUUAUGAACACACAGACUCAGACUCACACACACACAUUUACACACACAUUUACACAAACAUAUGACGAGCAUUAAAAACGGAGAUCAAGAGAGUGAGAAGGAAACCUCGAACUCAGGAACCAUGUUGUGGGCUUGGGCAAGCUUCCUCAGGUGCCUGAGCCAGGGUCCAAUGCGGGGGCUCGGCGGCGCAGCCCAACCCGGCUUCCCGCCUUGCGGCCCAGCCUCGCCUUCACUCAGAUGAGGGAUUCCGAUCGGGUGUGCCGUCAGUGCCGGCCGGUUGGAGACGGCGGUGUGUUUGCUCAGGAAUAUCACUGGGAAGGAAGAAGACGAAGCGGAAGAGCGGCGGAGCUGGGAGGAGAUGGUCUAGAGUGAGAGUAUAGAGGAGAGGGAGGCGUCGAUAAGGGAAAGGGAAGGGAAUCGAUAUGUUUAGGGUUUCAGUCUUUCAGACUGAAGUGAAGAGAGAGUGAACUGAAGCUGAACGACGUCGUUUUGCCUAUUAAUCGGUUCGGUCCGGUUUCCGAACCCCAGAAACUGAACCGAACUGAACCACAUUCGGUUUGGUCCGGUUUUACACUUUCGAUUCGGUUUUUUUCAGUCUCGGUUCGGGUUUCGGUUCGGUUUUUUUCGGUUUUCGGUUUUUUGAACCCACCCCUAAUCUUAAGAGUAGAUUUGGAAGCUACUUCUAUGUCGCUUGAUCUCCGCACAACUAUUAUCUAUGUCGGCAAGGAGGGGUGAUGGUGAUCUUGCUUGUCAUUUCUCCAAAGUGUUUUUGGAGGUGUCUUUUUUUUUUUUUUUUUUUUUUUUUUUUAACAAAUCCAAAGUAUUUAUCUUUCUUACCGUAACCACUAACAUACAUAACCAGUUGUCUGUUCCGAGUACAAGGUAAGGUAGGAUGUUGUUUUAUAAAGUUACGUUGUAGAGCAUAUUGUCUUAAUGAUUUGAUUAUGAUCAAGGACCAAAAUAUCGAUAAUAUCGGCGAAAUAUCGUUGAUAUUAUCGUUUUUGUGAGACACCGAUAUUUUCACACGUAUCCACUGAAAAAUUGUCCAAAUAUCGCGAUAUUACCGAUAAUAUCACGAUAUUUGAGGCUGGUGCGAAUCGGAGAAGAACGCCGGAGCUUCUACAGCUCCGGCCGACUGUAAAAGAGCACCCUAGACUCCGAUCUAGGUAUCAAAAUGAAAUAGAAGACAAAAGGAAUAUUUUUAUAAUUUCCGUUUGCCGUGAAACGGUCGGAGGUGUUCGGAAAGUUCCUCGACACUCACGGCCUUGCCGGAGAGUUCUUGGGUUCCAGUGUCCUAGCUGCAUGCACCGAGAGAAAGGGAGAGAAAGAUGCGGUUUAGAUGUUGAUGAUGAUGCCGUUGACGGAGUACUACGAUGGGGGUAGAGGGUGUAGAGGUCACGGGAGAUGGAGACGGCGCCGACGAGGCGGAAGACGCGGACGAGGAGGAAGGCGAGGGAGGAGCAGAAGGCCAUGUGGGAGAAGGAUCGAGAGACUGAGGUCUCUGUGCUUGUGUAUGGGAAAAGGGGGAAUAGAGAAGGAUCGAGAGAUCUGUGUGUGUGUGUGUGUGGGAGAAGGGAGAAGGGAGAAGAGAGAAGGAUCCAGAGAGAGAGAGACUGAAGGGAGAAGAGAGAAGGAUUGAGAGAGAGACUGAGGUCUCUGUGUGCGUGUGUGGUCUAUGUGCAUGUGGUGGCGUGUGAUGUGAGAGUCUUUGACUCUCUCUGUUUGUGUGUGGUGGGUGGCGUGCAUGUGAGAAAAAAGAGUAUCCAAAUAAUUCAAAACCCUAACAACUUUUACAACUUGUACAAUUUUUGACAAGACAAAAAUAAUGGUGGUUUCAUAAAGAUUCAAAACUGUGUGCCACGCGUGAUAUUCUUUCACAUUCUCAAAGGUGGAGUAUCAAAUCAUCACACAUUUUUUGACCCUUCGAAAAUUGAAAAACCUCUAUUACACCUUUUCGUUUCUUCUUCUUCCCUUAGCCCUUUCAGAGCCAUUCCAGAUCCAUUCUAGAGCCAUUUCAAAGCUUCAAAUUGAAUAAAUGGAUCUGCAGCUCGCGCCACUCCAAAUUAAAUGUUAAUACCUUCUUUCUCUCUCAUUUAUUCACAGACAACAAGCUGCAGAGGAUCGUCGAGGUUUUGCUGCUACGUACGACAUCGAAAGUUCGAGAUUUGUUACAUUUGUGUAAUUAUUAUUUUAUUGUUGCUCCAUGCAGAUUCUAUUUGGCCUUUACACAAAGGGUUCCAUAUUUAAGGUAAGUUUACAAACUUAUAUUUAUAUUAUUGUAAUUUAUACAACAACAAAAAAUUUGUGUGGACCUGUGCAUGUGAUCUAAGAACCAAAAAAUACUUGCAUGUUAAUUUUUUGAAGUAAUUAAGUAAUGUUGUAUAAUUAUUCCCUAGAAUAAUUUUAAUAUGUUUAAUGUUAUUUAUUAUUUUAUUACCAAAUUGGAUUAUUAUUCAUUAUUAUUAGGUUUUAUUAUUCCAUAUUAUUUUUAUAAUUACUUAAAUUCUUAUAAUCAUUUUCUUUACUUCCUAUUUAAUUCUUCUGUAGAAUAAUUUUACUUCCUAUUUUCUUUACUUCAUAUUUAAUAUGUUUCCGUCACUACUAUAUUUUUUGGCCAAAAAAUAAUUGCCUAAUUUUCAUGAAAAAUAAAUAUAGGUACGUUUAAGAUGUCCAGUGGAGUUACUAAAUGUGAUCUAGCUUGGGAACAUGGAUACCCAAUAGAGGGAAACAAACAUGGUACAAUUUGCAAAUAUUGUGGUCGGGUAAUGAAGAGUGGCGGAGUGACACGACUUAAGUACCAUCUUAGUGGAUUAGAUCCAGGAAAUAAUGUCCAACGAUGCGAUAAUGUCCCCCUAGAAGUGAAGGCAUUCAUCACCACAUUAUUAAAAAAUAAAAAACAACAUAAGGAAAAGAUAACACAUGGAAUGGAAAAUAUUCGAGCUGGGCUACGAGGAGAAGUCAUUGGCCAAGCGGUUGACAGUGAUGAUGAUGACGAUGAGGACGAAUGUGAUGAUGACAUGGGACCUGAAGAACGACGCAGUUUCAAACAAGCAUUAUGUGCCUUCAAACAAUCAGCAUGGGAAAGAGAACACCUUCAUAAAAUUCCUAAUAGAGCACAAGGUUCCGGGACAAGUGGUGGUGCAUAAAUGAGACGGGGAGCAAGUGUUAGAGAAUCACAACCAACACCACCAAUAGCCCCAAGUUUAUAUAAGUCAUCCAAAGCAUGUCAAAAGAGUGUUUGGAGUUAUUUCACUGAAGGUAAUGUGAAGGAGGGAAUGGGGCGUCUAAUUAGCAAGUUCUUUAUCUAUGAAAAUGUCCCUGCUGAGAAGGUAUCAUCACAUCAUUUCAAAAAUAUGGUACUGGGAUGUCAAUAGGCCGGUGUUGGAGUACAACCUCCCACUCCCUAUGAGGUAAGAAACAAAUAUUUGGAAAUGGAGUAUAAAGACAUUGGCGAGUAUGUUAACAAGUUGAGGUCAAAGUGGGAAAAUAAUGGUUGCACAAUCAUGUGUGAUGGAUGGACUGGCCCGACCAGAUUAUCUAUCAUAAACUUCAUGGUAUACUUCAAGUGAAAGACAAUUUUUUUGAAGUCUGUUGAUGCUUCAGACCAUAUAAAGAACUAUAAGUAUAUUUACAAAUUAUUGAGGGAUGUAAUCAUGGAGGUGGGAGAGUAUAAUGUUGUCCAAAUCGUGACCGACAAUGGUUCUGCAUUUGUCAAAGCUGGAAAAAAGUUAAUGAAGCAUCAUAAUGUGUUUUGGACAUCAUGUGCAGCACAUUGUAUUGAUCUCAUAUUUGAGGCAAUGAGGAAGAGAGAGAAUAUUGCUACUAUCGUAAAAAGAGCUAGAACAAUCACAAAUUAUAUUUACAAUCACGGUUGGUUGUUGGCAAAGAUGCGUGAAUUUUGCAAAGGAUAAAUUAUUCGUCCAGCUACCACUCGAUUCGCCACCAACUAUAUUGCAUUCGACAACCUAUUUAAGAAGAAACCAGGGUUGAAGCAAUUAUUCACUAGUGACGUUGGGCCAACCACAAUUUAAGCCGCUCAAAUGUAGGUCGUAUGGUGGAAAGUAUAGUGCUUGAUCAUGCUUUUUAGACUCAAUCAGAACAUGUGUGCCAAGUGUUUGAAUCUCUUUACAAAGUUUUAUGGAUCAUUGACACAGAAGUGUAUCCUACUAUGGGGGCAAUAUAUGAGUUGAUGCGUGUAGUGAAGGAUGACUUGGAAAGAAAACAUGGUGCAAGGUGGGUCAUAAAGAUAAUUGAUGACCGAUGGUAUAAAACAUUAUACCACGAUUUGCAUGCAGCAGGUAUAAAUUAUGUCAUAAUUUGCAAUUCAUUUCUUUAGUUGCAUAAGUAUUAUUUCUCUUAUUAGAGUAUGUGUUUCUUUGAACAUCAUAUUAUUUGAAUCCUCGAUACCAAUACAGACCCGGUGUUGGAGAUGAUGGUAGCCUUAUACGUGUUGUACAUAAUGUAUACUCUAAAUUAGACCCUGCAUCACUAACAGUUGGCCAAUUUGGAAAUGAGGUACAAAAUUACUUAAAUUAUAAUAAUUACAUUGUUGGAUUAAACUAACACGAUUUAUUGAAUUCAGCUAACAUGGUUUAAAGAUGGAAGAAGAACUUUUGGAGAACCAACAUCAGUUUUUGCUCUAACAAAAAUGUCUCCUAGUGAGUGUAAACAUAUUUCACUAUCAAUUUAUAAUAGAAUUUGUUGGAGUUAUUAGGCUUAUCAACAUUGUUUUUCAUUAUAGCUGAAUGGUGGAUCAUGUAUGGGACUGAUGCACCAAUUGUGAGAAAGUUAGCAAUCAAAGUAUUAUCACAAACAGCUUCCUUAUCUGCUUGUGAAAGAAAUUGGAGUACAUUUGCACUCAUACACAUAAAGCAAAGAAAUAGGUUGGCUCAUAGUAGGUUGGAAAAAUUAGUUUAUUGCUACUACAACAUGAAGCUUCAAAUUCGAGAUAAGGAAGCAGAAGAUGUGUUUGAUAUUGUUGCUGAAGAUGAUGAUACAGAGGGUAACCAACUUUAUCAAUGGAUUAGACCUUUUCAUUUAGAUGAUGAUGAGGACAACCCAACUCCCAGAGUUGCUGAAGAAGCACGUAAUGAAAGGAUAAAUGUAGAAAGAGUAUUAGAAGAGGAGGUGGGAUCUAGCAGCGCUGACUCUUUGGAAGAACUUUUGCGCCAAAGACCACGAAACACUGGAAUUCCACCUUCUUCCAAUCCUACACAACCACAAGAUCAUGCUGAUACUAAUGAUAGCUCUACUACAAGAUCAGGAGACUCACCUACCACGAGAGGUGGAGCUGGAGGUAGUGGUGAAGGAUAUAGUGGAGGUGGAGGUAGUGGUGGAUAUAGAAAUUAUGUUGGACCGCCUCCCGGAUUUAUGAGCCCCUUCACUGGUGAGGCAAACUUCACACAUGCAACACAGGAUGAGGACCAUGGCAGUAGGCGGGCAGGACCAGGAAUUGGUGCAUAGGGAAGGACUAUACUCGUAGAGAAAGAGGCAAGGGGAUUUUGUCAAGUCAAGAAGAUGACUCGUUAUCUAUAACUUCGAACUCUGUUGGAGUGGGAAGUAGUAACUAUGGUUAUACUCAUAACCAACCAUUUCGCUACCAUUCAUAUCCCAUUCCUGUUAGGAUGGAAUCGAGCGACUCAUGGAAAGAAUCCGAGACUCAAUCUUCAAAUGAUUUUGCUUAUGGACAACGUCAACCAAUCUCGGAUCCAUAUGGGUGGCAUGUUAACAAUUACAUGCAAAACUAUUUUGGGGAUUUAUCAUUUGAUAACUACUCUUCACAAUACACUUACUCUACACAUAGAGAUGAUGAAGAUAGUGAAAAAUUUGAACCUCAUAGGAACUCUAUGUGAUACUAAGUCACUCAUGUAUCUUACCAUGCAAUGUAUAAAGUGUAAAAUAUUGUACUAAUUCAUUAUAUAUAAAUGAUUAUGGUGUGUUUAAACUUCUUUCAUUAAUUACUACAUAUUUUCUACACUCACAAUGUUUGCCAGCUCGCUAUACAAUCAACUUAAAUCAGUUAAAUCCAUCAUGCAAUGCAUUUCCUUCCAAUUUUUUGUGAUAAACUAAUAGAUAAUUGACUAAAUAAACAUCCUGCAAAGUUUCAAUAAAAAUUUCCAAGUUUUUCUUAUAAUUUUUGUGGUUUUUUAUUCAAUUUUUAUCGAUAUUGAUAAUAUCCCGAUAUUUCCAUCGAUAUUUCCGUGUUUUUGGACUACCGAUAUUUCCGAUAUCAUCGAUAUUUUAUACCUUGAUUAUGAUCACAUAUUCGUUGCAAGAUAUUUAUUUUGAUUUAUACAUUCUUUUGAAAUAAUAGUUGUCAUUAUUAUUAUAGUUGGCGUUCUGCCGCUGCAUAUUUGGUUAUUUCAAUGCGUCAAUUGUCAUGUUAAUAUCAUUUCUAAUGAUUUCUUUUAAUUCUUAAUUUCAGUUUUAUUUAACCAAAACUGAUGCAUUGAAAGGAUUUAUAAUGUUAGCGUAUGAUUGCGCAAUAAUUUUCCGUGAAUUCCCACUAUUUGGCCAACUUUUUUUGUGAUUAGCCCUAUAUACAUAUAUAUAUUAUAUUUAAUGGGAUUUUUUUUUUUAGAAAAAUAGUGCGAUAUUCAUUAAAGAUGAAAGAAUAUGUACAAAUAAGUAGGAUAUGGUGCUAACAAUGGGCCUCGAUAAAAACCUUGCCGGGGAUUUCAAACCGUUCAAAGGGAAAAAGAGUGCCACGCACCAAAAUUAAUGUUGAAUACCAUCCUCGAAAAGAAUAUCAAAGAUUACAUCCGGUGGUUCUUCAAACCAAUAAAUUUGACUAUCUAAUGUUAAACCCAAUCUGACCAAUUUGUGAGCUACCUUAUUUGUUUCCCGUCGACCAAACGUGACCUUCGUUGUGAGAAAGACUUCAAAAUAUGUCUAGCAUCAUUUAGAAUAUGCCCAAAUUCCCCACUUAAUGCCGCUGCAUCAGUUGCCUGGAGGGCAUUAAUUAUCACCACAGCAUGGCCUUGUACCUCCAUGGCCGAGCAUGACACCUCCUACACAAAAUGGACAGCAGCUCGCGCUGCCAUUGUUUCUGCCAUUUCUGCAUAUUUCACACCCCGCAUACGUGCAGCCAUCGCUGCUACAAACACACCUUGGUCAUCACGGAUCACAGCACCAAUCCCCCUCGAAUUCUUCGAUUCGUGCCACUUUCUAUACUCUUGGAGCCAUGCUUGAGUUCUACAAUGUAUAUCCACUUGGUUCAUCGCUUUCCGAGUCCACAAGAAGGAAUUUCUUUCCUUCCGUAUGCUCCAAAGCAACAUCAAAGUUAACUCAAAGUUUUGUCUGGAUAAAGCACUUGUCAUUUGUGCCAGCCAAUUUUGAAGGCCACCUUGUGCAAAACUACCCGUUCUCAAGCUCAACGGGCUAGAAAACCAAACUGAAGCUGGACGUGUCAAUCGAGCAAUGGAUGUUCAACAAUUUCCCUCGCGCUUGCACAAAAAACACGUGUGUCAGUUGUAAUGACCUUUCUCUUCUGCAAAUUAGCUCUAGUUGGUAAUGCGGUCAUACAUCCCCACCAUACACAGAUUUUAACUUUCGUGAGGACACAUGCUCUCCAUAAGGCUUUCUAUAGCAAAUGGAUCCCUGCACCCAUCAUGGAUCCUGAAGGUUCCGGUCUUCUUCGCAAUCCUUAUCAAAGUAUCUGGUGAUCGAAAAUAACUAAGGGGAAUACUCAAGAUCAAACCCGCUUCUUCCACAGAAAAAAUGCAAGUAAUUAAAUCCACUUUCCACUUCGAACCCCCUUCCUCAGCAACCAAUCCACCUUGGUGCCGUGAUCAAUGCCAUGCGGAAUUGGGCUAAUAACCUUUGAAAAAUGCUCAUGGAUCCUGAAGGUUCCGGUCUUCUUCGCAAUCCUUAUCAAAGUAUCCGGUGAUCGAAAAUAACUAAUGAGAAUACUCAAGAUCAAACCCGCUUCUUCCACAGAAAAAAAUGCAAGUAAUUAAAUCCACUUUCCAUUUCAAACCCCCUUCCUCCAUUAGCAACCAAUCCACCUGGGUGCCGUGAUCAAUGCCAUGCGGAAUUGGGCUAAUAACCUUGGAAAAAUGCUCACGGCCCCACACCUCCCCCCCCCCCCCCCCCCCCCCCCCCCCCCCCCAAAACAAAUAUUUUUUUUAACCUUUUCUCCAUCCCCAAUCCUCCAUCUCGAUCCUUGUCGAAUAAUAGUUCGGGCUUCGCAAGACUACGCCAAUAAUAGAACGCAUUGGUUUUCACUGUUGCUUGCAUGAAAUCCGAAUUCGGGAAAUAACGAGCUUUGAAAACACGACCAGCAAGGGACGUGGGUUGUUGAAAAAAACGCCGCCCCUGCUUCGCAAGUAAUGCAAGAUUAAAAGCAUAAAGGUUUUUGAAGCUCAAUCCUCCCUCACAUUUUGGUUUACACAUUCGACGCCGCUGUACCCAAUGGAUUCUACGCUUGCCACUCUCACGCCCCCACCAAAACUUUGCAACCAUUUGUGUCAAUUCAUUACAAAGUGUCUUCGAAAGAAAGAAUGUUUACAGCGUAUAUAAAGGUAGUUUUGAUUCUUAAAAGAUACCUACUAUUCUUUGAGCUUGUAGAAAACAAUUUUUUUUGUUUUUGAAAUGUUACUAACGAAUAUUUGUUUACAUUUAUAAUAUUAUAUUUGUGGGGGUUUUUCCAUGGACCUUAUUAUUCGCUUGCUACCUAUUUUGAUUUGUGUCAUAUUUACAAGUGAACUAAGAACUAGGUCGACAAAUCUAAACGAUACUUUUGUGUCACUUCAUUGAUUGGCAUCCCCAAAGUUUUCCACUUCAUCACCAAGAGCGUUCAAAGUAAGCUCUUACUUAGAUGACCCAGAUGUGCUGGAUUAAGGUCCAUUUUCAUUAUGAAAUUUACAGAUAAGUGACACAUUAUUUUAAUUAGUUAUUGAUUUUUUUCCCUAUAUAAAUUAAAAUUAUUAGUAAUCUAUUAUAUGAGAAUGAUUCCAUAGUCAAAGUCAAUUUAUUAGUAAUCCAUUAUAAUAUCGGUCUAGUACCUCACGAGCUUACCAUGCUUAUGAUGAAAGGCAGUGAUGUGCUAAAGACAGCCUUGUGAUAUGAGCAUGCACUAUAAGGUUUGCAAGUCCUACAUUUGCUGGAGAUUUCCCUCAAUUUGUGGGGGUUCAUGGUGAGCUAGUUUUUGCAUAACUUGUUGAUGCUUCUUGUGUGGUACACUUCUUAAUAAUCAGAUAGCUUAAAUUGAAAUACAUAUGCGUUAUAGAGUUAAGACACACAUACAUGCUUGAGUUUUUUUGAUCUCCUUAAUUAGUUGUGAAAGACGUAUUAUUCAUUGCAAAUUCUAAUGGACUCCUAUUUGUCGCUUGUAUAUUUGACUUGUCUGCAAUAUCUAUAGAGUAGUAUUGUGUUUGUCUUCUAUGGUGAAGCUGCAACAAUACGAGUGAUCCUAGGAAUGGGGGUGAUGUACUUGUGAUGACCAACACUUCCAAGGAAAGCUCAUUUAAUGGAGUAGGUCACUGUAUUUGUCCCUCACUGUGUAAAGGUAUGCCCCUGUAGUAGAAAAAAGCUCAUCUAUCAUGGUCGAUAUUUACCACGGAUAUUAUGCCUGUUAGUAAUCUGGAUGUGAUAGAAAGUCACAGAUUCUACCACGGGUUAUGCUCGUUGUCAAUUGUAAUAUAAGCACAGAUUGUGCCCGUUGUAGAUUAAGAUCAAAUACCACGUGCACUAUAACCGUUGUGGAUUACAAUUGGCCACGGCUAAUGCCCGUUAUAAAAAAAUUUCCAAAAAAAAAAGAAGUUUAAUAAAUGUAUUAUAUAAUAUUUAUACACAAAAUUACACAUUUACUAUAAUAUAGCAAUUAAAUAAAAAAUCAUAGAUUCAAACAUAAAACUAUAGGAACCAAACCAAUGCUAUAAGCUAAAUCAUUAAUUAGCUUAGAAAUCAAUAUCAAGUUCUUACCCUGUCUGCAAGUUCUUUGUGCAAAUAAAAAGGGUAAACCGCAAAGCUACGAAAACCACAGGUUUAGAAAGCAUCAUUGAAAAUUUGUAUUAAAAAACUCAAACAUACAAAAACUACCGAUGGAGAAAAGUGCUAGAACAUAUCAAAUUUUGAGACUUGAAAUAUUAAUUUCAUUAGAUUACUACUUCACAAUUCGACGAUAAGGAUGAUUAAGGACAAAGAAGUGGAAAUUAGAAUCACAAUUUGGGAAUGGAAUAUGUUUAUUCCCCAUGAGGGGAACACAAGUAUUAUCAUUAUUAUCAUUAUUAUCAUUAUUAUCAUUAUUAUUAUUAUUAUUAUUAUUAUUAUUAUUAUUAAACUACCUAAAAUUUAAUCAGUCCUUACUAGGGUUGGGCAAAUAUUCAUUGGUUAUGGGUAACCACGGUUACCCACCCAUUUAAAUUAAACGGUUACGGUUAUGGGUAACCGUUUAGAUAAAUAAACGGUUAUGGGUAUAAUCGUUUACCCACGAAAUUUAAAUGGGCGGUUAUAAACGGGUAACCGUUUACCCAUUUAUUUUAUAUAUGUAAAACUAACACAAACCAUGUUCUCGAUCCAAUAAUACUUAGCACCCAAUAAAUUAGCAAGGAAUUCAUCGGUCCUUCUUUCAAUAACACUACUAUAGGAAUGAUGAUUUUCAUUAUCAAGGAAUUGGCCAAAUUAAUUUAAAUUCCUUGCAGGUAAUCGUGAAAUUGACAGAAAUGUUUUGACAGAAAUGUCUUCUAAACAAUUUUUGUAACCCAAUAAUACUUAGCAAAUAUUAUAUUUACCUUCAUUGGUAACAGUUAAAAAUAUCGUCCCUAAACUAUUAUUUCAAUUAUUGGAAUUGUAUAAGAACUUAAAAAAUUAAAAUAUGGAAAUGUAUGAUGAAUGUACCUAUAACGGUGUUUAAUUGUCAAAAAAAAAAUUUAUGACAAUUUUUUUUUAAUUUUCAAGUUGUUAAAAAACAUGUAGACUGAUGAAAAAAGGGUAAUGGUAAAAAAAAAGAUAAACGGGUUAAAAAGGAUAAAUGGUUAAACGGGUAUUAAACAGUUACGGUUAAAUGGGUAUGCGGUUAUGGGUAUGGUUAACCGUUUAUAAACGGUUAUGGGUAUGGGUAUAACCGUUUAGGCAAUUACCCAACGGGUAAACGAUUAUGCGGGUAUGAGCAUAAAUGGUUAUGGGUAAAUUAACCGCGGUUACCCGCCCGCAUAACCAUUGCCCAUCCCUAGUCCUUACACAUUUAUGCACUACCUAAACUAGCAUGCAUUGGAGUGUACAAACUAAACUAAAUAAAAAUUCGGUGUUUUAAGCUCCAUCAUAAACAAUUAUAUCCACCAAUAAUAUACGGACUUUAGAGGAAACUCAGACUACAAAAUGAGAUUCCGUAAGCUCUUUCUUACUCAUACUUAGUUUGGAUAUUUGAUAAAACGAAAAGCACCGCAAAUUGUUAGGAAGCUGGUGUUAUAAUCGACUCAAUAUAGAGGAUACGAAAGAACAUAAGAACACAAAUUUCCAUCAACAUAUUCCUGAUUGAAAAGUUUUUCGUCAAUGAGUGAGAAAUAACGACACAAACUGGGCACAACCUAAGAGCACAACUGUAUAAAGAGAUUAAAAUCUGCACAGACAGAACUACCAACACAGCUCUAAUGCAAAACUCAUACUGAAAAACCGUUACGAUUCAUAACCAACAAUCCCACAACAAUUCCAAACAAAAAAUGCAACCGGGUUUCACAUAAAAAGGCAGCAUAAUAGACAAAUACAACAAAAGAAAAAAAAAAACCUAACUUUUCAACAUAGCAACACAUGUUUACUUCUACUCAAUCAUAAAAAAAAAAAAAGAGGAACCCAUUACAACAAUUCACAAACACAAGUCAAAAUUAGACAAAAAAGAAGAAUCACAUACCGAGAAAGGAUUUGCCUUUCAAGAUCCAUCUUCAGUGGAUACGCACUUCCGUAAAUGUACCCCUAGAUUUUCCUAUUUAUCAGCUCCUGUGUUACCUUCGCCUAAAACCCAACAAGUAAACAAACCUAAUUCAACAAAAUUUAAUCACAUAUCUUCAAUUCUAAACAAACAGCAACACAAAUCAGGAGAAAGAAAUAGAGCAAUAGAGAGGGAAAAUAUCGAUUCCAAAGCAGAUUCGAGAGGUCGAUUCCCAUUUAGACAACGGUGAUUGUGCCAAAGCCUCGCCUUUGAAAUCCACUGAGACAUACAACGGCGAGAUCUCGUGCUUUCUAGUUGGAGACGAAGUCGAAGAUUCUGUAGAUUGGGAAUACCCGAGAUGCCAAGAAAAUGAUAAGAUCCAAAUCUCUAGGCCCUUAAUCAACCUGCAAGUAACAUAGAGGAUAGAGAUGGAGAGGGAAGGAAGAGAGAGAGCAUAGCUCUUGAAUUGUUUUUGUUUAUAUUUCUUUUGUGUAAAUUCUGAUCUGAUACAUUUGAGGGAGUUGCGCUCCUUUUAUAUAGCCUCCACACUUUUAAAUGCCAGUUGGCAUAUUAACAAUUCCUCAUAGUAAUAAAGCAUAAAACCUCAGUUAUAACUUGGGUCAUAACAAUACUCCCCCCUUGAAAAUUAGCCUUGUCCACAAGGCUAAAAAAUUUGGAUGUGGGAACUUGUUUGAAAGCAGCAACACAUUCCCUUGUGAUGGUCAUGUUCUCAAUUCUAGAUAUGCCCAUUGCAAUCCCAAUAUCAGCAAGUUUCAAAACAAGUGCAUCAUUCAGUGGUUUCAAAGCACUAGUUGACAUCUCAUGAAGGGCUUGCACGAUAUAGUUCCUUGAGCUAUCAUCCAGUGGUACAACAGUGCCAUCAAGCAACUGAACCUUAGUGCUUUUCUCAAGCAAAUUCUCUACAUCACCCUUCACUAGCAAUGACUCCUCCCCUGAAACAGAGUUGACAAUUACACCCGUGGAUUUCUUAUCGCGAUCAAACUCAAGGGUUGCAAUUCGGUGUUCAUAUUCACUCCACUUCUGGCAACAACCAAGAAAAUCCCUUCCAUUUGAUGAUUCCGGACUCUUGGACUCUUCAGAAAGGACCAUCUUCUCAACUAAAAACUUUGGAGCUGCCUUAGCAGGCAUUCCAUGAGCAACAUACUUCUAUUCUGCAUGUUCAAUGCUAUCAUUAUUGUAGACAGCAGCUACCUUUGCGAUCAUUUGAAGAUUAGCAUCCAUUUGACCAGUUGGCCAGUUAAGAAUUUCACCAUCAAGUAGAUUGUAUGUAAUUCCAUCCACCCUAAACUUCAGUAGUAUAAUAGGCCUAGGACUCCAAGCUACAAAUUUUGCCACUGCCAUCUGGUUUGUAGUCAUGGUCUGUGUUUUAUCAUAAGCUCCAAUCAACACAUUUGCUACUUGAAUAUCAUAGGUUGAGCACUGCCAUUCCCUUUCCAAGUAGGAAGCAAAGUGAUGUCUGUGAACAAUCAGCACAACAUGACCACUACCCUUUUUUGGCAUGAUUUUCUUAUCAAAUUUGAAGGUCCAAUCUAUUCCUAUAAGUUCAGCCUUGUUCACUUCAACCUUUGAAGGCUGAAUCUCCUCCAAUCUCAAAACAAGCUUCGUUAAAGUGCAAGCCAUAAUUGACUAAAGCAAAAAUUCACAAGAAUGCAGACAUUGUAAAUGUUUCACCUCAUGUGAUAUGUGGCCUUUAAACGAUUGAACUGACUCUGAGCCUUUUUCCCCACCUUUUAUGCAGUGCACCAUGCUAACAAGUUCAAUGCCGAAAAGGGCUUUAACAGAGUCAGGACUUUCACUAGAACCUGACCAUCGUAGAGAAUGAGAAAGGGUGUAUAAAAGCUGUGACCAACAUUUUUUUGCAUCCUGUUGCAUGAAGGUACUAUUAUACUGCUGACCAAAAUGAGGGUAUUUGUUGAGCAAUACCAUCCAAAAUUGCACAGGUGCCAUAGCCUUGAUACCUUUAUCCAAUUCACUAAUUAAAGCACAAGUUGUAAUAGUCAGCCUAUGAGAAGUCUGAUCCCCCCAUCAUUUCUUUCAGAAUGAGAAUACUUGAUCAAAGCUGAUUUCAACUCUGGAACAGAAUGCAGAAAAGGUAAGGUGGAGUUCAUAUAAUAGGUGUUUCCCAAGUAAAAUAAACCAACAUCAUAAAUCAAGUUAAUAGGUACUUUAACAAGGUUUUCUUCAAUGGGUACUUUGCUGCUAGGAUCCCCACGCAAAUCACCCUGGGCAUCUAACUCAAUAUCAUCCAAACCAACAAAGUGUGUAGUUUGAUUUAUGCCAACCACGCUUUUAGCUAACCAAAACAUCACAAUGUCUACACGGGAAGAUUUUUCAUCUAAGCCUUUGCUUUCAAUAAUCUUGAUCUCAACGUGGGAUACAUUAGCUUUUUCUUCACAAGAAAUUUCUUUAACCAUUUGUUUAAUCCAUAUGGCAAUAGUAGCAAAACCAUGUUUCAGGAUCAACUACUUCAGAUAGGAAAACCAACAUCUGUUAGAAACAUGCCGGCAAAGUUGCACAGAUGCAACCCACUAGUCAGGGAUGACAUGAACCCUUGGACAUGAUUCACACCUAUAUUCAAUUACUGCUCCACUAAGAGUAUUCAUAAUACUGUUAUUGAUGUAGGACCUUAACAAGUUGAGAGCUAAAUAACCAUAUAUUAAGAGCUUCAAAUAUACCAAGGCAUCCAUAUUGCUCCACAAUGACUGAGAUGCAACAUAGACGUAGAGGGAUGGCUCAUAUAUAGUUAACUGGUUUGCACAACCACUAUUGAGAUUAGAGGUGAUAUGACAAGGAAUAAGCCUUUACAGGUGAUGUAUGAGAUAAUAAAUGAAAUUGAAAAGUGUUCCCAUAUUUUCGUCACCCCAUCUCUUAGACAUUUCAUCAAACAGGGUAGAUGCACACAAAUCCUUCUUCACAAACUUACCCACAAGAUACCAAUUAACCCAUCCAAAUUUAUCUUUCAGGUAUGCACCAUAGUUAUCAGUCAUAAGAGAAGGGAACUUAGCCUCCGAAGUUGUUGAAAUGAUACUCAAAUUAAGAACUACCUCAGGUCCAUUUUUCAUACUAUCGGAGAACAAGUGCUUAUGGAGUAGCUGCGGAGCAGAGAUCAUCAUCUUCGAUUCCGGAAGCAAAACUACAGAUGCAACAGACUUGUUCGAUUGUGGCUUGACGGUCGAAUUUUCCAGUGUUCGCAACUUCUGUGAAGAUGAGAGCAAUGGCGGAAUGGAAUGGUCGUGGAUUAUCGAUGGAAUUCGAAGUGGGUUGCCGUCUUCGUUGUGAGCAAGGAAGAAAAAAUCGAUAAUAUCGGCGAUAUAUCGCCGAUAUUAUCGGUUUUUCAGGGGACCGAUAUUUUAAUAGGUAUCCAAAGGGUUUUCGUGAUAAUAUCGCGAUAUUUUUUGAACUGGGCUACUCGGAGAAGAACGCCGGAGCUUCUACAGCUCCGGCCGACUGUAAAACAGGACCCUAGACUCCAAUCUAGGUAUGAAAAUGAAAUAGAAGACGAGAUGAAGAGAAGAGAAGAGAUGGGGGGGAGAACCGGAGAAGGAUCGAGAGACUGAGGGAGAAGAAAAAGGAUGGAGAGACUGAGGGAGAAGGAUGGACGGAGAGACUGAGGGAGAAGGAUCGAGAUCGAGGCUGAGGGAGAAGGAUGGACGGACGGAGAGACUGAGGGAGAAAGAUCGAGAUCGAGGCUAAGGGAGAAUGAUGGAAGGAUUGAGAGACUGAGGGAGAGAAGGAUCGAGAUCGAGGCUGAGGGAGAAGGAUGGACGGACGACGGAGAGACUGAGGGAGAGAAGGAGAGACUGCGUGUGUGGUGUGUGCGGUCUAUGUGUGUUGCAAAGAAGAGAUGAGGGGGCAGAAGAAGAAACAAGGAGACUUUGGGAGAAGGAUCGAGAGAGCCCUGCACGAAUCCCUCUACAUUUCUAAAAGAUAAUUAAAUAUGAGGAAAUUGUGAGAUCUGACAUGUGGCUAGAAAUGCCGUGUGAAAGUUUCCAUAUUGCACAUGUAUAUAUUAUUGUUAGUUUUUCUCUUACUUUUCAAAUUGUUUGUUCCACAUUUGUUAAUUUCAUUAUAUAUAAAUGAUUUUGAUGUGUUUAAAUUUUUUUCAUUAAUUACUACAUAUUUUCUACAUUCACAAUGUUUGCCAGCUCGCUAUAUUAUCAACUUAAAUCAAUUAAAUUCAUCAUGCAAUGCAUUUCCUUCCAAUUUUUUGUGAUAAACUAAUAGAUAAUUGACUAAAUAAACAUCCUGCAAAGUUUCAAUAAAAAUUUCCAAGUUUUUCUUACAAUUUCCAUGGUUUCCAUGUAAUUUUUAUCGAUAUCGAUAUUAUCCCAAUAUUUCCAUCGAUAUUUCCGUGUUUUCGGACUACCGAUAUUUCCGAUAUUACCGAUAUUUUCUUCCUUGGUUGUGAGGGUUUUGGUGACCGACCUCGAUCGAUGCAGGUUCCUUGGAACACAUCGAGGCUGGAUCAGAAUCUCCCUCGACGCCGAGAGCCAAGUCAUGGUGUAACUAAGCAAGGUUACUGCGGAUUUCGACGAGUACAGGAUUCACAGCCUUGUGAAUGACAAUGAGUGCAGAAUCCAUAGCUUCGCGGAUCUUAUCACGGAUCGCAGCUCAUAUCGAAGCUUCAAAUGAGUCGAUUGCAGAGAGGUGUGCAUCCAUGGCAGGAAGAUGGGUCGGGUGGGCGUGCACAUGAGGGAAACCAGGAUUCGAGAAGGAUGAUACCAUUGAUAAGAUCCAAAUCUUUAGGCCCUUAAUCAACCUGCAAGUAACAUAGAGGAUAGAGAUGGAGAGGGAAGGAAGAGAGAGAGCAGAGCUCUUGAAUUGUUUUUGUUUAUAUUUCUUUUGUGUAAAUUCUAAUUUGAUACAUUUGAAGGAGAUGCGCUCCUUUUAUACAACCUCUACACUUUUAAAUGCCAGCUGGCAUAUUAACAAUUCCUCACAGUAAUUAAGCAUAAAACCUCAGUAAUAACUUGGGUCAUAACAGAAAAAAAAAAAAAUAGGGUUCAAAUAGUGUAUGCAAACAAAUGAGUUGAUGUUCGACUACUAGGGUUUGCUUAGGGAGAUGGUUGCGAUUCCAAAGAAGAUUUUUUUUUUGGGUGGGGGGGGGCAGUGGGGAUUUUGGAGAGAGAAAUGAGUAGUUUGGGGUUUCGGAGAAAUCGUUGAUGGAACCGAAUGGGUGAGACUUGGUAGUUGGUGGCGUUAGAUCUGGAAAUGGUAGAGAUUGGGGUUUUUUUUUUCAAUUAGAGAAGAUUGGGAUAAAGAUUACUACACUAUAUGUGGGAGCAUGUACAAUACAUAUGACAAUAAACCAGGUGUGAUUUGUUAAAAUUUUAAGGCUUUCCAGAACUUGUGGGUGUUUCCUUCACUGUACUUAUUAAAUUAAAUGGAACUUUCAUGAAAAGGGCUUGGACUAAGUUUAUUUUAAUAAAAAACCAUGCUAUAACUUUAUUUAAUUAAAAAGACUUAAAUUUUAAUGAAAAACCCUUAAAUUUUAAUAAAAAGGACAAAAUAACUUAAAUUUUAAUGAAAAGGACAUAAUUUUAAUAUUUAAAAAUUUAAAAAAAAAAAAUUGACGCGUGGACUGAUGUGAAAAUUACUUGACACACAAAUUAACCCUCUUUUUGACAAUUGUAGUAAAGUAUGUAAGUAGGGUAUCGUUCUAGGCCGGGGAUUAGGAGGGAUUGCUAAUCUACUCUAAAUUAAUUUAAAAAUACUAAACAAGACUCAAGGAUACAAAACUAGGCUAAAAACUCUAAUAACUCGAAACACACUUAGAAUGACUCAAAAUAAUGAAAACAAUCAAAUUAGACACUAGGAACUGAAAUGGACGGAAAUUGAAUUAAAAGACUAACAACAAUGAAAACUAAUUAAAUAAUAUAAUUUAAUAAUGGGGGUUUUGGUUUUGACGAGAAAUAAAUUAAACUUAAAUAAAUUACAGAAUUGACAAAAACAUGAAAUUAAAGUGAAAGGAUAAAUGACGGACUAGCUAGAGGGUUCUUCUCCACACAUGACACAUAUGCAACCUAAAUUGAUUUUCAGUUGUUCUUUCAAUAAAUUAUGAAUCUCAAUACUUCAGAUUAACCAUGAACAUCAUUUUUUUAAUCUUCAAGUUUUCCUUAAGUUAUUGAAUUGGACGGGAAAACGCAUACAACAAUUCAAAACAUUCUUCAAAAGUCCCCUACGUGAAAAGCACAAUAGAGAUACAAUCAAAGAUCAUUAAACUUUGUGAAAACUAUAAGCAUUGACGAGGCAUUCGUAACUAUGAAAAGCAUGAUACUCUUGCCAAGAAUUUACUUAACAUGAUUGUGACUAGCAACCUUUACUACUUGUGAAUAUAAGUUCAUAAAGAUUAGGUGAAAUUCACUUAUAUUCUAGCAUCAAAUUCAUGCAUGUAAAUUAAGUAUGCAUUCUUAAUCGACAUACAAAAAUAAGUUAUCAAUCAAGCAGUUAAGCAAAUUAAAUCACAACUCAGAAAUCACAACUGAAGGUAAUCAAUUCAUAUUACAAAUAUAUUCAUGGCUUUGAAUUAACCUCUAACCAAAAUAAAUUUAGUUACACAUUAUUAUCAAAUUAAACCAAAAGUAGAACAUGGGUUUGAGAGGAUAAAACCAAGAAAAAUGGAGUGAAGUUUUGCUCUUUGCCGUGCUUCUGCCCUCUGUGCUCUGUCCCUUCUCUGGUUUCUGCUCCUCGUCAGUCUCUCUCACCCAUCUGCCCCCCUGGACUCCCUCCUUUCUUUCUAUAUUUUUUUCUUUUUUUUUUUUCUCUGGCAGCCUCACUGCCUUCCCUUUCUCCUCGCUGCCAAAGCAGCCUACCUCCCUCCUCGAAUCUCACUCUCUGUGCUCACCUCCCCCAGCUGCAAAAGCAGCUAUCUGACUCUCUGACUUCUCUCCGUACCAGCUGCCAAGGGCAACUGUUUUUAUUCCCCCUUUUCCCUCCUUUUCUCCCCCCGUGUCUCACGUUUCCUGCUUCUCUUCUUUUCCCCUGCCAAGGGCCCGUGUCUCCCUUGGAUUCUUCUUUUCUGCCUUUCUGCUGGUCUCUCUCUUGGAUUCUUCUUUUUAUUUUUCUUUCUUUAUUCUUUCAGCAAGACGUUGUUGUAUUGCUCCAACUUUUCUAUCAUUUGCACAAAAUCAACCCCAAAUAUGAGCCCAGCAUGAUCCACUCCAAGAAAGUGUGCGAUAAGAACAUCCUAAUCUUCUUGGUACAAGAAUGGAAGAAGGUGGUCAAUGCAUCCAAUUUUGACGAAUUUAUUACAUAAAAUUUCACUUGUUCUAUUUUUAUUUUCUUUGCAUAACAAAUCCUAUAAACACAAAAAUAACGUAAAUAGCUCAAAAAUAUAAGGAACUAACUAAGAAAAGACGAGUGAAUUCGAAGUAAAAAUAUAUAUAAAUAUGAUCCGAUCAAAUACCCCCACACUUAACUUUUGCUAGUCCUCGAGCAAAACAAAGAAAACAUGAAAAAGUAAUAACAUGAAAAACAUUAGCUUCCCUCUAUGUGACCCUCAUAUAAUUUCAUUCAAGAAAACAAAUCAUCAAGAACCAUAGCUAGCACCAAGGAACUAAUCCAAGUUCAUCUUCCUUAUUCAAAUAUUAGCAGUAAUCUUUGAAUCAUCCUUGAAGUAGUGUGUGAGAUAGCCAUGCUAAUGCAAUUUCAAGUUUUUAUUUUUAAAAUCAUCAUAUGCAAACUAGCGACCUUCUCACGGGAUAUGCACUCAAUCACACAUGUGUUUAGUUUUAAUGUGUUUCGCUCAAAGAAUCAAAGGUGAAAUUUCUACUAUAAGCUUGCAUAAAGAUCUCAUCUCCACAAUCAUAAUUGCAAAACUGAAAUCAAGAGGACUUUUAUUGGAUGUAAUGAGGUUUAGGGAGAGGGUUAUUGAAAUGAAAGAAUAGGUAAACACAAGUUCCAAGCUACAUUGCAAGCAAUUCUUUUGUUUAGAUUUAUAAGAACUCAAUCUUUACAGAGAUUCUUCUAGCACCUCCAACCACACCCUUAACUGAAACUUGAAAAACUUUUUAUUUUCUUUGUAUACAAUCUUUCUUUUUAUUUUAUUUUUUAUUUAUUUUAUUUUUUUUAUUUUUUAAUAUACAAACAUGAAACACCCCCACACUUAUUCUUUUGCCAAACACCUUCAAAGUACUUCACAAACAUUUCUCAUAAGACAAUCUCGCAUUGCUCACUAGCUUGCUUGGAAAGGGUAAGGAAAAAUGUUUCAGGUAUAAGGGUAGACAUAUCUGGUGAUAAGAAAUAAAAGGCUCAACAUACACGGCUCAAAUUGGCAAUCUAAUGAUAUCAUUUUUAUUUGGGAAACAUGGUUAUUUGGGCCAUAGUGGUAAACCUAAUGCCUCUAUCAUUUCCAAGUUCAUGCAAUCAAUGACAAACAUUUCGAAAGAUCGUUACGCAAGUUCUAGAGAUGUAUCUCACAUAAGUUCAUCACACAUGAAAGAAUAGGAGUGUAUGAAAAAUGCACACACUUUCAAUCGGCUCAAAAACUCACAUAGGAUAUAUAUGGUCACUAAAUUCACAUAUGAAGCUUUAAUUCAUACUUUAGUUUCACAUUAACAAGGCUAUGUGCAUUUGGUUUUUCAAAGAUGAUCAAACAUGUACAAAACUAACAAGAGAAUUAGGAAUUUCACAAAACACAUGUUAACUAAGUUCUUGAUGAUCAUGGUUCAAAUUUGAUCCAAUUAUAUCAUUGGGUCGGGAAACUAACAAAAAUCUAAUUCAAAACAAUAAGGGAAACAAGACAAUAUUUUUGGAUUUUUAAAUUUUCCGAUUUUUUUUUUUUUAAAGAAAACAAAACUAAUUAAGAAAACAAAAAGCAACAACACGGAAACAAAGGAAAUUCUAGAGAUGUCUACCCCCACACUUAAACUGGACAUUGUCCCCAAUGUCAGAAAACACUAUAAUGCAAAUAAAAAUAGAAUAAAAUAAAUAAAUAAUAAGAAACAAAAUAACGCAAUUGGACUGAAAACUUCCCUAGUUUGCAGUAAAACCAAGUGAUGACCCCCCAAGCUAAAAUUCUGCAAUCAACUUCAAGGGUGGAAAUAACCAAAAGUUCCUGCAAAGAAAAGAAAUAAUUCAGUUAAGUAAUGCUAGAAAAAAAAAAUGCAAACGAAAAAUUGAAAAUCACGAUAAAAGACAAUGAAUAGAACUAAUAAGUGAUCAUUGGUCGUGCUUGUUGACUUUCCACAGCUUUCCUCUUGAACAGGGUGACACUUAGCUUUUACUUGCAAGUGAUGAUUUGAUGAUAUUGUACGGUGAGGCUUUGCUCUUUGGCGAUGUUGUUGUUCCUUAUUUGUUCUCCAAGCAGAUGUGGCAGCUUCUCUAGUUCUUCAUCUCAGACUCCUUCCGCUGGGAUGAUUGUGCAAGCUGCAUUCUUCUCUGCUUGUUUCUUCUGCACAACGGGCAGGCACGAGGGAGAGGUGUUGGUCUGUUUCUUUCUUCAAUCUUUCCAAGUGCCCACCUCUUGCUCUCUUUCUCCUUGUCCUUAGUUGAGGAUGAAUCAGCACGUUGUCUCCACAUGCUUCGAGGUAUCAUCUUCACUUCCCUUAUAAGUGAGAAACAAAGCGAAAGCAUAAGAUGAUGAGUACUCGAGAGCAAGGGCUGGCUGGAGAAAGGACAGGGAGAAAGCAUGAUAUGAGAUACUCUUGCUUUCAACCUUCAUGAUAUGAAAUACUUUUGCUUUGGAUGGGUUGUUUGCAGGGGUAUCCCAGGGGAUGAAAAAUACAGAGUGACUUGAGAUGGUUUGUUGGAAAGCCAUUUCAGAGAGGAAGAAGUGCUGAGAGGGUGUGUCUUUGCUGUGGAAGGCGAAGGUAGAUACUUAUAGGACUUUUCUUCACAACCGGAACUAUUCCCUCACUCAUUGUCGGCAGCCGGUGGAUUGAUGAAUAGUACAAAUUACGCGCUUUCUGACAAAGCUGCCCGUAAUUUCCGCAAAGCUGCAAGUUGCAUGUGACGAGUGACGACACGUCUGGACAAAUUGAUCUUUUGAAAUCCGGGGUUCGGCUCGUGGUUUCUGAGCAAGCCCAAAUUUUAAGAAAUGAAACGCCUCUUUUGAGAAAAGAAUCCGGCUUUUGAGAAAGGAGCCCCGACUCUUCGAUUUGCGAGAUGACGCCUCUCUGAGGAGCGCCUCUUUGAUGUCUUCUUUUUAUAGAGGCGUUAAUUUUGUUCCGCAACACACUUGAGCUCCCUCCUGUAAACACUCCCUUCUUGCACUUCCAAAAUCUUAAUCAGUCCGACUUUCUUAUUUCUUCACCACCUCUGAAAAAUGUCUGGCCCUUCCGAUCGUCGUUUUGACUUGAACAUUGGUGAAGAGGCAGCUCCGCCUUCACCAGACAACAUAUGGCGCCCAUCCUUCAUAUCCCCUACCGGUCCCCUUACCGUGGGGGAUUCGGUGAUGAAAAAUGACAUGACCGCUGCGGUGGUGGCCCGGAACCUUGUCACCCCCAGAGAUAACAGACUGCUCGCUAGACGAUCUGAUGAAUUGGCGGUUAAGGAGUCUCUGGCUCUUAGCGUGCAGUGUGCGGGUUCUGUGUCCAACAUGGCCCAACGCCUAUUUGCUCGAACCUGUCACGUUGAAUCGUUGGUGGCUGAAAUACAGAGUCUCAAAGAGGAGAUUAGAGGACUCAAGCAUGAAAAUAAACAAUUGCACAAGCUUGCACACAACUAUGCCACAAACAUGAAGAGGAAAACUGACCAGCUGCAGGAAAAUGAUGGUCAGAUUUUACUUGAUCACCGGAGGUUUGUGGGUUUGUUCCAACCGCAUCUGCCUUCGUCUUCUGGGGCGGCACCGCGUAGUGAAGCUCCAACUGAUCAACCUCUGUUGCCUUCUCCUUCUGUGGCCCCGCCGACUGCUGAAGCUCCGCCGACUACUGAAGCACCACCUGACCAAUGAAAGCUAUUAGUUUACACAUCAUUGUAAAAUAUUUUUACUUUUAUGUUUUUUUUUUUUUUUUUUUUUUUUAGGUGUGUUUUUGUUUUGUUUUGUUUUUUUUUUAAAUCAAUGUAAAAUAUGUAAAUCAAUGUAAAAAGACUUUGUUUAACCUUCCCCCACACUUAAACUAAAUAACACAAACUCACAGAAAUCAACCAAAUAACACAACUAACUAAACAAAACAAAAUGAAAGCAGUAAAGAUAAGGGUGUAAGUUGAAUGCUUGGGUUGCCUCCCAAGAAGCGCUUGCUUUAACGUCCGCAGUCGGACGAAUCUUUCCUUUAAACUCCCCUCGGCUCCAAAGCAUGGAAUUUAUCUUUUAAUGGGAGGUGAUACUUGAAAUGAUUCGGCAAUGGUUUAAAUUCAAGAGUGGGUGCCUGAAUCAUCAAAAUCAGAAACAUGUUAGUACAAAUUAAAAUUAAAAUUGGAGAAGAUGGCUUACUUUCUUUUUCCGACACAAACUCAAUGACAAACACCACAUCUUUGAACAUUUCCGGGACUUUGAACUUGGCCAGGUUUACUAUGAUGGUUGUGGCUUGUCUCGUGUCAUCAAACUCAACUGCUUUGGGCUUGAUUGUCUCAUGCACACCCUCUUGGAUGUAUUCUUGAUAUGCUUCAACCACUUCAUUUUCUUGAAUCCCUUUUCUUGAUGUGCAAGGUUCUUUGAACGUUUCAAUACCAUCGGGAACUUGUUUUGGUGCGCCAAGAAUUGGGAUAUCACUUUGCACCUUUGUAAGAGCUUCCACAAUGUCUUUUUCACUCUCUUUGAUAUUUGGAAUAAAAAACCUGCACGGACAAAGGACAUUCGGUGGAAUAACAUUAGAAUGAAAUGAAAUUAGGACGUCCUUACUUGUGGUGGGUAGGUUAGAGGGCUUAAGGGGCUGCGGCAAGGGUUGUUCUACCCUUGCCGUGUGUAUGUCUGCUUCCUCCUCCUCAAUCAGCAGCUCCUCAUCCAUUUCUAGGCUAUGUUUGGACGUUUUUAGGCCAACUCCAACCUCCAUAGCACUUCCCAAAGUGAUAGCAUCGUGGAUUUCAAAAUCUUCCUUCGAAUUUUCAACAGUUGAGUUGGAGAGUUCACUUUGCUCUUGAAUUUGUACCAUGAAUUCCAUAAUCUCUCCCAUUUGACUCUUCAAUUUAUCCAACUCCUUGUCUUGAUUUUGUUGGUCCUGCGUCAAAGAGGUUAGUACUUGAAGAAUUUGAUCACUAUCCAUGGACAUACUUGAAUUAGAUUGGAAUUGUUGUGGGGUAUGCGGUGGUGGCUGUAUAGGUGUGGUGUAGAACUCCUCCUCUUGCUGCCAAUAUCCAUCUUGUUGGAAUUGUUGAGGUUCCCCCCACAUAUAAUUUGAAUGACCUCUCCAAUCUGAAUUGCAAGCGUUGGUAAACAUGUUGCCCCUUGAUUGGUUAUAGCCUUGAUAUCCCCAAACAUCUUCAUUUGCAGAAAAUUGAGGACUUUGAUAACCUUGCCCAUAGGGCACAUCAAAUGUAGGGGCACUUUGCAUUGUGGUCCUUUCGGCAUAUUGUGACAAUAGAGAAGUAAGAUUUGCCAGUUGAGCUUGAAUGCUAGCAAAAUCCAUGUCUUGCUCCAUUUGUACCUAAAAUCAAAGAAAAAGAAAAAAAAAAUCAAAUAUCAAAAGUAAAAUACACAAACACCAAUAUAAACAUAAACAAAAACAAAAAUAAAGGGAUUAGUAAAGUUGCUAAUCCCCGGCAACGGCGCCAAAAUUUGAUGUGAAAAUUACUUGACACACAAAUUAACCCUCUUUUUGACAAUUGUAGUAAAGUAUGUAAGUAGGGUAUCGUUCUAGGCCGGGGAUUAGGAGGGAUUGCUAAUCUACUCUAAAUUAAUUUAAAAAUACUAAACAAGACUCAAGGAUACAAAACUAGGCUAAAAACUCUAAUAACUCGAAACACACUUAGAAUGACUCAAAAUAAUGAAAACAAUCAAAUUAGACAAUAGGAACUGAAAUGGACGGAAAUUGAAUUAAAAGACUAACAACAAUGAAAACUAAUUAAAUAAUAUAAUUUAAUAAUGGGGGUUUUGGUUUUGACGAGAAAUAAAUUAAACUUAAAUAAAUUACAGAAUUGACAAAAACAUGAAAUUAAAGUGAAAGGAUAAAUGACGGACUAGCUAGAGGGUUCUUCUCCACACAUGACACAUAUGCAACCUAAAUUGAUUUUCAGUUGUUCUUUCAAUAAAUUAUGAAUCUCAAUACUUCAGAUUAACCAUGAACAACAUUUUUUUAAUCUUCAAGUUUUUCUUAAGUUAUUGAAUAGGACGGGAAAACGCAUACAACAAUUCAAAACAUUCUUCAAAAGUCCCCUACGUGAAAAGCACAAUAGAGAUACAAUCAAAGAUCAUUAAACUUUGUGAAAACUAUAAGCAUUGACGAGGCAUUCGUAACUAUGAAAAGCAUGAUACUCUUGCCAAGAAUUUACUUAACAUGAUUGUGACUAGCAACCUUUACUACUUGUGAAUAUAAUUUCAUAACGAUUAGGUGAAAUUCACUUAUAUUUUAGCAUCAAAUUCAUGCAUGUAAAUUAAGUAUGCAUUCUUAAUCGACAUACAAAAAUAAGUUAUCAAUCAAGCAGUUAAGCAAAUUAAAUCACAACUCAGAAAUCACAACUGAAGGUAAUCAAUUCAUAUUACAAAUAUAUUCAUGGCUUUGAAUUAACCUCUAACCAAAAUAAAUUUAGUUACACAUUAUUAUCAAAUUAAACCAAAAGUAGAACAUGGGUUUGAGAGGAUAAAACCAAGAAAAAUGGAGUGAAGUUUUGCUCUUUGCCGUGCUUCUGUGCUUAUGCCCUCUGUGCUCUGUCCCUUCUCUGGUUUCUGUUCCUCGUCAGUCUCUCUCACCCAUCUGCCCCCCUGGACUCCCUCCUUUCUUUCUAUAUUUUUUUCUCUUUUUUUUUUCUCUGGCAGCCUCACUGCCUUCCCUUUCUCCUCGCUGCCAAAGCAGCCUACCUCCCUCCUCGAAUCUCACUCUCUGUGCUCACCUCCCCCAGCUGCAAAAGCAGCUAUCUGACUCUCUGACUUCUCUCCGUACCAGCUGCCAAGGGCAGCUGUUUUUAUUCCCCCUUUUCCCUCAUUUUCUCCCCCCGUGUCUCACGUUUCCUGCUUCUCUUCUUUUCCCCUGCCAAGGGCCCGUGUCUCCCUUGGAUUCUUCUUUUCUGCCUUUCUGCUGGUCUCUCUCUUGGAUUCUUCUUUUUAUUUUUCUUUCUUUAUUCUUUCAGCAAGACGUUGUUGUAUUGCUCCAACUUUUCUAUCAUUUGCACAGAAUCAACCCCAAAUAUGAGCCCAGCAUGAUCCACUCCAAGAAAGUGUGCGAUAAGAACAUCCCAAUCUUCUUGGUACAAGAAUGGAAGAAGGUGGUCAAUGCAUCCAAUUUUGACGAAUUUAUUACAUAAAAUUUCACUUGUUCUAUUUUUAUUUUCUUUGCAUAACAAAUCCUAUAAACACAAAAAUAACGUAAAUAGCUCAAAAAUAUAAGGAACUAACUAAGAAAAGACGAGUGAAUUCGAAGUAAAAAUAUAUAUAAAUAUGAUCCGAUCAUGGACUCAUGUCCUCACAUUGUUUAUGAAACUUUUACACUGUUUAUGAAAUUUAUGACACUGUUUAUAAAACUUACUGCACUGUUUAUGAAAACUUAUGACACUGUUUACGAAACUUACUACACUGUUUAUGAAACUUAACGGUACUGCACCACUGUGUUGUGUUUGUAACCUAGCCCACUCUGUUUUCUUCCCCUUUUCUUUCUUCUUUUCCUUUUCCCCCAUGAACACUCCAUAACUCUCUCUCUCUCUCUCUCUCUCUCUCUCUCUCUCUCUCUCUCUCUCUCUUUUCAAACUCUCUGCCUUCUCUCUAAACCACCAUAGCCAAAAAGAGCUCCAAGCACCAUCACCACAAAUUCCAAUUUAAUUGAGACCCCAAACCACAAAAAUACAAGACCUGUGCAAGCUGGGGAUAACUAUGGUACCAUUGCAUGUUAAAUUCUGUAAUGGGAAGUAAGAUAAUCCAAGUAAGGGUUCUCGGUGAGAGUUGCUCUAAUGGGAUCAAACUACAACCCUUGAAAAGAGGAGGUAAAAUUAGCUUGGUUUUGUUGUAAUAUGUUGCUAGUAAUGUCUUCUAGCAUCUUGGAUCAAAUCUGGGUUUGAAAUAGUUUUGGGUGGACCACCCUCCUACGUUCCAGUGCGACUGCUUCAGGAGCUACAUGAGUUUUUAGGCACGGUGGGACGCUUCGUUGAACCAGCAGCUGAUCCAUGAAAUCCUUGAGGCUUAUGAGGAGGAGAAGAAAGAGAGAAGGAAGGCUAACAAGGGCAGUGGACGGCGUCGCUGGCUUUGAUCCUUUUGUUCCUUGUCGCCAAGCUCGUCGCCAUGGUGGUUGCUGGCCGAGAAUCGGAGGCGAAGUUUGGGGAGGGUGGGGAUGCCGGCGGCGAAGGAGUUGGUGCGGAGGAGGUGAGCUUCGAAGAGAGGAGGCUGAAGCACCAAACUUUUGUUUUUUUUUUUUUCUCUUGUCCUUAUCAUUAAAUAAAGUUAGUAUGCGGUUUUUUGUUAAAAGUCAAAGUUUUGAAGCCAUUUUCAUUAGUUUUCCUUAAAAUAAAAUGGUUACACUUUUUACUGCAAUAUGAUUAGAAAUUGUGGGGGGUUAUCACCAUUUUGAAAUUAAAUAUGAGGUUUCCUUGCAUGCAUUUUAAUUGUGAUGUUGAUUUAUGCGUGAUGUCAAUUUGAUCUGUAUGGAACUAAUGAUAUUGGUUGAGCCUUCGUAAUACUAUAAUCAGAGUAACUAUAAAGAAGGGGUAGUACAAUUGUGAUGACCCUUGUGACAGCUCCAAAUCGAGAAGGUUCGAAUUUAACCGAUUAUGACAGCGGCGGAACUAUGUUAGUGCUAAAGUUUGCAGGUCUUGAUGCUAUACACCUUUCCAGAAUACCAUUCAAAUUGUGGGUGUGGAGAGCCCUUGUAUGGAAUAAUCUUCUUUCAGGUGACAACAUACUUGGAAAUGUGGGGUACAUAGCUAAGAAGAUACCAAGACAACCACAAUAUGUUGUUGUGAAUUCAUAUAUGAUGAAACACUUAAUUGGAGUACAUUCAAAAGUUUUAAAGAGCCAUAUAUUUCUCGUACAAAUAUAUGAGAGGUACUCUUUAUUAGUAGAUAACGUAUGGUGAGUUUUAUCUUUCAUAUAUGAUGAUAGUAUUAUUUCAACUGUGAUACUUACCUUGAUAUGUUGAGAAGCGAUGUCUAGAGCUAUCCUAAUUAGACAUGCAUGCCCAAUAUGAAAUCCAGUUGGUAGUCUUAUAGAAGACUAACAUUGGACGGCAAAUGUUUUUAGAAUCUUUAUGCGGAAGAGAUCAGUUUAUCUGUGUUUAUAUGUGGCGAGUGGCGAUAGCCUACCAAUGAGCUUGAGCUGAAUGUAAAGCGAUAGCCUACCAAUGAGCUUGAGCUGAAUGUAAAUUUAUCUAGCAUAUAUGCAUCUGAUAUAAUAUUUUGAGAUACAAUUUGAAAUCAGUUUUGUUCUCACCAAUUAUGGUAUGGAAAUUAUAUGUAACCAUUAUGAUAUUAACACUUAGCUGGUGAGAUGUAAAAGAUUUGAACAGGUGUACCAAAAAGUUUCAUGGACCAUUGCAGAGGCAUAAUCUGAAUGCUAAAUAUCUUGAGCUACUAUAUAGUAUAUAUUAAUUUGAAUUAGCAGUAAUUAUUAUAUAGCUUAUGGUAAUGUUAUACGUGCAAAUGGCAUAUUAUGUUGAGAUGUCAUGCUUGGCAGAGAUAUCUAAAUUAAAUAGAUAUGUAGGUUCACUUUGAAUUGGAGCAUGAGUUGACACUCGUUGGAAAAGAUAUUUAAUUGAGGCUUAACAACCUCUGUGACGACCCGUCCCUAAUUUCCUAUGUAAUUUUCUCCCUAAGUGUGUAAAUUGACGUUUAUGUCCUUUUUGGUAAAAGUGGAAACUGACGUGGACAUACUUAUUCAGCUUUUAGUUUAUUUUCUCACUAUCAUAAUUAAAUAGUAAUCAUUGUUACGAUCGCGUGAGCGCGAAUUAGGCUCGAAUCAAACUUGUAACGAAAAAGUUACGCUUAAUUAAAGUGCGUUAACAACGGGUAAAUUUGUACACGUGUGUACUAAUAUUUCAAUGUUGGAAACACCGUUUUUGAUAGGGUACGUUAGAUUACAUCAGAUUUCGAAUUGUACAAUCUUAUCAUUUUUUUUUUCUCUUUAAAUCUGUCCCAUGACCCUAUCUCCCUCACCAAUCAAUUACUCUCCUCACUUUUCUCAGCCAAUCAGACAUCACUCCCUUUCUGUUCUCUCUACCCAAUCAUAAAGUCGUCUCUCUCUCUCUCUCUCAUCUUCUCCUUCUCUCUCUCUUCACUGUCACUCUCUAUUCUCUGCAACUGCAAGGACCACCUUUAAACCCUCGCAUAUCCAACUUAAAAUUACCACCAUCACACUCCCCUCAUCCUCACAAACUCAUCCGUACCAACUGAUCACGAAAUGGACCAAUUUUGAGUGUCUAACUCGGAGCAACUCGGAGCUCCGACUCGGGUGGAGUUUUCCCGAUGUGUUCCCAUGUGAGUUACAAGGUUUCGAGAGUUUUGGAAGCACCUACGCAACUCUCCGUGGCCACUAACCUAAUUUGGGAGAGAAGCCAAUGUCGGAAUACCCAGUUUCAAGGAGUCGAGUUUAGGUUCGAGACUUUCGAGCCAAUUUCAGUCUAUUUCCAUCCACUUUUUAGACUUUUGAAAGGUAUAAUCUUGUUCUACUCCUCAAGAGCUUCAUUUCUAUAUAAAGUGUGUCGAAAAUGGUUGAGAAAUGAACAAGAUAUGAAAAUUUGAAAAUUUUCCAGAAAUUGGUCAAAUUUUCCUAGUUUUCGAUGAACCAGACGGCGGCUGACGAUGACAACGGUGGCGGAGGUCCACCGGAGAAGAAUGAGGGAUAUUAUAUUAGACUAACAGAAUAUUCUAACACUGUUAAGGUAUUUAAGUGAUGCCGUUACAUUUAACAAAAUAUUUUGUCAGAUUUGACGGAAUAUUCCUCUGUCAGCCUAUCAGUUUGUCAAGCGCAUGGCCUGGGCAUGUGGCUGCGACCUAGUGGUGCGUGAAAGCGAGUCCGGCCAUCGGCCGGCAAGUGGUUGACAUGUAUGGGUCCGCGUCGUCGAGUAGAAUGUUUUAGUAUAUUUAAACCCUCCAUUUGAGCAAACUAUGAGGGGUUUUCCAAGCCUUUUCAUUUAUGUCCUUAUUAAUUAAUUAGUUUAGUUAUUUUGCACAUAGGUGAGGCUUAUCCUAAUGACGUAUGAGGUUAAGCAAGGCUAGGAGGCUACGAUCCUCGACGUAUCAGUGAGUGGGCAUUUGUGUUCGUGUAUAUAUAUAUAUAAACUUUAUAGUUUCCACAUAUGCUUUUGGAUUGAUUUAUGCCUAUCAUGCCAUGUUUUAUUUAAUUUUAGAAACGUUAUUACAUGGUUGAGAAUUAUACACUGUCAUGACAUGUUCAUAUGCAUUUUACUUGCUCAUCAUACAUUGCUACACUCGGUGUUAGUGCUAGCCCAGGGCCAGGCCCAAUCUUUCACUUGUAUGUUCACAUCCACACUGCACACUCACCUUGGAUCCCAGUAGGUGCCAGUCUUGUCAUACAGGUUGCAAUAGGCAACUCCAACUCGUAUAUGACAUGAAUAGCGCUAGUCUUCAUGUGAUUGUAGCACUAGAGCGUAUAUUAUGAUUACACCCAGUCAUGUUCAUGUCAGGAAUCCUCUGCAUGAACUCGUGUGUCAGCAUAGAUUGAUGAGCACCUGAUUUUAUUAUACUACUAUUGAGAUAUUGUGAUUUGGCAUAUUGUUGGAUUUACUGUUGAUUUGCAUUUGAUUUCAUACUUAUAUGUAGUAUGAUUUUCUAGAAACUAUACAUGUUUUACGGUGAGGGGUUAGUAUGUUCAGAAAAUAAAUGUGUGUUAUAAACCUUUGUUUUUUCCCACUCACUAUUUUGUUUUUCGCCCUUCCAGGUCCUAGUUAGCUUAUUUAUUCUGUGGUGUACGAGGAAUAUCUGGCGGUUCUGACAUAUCCAUAAAUAAUGUAGGGACUUUUCUUGGUUGUGUAUGAAGUACUUAACUAGUUUCGACUACACUACUUUGUCAUAUAUGCUCUGAACAUUUGUGCUUUAUGGGUUCUUCCCACUACUGCGCACUUGCUGCUUUAGAAUAAUUAAUUGUUAGUUUUGGUUUAAAUUUACUCUUAUUUUUCAUGCUUCACAUUCAUAUUUGGUUACGUCACCUUCAGGUGACGGCCAUCAUGCCUCGACUCCAAUCAGGUGUGUCAACCUCUUUGUUAUAUCCCAUUUUAUAUGGAAGAGACCAACUUUUUUUGAGUAUUAUUGUGAUAUCCCACUAUUUGUGGAAGAUACUAGUUGGUUCAUUGUGUGUGAUAUCAUAGCUAUAAGGGCAUUAAGCUAAAUGACUUAUGCAUAAUAUUUGUGUCACACCUCGAUCCCGACAUACGUCCUGGAUCGACACGCGACAUCACCAAAUACUCGUAUAUCUAACAUACCCAUCUUUGAGAUAUGAAUAAAGCACCACUCAAGGUCCAAAUUGCGUAGUAUACUUUAUGGCUACAUCUAACCUCUUUGUUAGACUACCUACGUACCCUCAAUAGGGAUCAAGUCAUUCGUAGUACAACUUCGCUAUAACUCGACAUAUAACACAGUCUGUUCAAGCCAAAAGGCAUAACAUUCCUCAAUCAAACAAACAUUUGGAUAUGACGAGCAUGAAUUAUUCGAUUCAAACUACAUAACAACCCGCAUGACAAUCAAGGUUUCUAUUUCAUCCAUUAUAUAAAUCAUUAUGUUUUCAACAUAAUAUCGCAAUCCAGGCAUGUAACAUAUCAAGGAUCAACCAAGCACAAUAUUUUUCUCUAGUUACAUUCAUUAACUAAUCUAAUCGUAUUAAUAACAACUAUAUCCAACGUCAUUCCACAACCCCGUCAAUUAAUCAAUUCAUGAAUUAAAGAUGCACGAUUUUAACUUUUAACUAUAUUAAUCAACCAAUGAGAUAACAUACCAUUUCACCAAUUCAAUUAGAGAACUCUGUAUAAUUCUCUACUUAGGUUAUGAGUAAUAACAUGGUAUAUAAAUUCACAAGGUCUAUUAUGGGUAAUUCUCAUUCACUCGAAUUUAGGGUUCUAGACUAAUCUUAUGGGCAUGAGCAAAAGCAAGGAUUCCGGACCACUCAACGGAAUCCAACAACAUCAGGUUCCAGACCCCUCAACGGAAACAAAAAAUCAAGUAUAGAAUCAUGCUUUAUGAAAUCAUAAUCAAGUCACUGAAAACUGCGAAGGAGUCACCUAGACAUCCAACGGCUUUUAUAAUUCAAACCACAAGAUUCCCAAAAACCAUUAUUCAUAUGUACAUUAAAAACGAGGCUAGAGGGACGCAAUUCGACCAAACCUUACACCUCUGAAGCUGAAAACAAAUCCAAGGAACCAAGACACUAACAGGAUUUUAGACCAUCACUCAACAGAAUCCAAACCAGGAUACGAUUCCGGAUCAUCACUCAACGGAAUCGCGAAGUAGAAGGGAUUCCUAACCAUCACUCAACGGAAUCCACAUUAAAUUAUGAUCGCCUAUCAAAAUGUACCAAGCACAACUAAUCAUCAUCCCCUCUAAAAUGCGUAUGGUCCUCUAUCGCGGAUAUACCAAGCAGAACCAUUGGCAUAAUAUCUUCGUGCAGGCAGUGAUCACCCAUCGCGGAUAUACCAAGCAUGAUCACCCCUGAAUACAUAUGAUCCCCCAUCGCGGAUAUACCAAGCAGGAUCAUCUAUAUACCUUUGCUAUAUGGGGCAGUUAGAUCAACACACAUACCACUUACCCUUAUCUCAUCCGCUAUGAUUUACAUCGGAAUCACUUGCACUAUCAACUUCUCAUGACCACUAUCUUAUCAUACAAGCAUAAAAGUUAUACAUAAUACUUCUCAUAAGAUUUUGGGUUCACAUCGUCAUAAAAACAAUCAUACACAUCAUACUAACCAUACAUAUCUAACCACAUUUCAUAAAUGUUUCCAAGCUACAGUUGAUUCACAAUUUAGAAACAUAGAUCGAUGCUUAAAAUAAAAAUAACCAUUCAAUAGAAAGCACAUUUAAUAAACAAGUAUAACUCAAUAUGGUGCCACUAAUACAUAUAUCGAGACACACUUCAACUAAGAAUGACACAUCAUUGAAAUGAGCCAACUAAGCUCCAUCAAGCCUCAACAACUCUAGAAAUAAGCGACACUCUAGAGUAGAGCACGUUGACUAGAACAUCAACCGUCGAUAAGGUAGGUCCAUUAAGGUCAACAACCUAAGGUUAUUCAAUCCGGAAGAUCCACACAUCGGAUUUCUGAUAUGUAAGUUCUCAAAGGUCCAACAACUGAUAACUAGGGUGUUCACAAAAUUGUACGACGAACCAAUGAUCGGAUUGUCAUCAAUCACACAAACAAGUGGCGGUCCAAUUUGAUCACUACACCAAACAAUUUAAUUUUGGGAAAUCGAGCUAGACAUAGAUUCACAGUGUCCCGAGAAGGUAUUUGGUACUUAAACAACACUCAUGGGCGGUCUCACGCACCGCCACAUGCAAUGGUAGCCAUGGUGAAGGGUUUGAAAACUCAAAUUUUCAACCUUAACCCAAGAGGCUCAUAUUCACGUGGUAACUAGAGCUCAAAUUCACAGGGUCCCGAGAAGGUAUUUGGUACUUAAACAACACUCAUGUGCGGUCCCACGCACCGCCACACGCAAUGGUAGCCAUGGUGAAGGGUUUGAAAACUCAAAUUUUCAACCUUAACCCAAUAGGCUCAAAUUCACGUGGUAACUAGAGCUCAACAAGGGAGACAUUAUUCACAACUAGACCAACGACAAAUUAUAACUGGAAACCACCCAAAUUCUUCGAGGAAACCGGGUUUCGAGGGUUUUAAACACCCAACUCUAAAAUGAAUAAGAAAGCACGAACCAAGCAUACCAACUUGAAGAUUAUGAAGAGUAGAAGUUUCAUACCUCACUUGAAGGAAAUGGUUGCCGGAAUUGCCAGAAAAAUGACAAAACCGUCGGAAAACCCACGGGACUUUGCUGCCUGGAACUGGAAAAAUGGAUAAGAAAAUGGAAAAUUUAACACUACAGAGUUGUAAGGCUCGUCAAGAGCUUCCCAUGGACACCAAGAUUACCCAAAACGGAGAUCGGAUGAAGGAGAUACAAGCGGGUCAAGUUUGUGGUUUAAUGGGUCAAAAACGCCCCAAAACGGGUCAAAAAUCAGACCCCUCUCCCUUUUUUUUUUUUUUUUUUUCAGAAAACCUUCCCCUUUUUAAACUCACUUAACCUUUAACCCACAUGUGGGAAUUAAAUAACUCCCACAAUCUAUAGUUCACAACUUCAAACGUUCGUAACUAUACCAUUAUAACUCGGACUCGCACACGGCUUUCGCCCAUGCGCUGGUGGCUUCGAGAUCUAUUCGAAAACGUUACUUGUGACCUCAAAAUGUCAACGAAUUUUAAAUAAUUAUUUUUCAAACUUCACUCUUCGUAACUAGUUUAAUUAAAAUCUAAAUCCAAACAAUUUAAAAUAAAUUCUUGAGAAAUAAUAUAAAAUCUCAAUAGUACAAAUACGUAGAUUAUAACAGUAAAAUCCGGGAAUGGGAUUUCACAAUUUGAUAUAAUUGUUUUAAGGUUAGAAAUGGAUCUAGCUUAUCCUCUGACAAAUCCACUAAGCUAAAUGCUUGUGAUGAAUAUUACAUUGAGGGGGAUAAGACUUAUGCUUAUAACAUUGAUCAAGAUUGAUGGUAACCCAACCUAUGUGAAUAGAGAUCCUAAGAAGUAGGUUCAUAUGGGUAAGAACAAGUCAUUUAUUGAUCGGGCAUGCACUAUCGUUUAUAUCAAAUGUUAUUAUUAUCAAGAGUUUAUCCUUAUGGUGUAGAUAGUGCAAUUAAUGUAGCGUGUGAGGUAGAACUUAUGUUCUAAAUGAAUACCAUAGCCUAUAUAUGAGUGGUGUGCUUGACUGUAGUGCACACUUGAUGUAUUCACCUGUAUAAGUGUGGGAGUGGGGCCGCUUCCUAUGAGAGCUUAGGCUGGUUCUCUAGAGCAUUCAUGAAUAUUCAGGUGGGCGCAUGGCCUAUUCACACCAACCCAUUGGUACAUCCUUGGCCUCAUUAUUGUCUAUCCACGAUGUUCGAUGAGGGGGAGCGGCAUAAAUGAAUUACUAGGGUCAAAAUUUGCAAAUAUGCACCCAAUGUACACCACCUUCUUUUCGUAGAUGAUAGUUUCAUCUUUGCUCGGGCUACCUUUUAGGAAUGUGUUCAGGUGAAACUUUUGUUAUAAAUGUAUGAAAAAGCAUCUGAGCAAACUAUUAAUUUUUUGAAGAGUUGUGUGGCUUUCAAUGGGAAUAUUAAUGAAUAUGAUGGCCAGUUACUGUUAGAUUGUCUUGGUGUGGCUAGGGUAAAAUAUCAUGAUCGUUAUCUUGGUCUUCCGAUAUUUAUGGGGAAGUCGAAGAAAGCCACCUUUGCGUAUAUAAAGGAUAGACUUCGGAAAAAAUUGAAUGGGUGUCAUGAAAGUCUCCUUGGUAGUGCGGGUAAAGAAAUUUUGAUUAAAACCGUAGGUCAAGCGGUUACGUUGUACAUGAUGCAAACCUUUUUUCUUCCGAAAUCGUUUUGUGUGAAGUUAAAUCAAAUGGUAGCCCAAUUUUGGUGGGGAAAGGAGAUGGGGUGUCGCCAUAUUCACUGGUUAUGUUGGAGAAAAUUAUGCAAACAGAAAAGUGAAAGGGGUUUGGUUUUAAGGAUUUAUAUGCGUUCAAUUUAGCUUUGUUAGCCAAGCAAGGUUGGCGGAUUAUUUAACAACCACAAUCCCUCUCGGAGAGAAUUUUUAAAGCUAAGUAUUUCCCUUCAAAUGAAGCUUGGCCGCUGCUCGUUGUGUGCUGCGGACGAGUACAAGAUGAAGGGUUGGGGACGGCUCAAAGAUAUGUAUUUGGGGGGAUGGAUGGCUGCCUAGACCAACUUUCUUCAAGGUUCUUAGUCCUACACUGAUUGGGAUGGAUUGAACCACAAAGGUUAGUGCUUUAAUUACUAACGAUGUAUCAUGAAACAUGGAGCUCAUACAACAGAUGUUUUGCGAAGAGGAGAUGAGUUUAAUCACUCGAAUCCCUUUGAGUUAUUUCUAUGCGGAAGAUAGAUUAAUCUGGAAUGUAAAGAAAAAUCGAAGUUUACAACUCGAAGUGCUUACCACAUCGCAAGGGUGUGUUGGGAAGUGAGUGGAAAUGAAACUAGUGGGUCAAUCAUGGCUCGGAGAUUAAAUUCUUAUGGAAACCUAUAUGGAGAGCUUGGAGACGUAGUAUGAAUGCCUUGCCUAUGAAAGAUAAUCUCUCGAAAAGGAAGAUGAAUGUGGAGCCUCAUUGUCUAUUUUGUGAAGAGACUAUUGAAACGGUUGAAAACUUGAUUUGUGUUUGCUCGAGAGCUAGUGCGGUGUGGUUUUCCAGACCUUUGGCAAUUCAAGGCCGAAAGAACCACAUGGAGAACUUCCUGGAGUGGGUUGCUGAUCUUGCGGGGUCGCUAUCUAGAGAAAGCUUUGAUCUCGCUUUAAUGCUAAUUUGGAGUUUAUGGACAGAGCAUAAUUCAUUAAUCUGGCAAGGUAAAGCUUUGAAUCCUUUGGAGAUUAACUGUAAAAUGCUAGCGUGGCUGCAGGAAUUUCAUAAAUGGCAUGGGCGGGACAAAAAAUCCAGAGUUCAUAUGGUGCGGCCAUGGAGUCCAUCGACAAAUGGAUGGGCUAAAGUUAAUUUUGAUGAGGCUUGGGAUGAGGAUACGGGGACUGGUGGUGUGAGGGUUAAGAUAAGAAGUGUAACGGUAAGUUCAUGGCGGCACUGGCUAUGAAGUUGGCUUUUAUUGAGUCAGCUUUACUGGCAGAUACGUGGCAGCAAGGGAAGGUGUUGUAAUGGCCUCCCAGGCAGUACUGGCACAUGUGGAAUUCGAAGGUGAUGCUUUGAUGGUUAUCAAGGCUUUACAACACGAGAGAUUUGAUGAUAAUUCGCUUUUUGGGCACAUUAUUGCUGACACGUGAAGGAUGAUUGAUAGCUUCCCUACAUCCAAGGUGAUGUCUAGUAAACGAAUGACAAAUAAGGUGGCACACAUAUUAGCUAGAGUGCGCUUAACGACUAACUUAAAGCUUAUUUGGCUUGGAGAACCACCUGAUGUAAUCUUAGAUCUCUCAUUGAGGAAAUAACUUAAUUUUUUGGUGCGGGGCCCCAAAUUGGCCCAAGGGUUGGGAAAUGGGGGGAAUAGAAGGUAAAUUUUAGGACCUACUCCAAGGGUUGGAGUUGACAUCCGCCACACAGGGUAAACUAUUGCCUCUCAAGCCCCUGACUGAUUCUACCAUAGAGGUCAAUGAUAGAUAAUAACUCCCCCUAAACACAGCUUAUAACUUUCAUUGUACUGUGCUCUCCAAAGAGCAACUCUUCUCAAAAUCUCAAAAGGAAAGGUUGAAAUUGGUACCAGGUGGAAUGUCCUACAACAAAAACUUAAAACCAACUAUACUGACUAGUCAGACAUACUAAUCAACUGAGUACAGAUUGUUAGAAGCCCACAAACAUAUAAACCAAACUAACUUAAAAGGUUAAAACUUAGCAAUGUGAGCCUCAAUUAAGUUUUAGUCUUAGUACUUGAGUUAAGUUCACUUGGUUAAUAAAGUGUCAAUACUAGCAAACCCUACAAUUUUUAACUCCAACAAGGGUUAUAAACAAAACUUUGUAAAGUAUUAAAUACAAGGAAGUUUUUGGCCGGAAAAACCCACCUCUGGGUUAAAAAAUGGGGGACUCUCCACUGAGUCCAAUCCAUUAGCGUAAACAAAGGUUCAUACAAAUACCACACAAGCUCAAUUCCUAGAUCCCUAUCUAUGGAGCAGCUUCACCUUUGUGCAAAUUUGCCUUAUAUGAGAUGGACUUCUUCAGUCUUCAUGAAGUGGCAACUCCUCCUAAGCUCAUCACCUUGUGGCACCGAGAUCGACACGAUCAAUGAUGUGAUAUGAUUUUAUGAUAUGCACAUGAGAUCUAAAUUCAACUGACUAGUCAGAUUCUUAAGUUCAAAUAGUUGAAGAAGAACAUAACAUAAAUAUGAGAGAUUGGUCUAUGAAGGAUAUAAAACUUAGGUUUAGACCAAAAGCUUAAUGCAAAAUCAUUAAAACAAUGCAACCCUAAUAUGCAAUGAUUGGAUGUUUGUGCAUGGGAUGGUUUUGUGGCUAGGGUUUCUGUAUGUAAGCUUAAGAGGUAACUCUACGCUAAAUGCACUCUUUUUGAAAUGUGAAUAUCCUAGCAAAAAUUAAAAAAAAUGAAUCCUUGAAAGCCCCUUUAAUGGAAAAGCUGGAUAUUUCAGACAAGAGAGGACAAUAAGACAUGUGUCACAAGCCAAAGAGACCUUUCCAGAUCAACGGUAAGAGAUCCACACAUUGGAAAAGAUGUUAAAUGGCCCAUGUGGGCUGUCUUAGUUUGCAUGCCUAGACAGUUGGAUAGCAUAAGGAACUUCUGACUAGACAACUACACUAAACAAAAGGAAUCUGAAAAACUAAGCUUGAUAUGAAAAUGAAAAUGUAUGAUUCAAACCUUUUGCAGUGAAGAAGGUUGGAUCUUGACAGGUUUAAUCCUAAUAGAAAUCCCAGAUCAGGAUUAUACCCUAACUUUAAAAUAUGAGUAUGUGUGGUAGCAAUUACAAGUUUUGACAAGGGAAACCAAACAAUAAAACUAGUACUUCAAAAGGGUGAUGUGUUGGAAUCCCAUUCUAACUAAGGAUUCUUGUAGUUCCAAAGGAUCUAGCUACAUGAGAACCAUGACUCAAUGUCAGUCAAAUUAGUCAACAUUUAUAUGUUUUGAAGCAAGAACAAUAUGUUAUUUGCAACAAAUAGUUUUGUUGGUUUGUUAUUUGGUCACAUUUUAUUCAUGAAAUGAGUUGGGUUGGUAUUAGGUUGGAUACAAAUAAGAAUUACUUAGAAGUACAUUUAGUGCAACAACCCUUCCUAUCUGAUAGAAAAGGAUCCCAUGAUCCUGAACUGAUCUUAUUAAGGAUUGCAAACCCAAUAUGCAUUAGAAUCCCCGAUUCAUGGAUCUUUCGAUUCGAGAAAUAAAAAUAAGAGGAUCGAACCAUUUCUUCUGACUCUUUUUUCAAAUUUGAUAAAUGUUAGUUGAUCGUAUAUUUCAUUAUAGUUAUAUGAUUCAGAGUAUCAUUUCCUAUUUGAUCCCUUUAAAUCCCAUAUUCGAAGUUGCAACCAGAUCUACUCAUUAAAAAGAAUCGAGUCCAUACAUUCUUAUGUACCCAUAUGUGCUACAUUGGACUUGAAUUAGAUUUCGAAUCAAUCUAUAUAGAUUGACUGCCUCUGAAGUUAGCUUGGUUCCAAGAUGUUGAAUCUAUGUUGAAUCACCAUUUAGCAUGGCUACCAGGCCUUGGUUCUCUUUCUUGGGCGGGGCAUCAAGUACAUGUAUCUUUACCAAUUAACCAAUUUCUAAAUGCUGAAGUAGAUCCUAAAGAGAUUCUGCUCCUUCAUGAAUUUAUCUUGAAUCGGGAUCUUUUGGCUCAACUUCAUCCCAAUUUUGCUAAAGCAACAACCUUAUUUUUCACCUUGAAUUGGUCAAAAUAUGCAGAAUUUCUUACUUUUCGUGGAGGAUUAGAUCCAAUAAUUGGAAGUUUUUGGCUGACCGAUAUUGCACACCAUCAUUUAGCUAUUGCGAUUCUUUUUCUGGUAGUGGGGUCACAUGUAUAGGACCAACUAGGGCAUUGGUCAUGGUAUAAAAAUAUUUUAGAAGGUCGUAACGGCCCAUUUAUGGUACCAACUUUCAUUGUUCACACAUCACAUGUGGAUUCGUCAUAUAUGUGUGUGUGUGUGUGUGUGUGUGUGUAUUUGAAAUAUGGUCCUUCACAUGAGGCCAUGAUGUUAUUGGAAUUUGGGGGAAUAUAACGACGGCAGUUAUAAAAUUGAAGAAGAAGACUACAAUAUUCUCUAAGCAGAAAGGGAAAUAUAGGGAUUUAGUGAGGAAGUAAGAAUACAGUUAUGACGGAUAUUCAAAGAAGACAUUUCAAAUCAUCCCACCGUUGAAUACGGACCAAUUCACCUCGGAAUCAGCGGAUCGGACGAUUGUGUCUUUAGAGCAUAAUAUCGGAGGUAAUUUCUUGUUUAUUUCUUGUUUUUCGUGCACACACAACAAGCGCAUAGCGCAUAACAUCAUCAUUACAUGAUUUAUGGCACAGAGCUCAAGGCUACUCAUCCAAAUCAGGGAUUUCAACAUAAAAAUGCAUCAUUACAUUAAUAUCAAAGACUUCAAUCAAACACUGAAAAUCAACAAGGUUUCAGUAAAAAAAACAUUGAUAGUUAGGAACCGCAUCCAAAGUUCACUUUAAAAAUUUUCCUUUAUUCAUCAGCAUCAUUGUCGGAAAUCAUGCAAGGUGUGCAUAGCACAAAUUUUAUUGCCAACCAUCCCAAAACUAGGAGGAGGACUGGAAUAGAGUUACUUGUACAUGGAAAAUAGAAAGGAACACUUAUUUGUGAAUACAAAUCCACAUCCUUAACAUUUUAUUCUCCAAAUUUAAGGAAAUACUUGAAUAACAGAUUGGACAGUGCGAGUAGGUGUUAUAGUGUGCCGACUAAAACCAGCCUCCCGGAUAACAUACUCCCAUUCCUUGGCGGUCCUUUCUUUGCCUUUGGUACCGUUCAUCAUCGCAAUGUCGAGCAUCAAUUUCACUCGUGUUAGCUUGUUGUAAUCUUUCUCAUUGUCUUCAACUACAGCAUCUAUGAUUAUCACCUUCCCUUUGUCAUUAGGAAUAGCUUCGCGACAAUUCUUAAGGAUACUGAUGCACUCCUCGUCAGUCCAAUCAUGAAGAAUCCACUACUCAUCACACACAUAAAAAAAAAUAAAUAAAUAAAAACUGUCAGAUCUAGCCUGGCUCUAAAUUAUAAGGGUAAAUCUCAGUUUACUAUCCUUAUAUUUCGUGGUUUUCAACAUUUAGUAUAUCAAGUUUUUUUCGUCCUACAGUCAUACUUAAAGUGUUAAUUUUUAGACAGUCUCAUACAUCCGUUAAUCAAACUGUUAAGUCUGCCGUUAACUAAUAAUGUGGCGCCUAUGUAAACAAUAACUAGACGCUACGUGUUAUUAAGGGUCUACGUGAAAUUCUUUUUCUUAGAAGGGGUUCAUAAAAAAAAAAAAAAAAAAAAAAAAAAAAAACCUCGUCUUCUACCUCCCCCAACUCCCCGCACCCUCUCCCUCCCUUCUCUUCUGCAACCUACACCAUCCUCCCUUCUCUCCUCCUUCCUCCCUUAUCCCUCCAUUCUCUCCUCUGCACCAAACCCUCAUCUCUUCUUCUGCAAACCGAGCUCGAAAUCAAGUAAUCGAAAGCUCUGGUUCCUAAAACUGCGGCAACCAUGGCUUUAUCUUCAUCAUCCCAAACCCCUCCUCCUAAACCCAUCUCAAUCUUCAUCUCCAAAAUCCAGAAAAAUCAACAACCUUACAAAAUUCGAGCUAAAACUUUCAAAACCCAGGUCAAAUCUCAGCCCCAAAUACCCCCUAAACCAUAAAAAAAUCCCAACUUUUUUUACUAAAACCAAAAUUUAUACAUUCAACCAAAUCAAACACUCCCACCAGGGCCACAAUUUCAGAUCUCAAAAGCCGAUAAUUCUAAGUAAAAUAAAAACCCAGAAAAAAUACAACAAAAUAAAUCCAGAACACACAAAGGGUUAGGAGAAAACUAUACACACAAGCUUCGGCAAAACAAAUGGGAUCAUGAAGAGAUGAUUGCUCAAGGCAGCGAAAAAAGGAGAGUGCUGGGCCCUGAUUCAGAGAGGGAUGAGUACUCUGGCUUAACUGGUUGGGAUUGGAAAUUGAGAUGAGAAAUGAAGGAAUCUGUGAAGGUGAAGUCUCCUAAGAGGUGUUGGCGGAUAAGCUUAAACCGACGAGACCACAGAAAGGUACUCGAGUUUGGCUAGGGACAUUUGACGAGGGGGAAGGAGGUGGGUCCCGCUAAUCUGGAAGAAGAGGUGGCCGGAGGGUGAGGUAGUAGAGGAAGGUUGGGUGGGACGCGGAGGAAAGAAGGGAGGAGGGGAUUGAGGACGGAUGGGCGGAUCAAUCUUCCUCUGGGAGGAAGACGAGUAACAAAAAGAUUUUUAUUUUUAUUUUUUUUGUCAUAAUUUUAACGUAGACCCCAUAAUGACGCGUGAUGUUCAGUCAUUGUCUACAUAAACGCCACGUCAUUAGUUAACAACAGACUUUACAGGUUGACUAACUCAUGUAUGAGACUGUUCUAAAAUUAACGUUUUAGAUAUGAUUCUGGGAUGAAAAAAACUUUAUAUACUAAAUAUUCAAAACCAUGAAAUAUGAGGAUAGUAAACUAAGAUUUAUCCAAAUUACAAUAAAGUAAAGGAGUAGUGCUUGAGAAACCACAAUUUUUGUAUGCACAUUAGUUUUUUUGAUUUCAUAGAUACUUACCAUCAUAACUACAGCAUCAGCCUUUGGAAUACAUUUGAAAAAGUCACCUCCAAUUUUCUCAAUGCGAUCGCACUCUGGAAUAGUAGACACAACAUGAGGAAGAUCAAAGAUAAUGCCCUUAGUAAUCCAAGGGCAGGCCUCAACCAACAAACGCGCCGUGGUCCCAUUACCCCCACCAGCAUCUACUAUUGUCUCAAUCCCUUUGAACGCCUCUGGACAACUUUCAAGCGCUGCAGGCACAGCUAACCUUGCAUCACAGGCCAUUGAAUCAUUGAAAGCCUUGCCGUGAUCAGGGUUUUCCGCACCGUAGUUCCAUAGGUCACUGCCAUGUACUUCAUCAAACACUGCAUCACUAGUGUUUCUUUGAACUUGGGUACUCAGGCGUAGAUAUGGUGCCAUCAUUACCGGAUUACUCCCCAUCAAGAGCAAAUCCACCAUGCUAUUUUCUGCGGAUUUUAGUAGCCGGCGAGACAAAGGUGUUUGUGCAUAACCAUUGGAGCCUGAUUGGGUGGGUUUUUCUUUGAAUAUUUUGCGGUGGACUAGUACCCUCAUGAUUCGGUAAAGGUGAGAAGGAUCACAACUUAGAGCAGUUGAGAGCUCUAAGAGUGUCAUGGGGCUUCCAUGGUUUUCAAUUGCUUCAGCUAUUCCGAGGUCAAUGGCACAUCUUACCACCGCGAUUUCAGUAAACCCGAACACAUAUUUCCACAUCUCCGCUGUGGCCCCUUCCUCUUCCUCUUCCCAUGUCAACUCUCUUUGUUUCUCUUCCAUCUUUUGUGUGUGUUUCUCAGGCUCUAAGCUAGCACUAUAUAUACACACAAUUUACUGGAAGAGAUUAGAGUUGAAGCUUUGAUGAAAUACAUAUGUUCAACACUUACGAAAAAUCAAACACUUCCAUUGUGAUUUCAAAUAUUCAACCACCCAAUUUCAAUGUGUAUUAAAGAAGACUUUGUCUAUUACUGAUUAAUAUCGUAUUGAUUUUUUUUAGUACAUCUAUAUUUUUACACUAGAAGAAGGGAAACUUUAGUUAAACUACACAAUGGACAACCUAAUUUGGUAACGAAUUCGCCAUUCACGAAAUUCGAACUUAUGACCCCUCACUUCUAAAUGAAGAUGAAUACUACCGUAAUACUGAGUGGUAAUAUCCUAUUGAUUUUAGGCAAAGACUUUUCGAAGGAUGCCUAAAGUCCGAAGUAGUAACAUCAGGACGAUGGAGUCGAAUUGUCAGAACGUUUGUGUCCAAGAUCAGCUCGAAACUAAAAAAACAAUAUAUAUAUAUAUAUAUAUAUAUAUAUAUGUAUGUAUGUAUUGAGACGGAUAUUUUGGGAGUUUAAUCCAACUUUUUAGUGAGGUACUCUCUGUCUGUAUUUAUUCUAUCAGUUGCUCUCAUUUUCUCUUCCAAAUAAAUCAUUUUUAAUGAUAAAAUAAAGGAAGUGUUAUUGGUACUUUAAAAAAAUUAUUCUACAAUCAUCAUAAAUGUAUUUUUCUUUUUAAAUAUAGAAAGUUUAAAAUGUAGAAUGUGAAAUUUGGAAUGUCAGUAAUAAUUCUCUAAAAUAAUUAUCCAAAAACUCUUUCUUUCUGCCACCUAUUUUACCGUAAAACACUUUCUUUUUUGCUCAAAUGAUACCCUAAAUUCUAAAGUAGAUAAAAGCGAAAAGUGAAAGUCGAAUUCUUGAUUUACAUGUUUUAAGUGUUUUUACUCCUCAAGUUUUUAGUCUCAUAGUUGGAUAAGUGGUUUUGUAAAAUUUAUUUUAAAACUUUUCCCUUUAUUUAUUAGCAUCAUCGCAUGCAAUUAAACUCCAUAUUUGAAUAGCACUAUAUUGCCCAAAAACAUGCCCAUUUAGAUUAGAAAGUCUCAUAACAGCCACAACAAGUUUCACAAAUUUUCAUUGCCAACCCGCAAAGCAGACUACACAUAGAAAGACAAAAGGACCACAAAGUAAAUUUAAAAUUACAACGAAACACUUAUUCGAGAAUACAAAUUCACAUCAUUAAGGAAAAACUUGUAUAACAGAAUAUUGGAUAGCAGGAACAGGUGACAUUGUGUCCUUAUGAACAGCUUCUCGGCUCUUUUCAAGGAUACAACUGCAGUCUUCGUCACCCCAGUCAUAAAGAACCCCCUACAAUCAACCAAAUUGUCUGUGUAUUAGAGCAGUUCCACCAUGGGCUAUUGCCCGGUGGACUGGCAAUGGAACAGGGCCAGAGAGCCUGAGUGACUUGGUCCAGCGUGUGCUGGCGAUGGAGCCCGAGCGGGCCUGAGGGAGAGGCCCCGCACGAGUUGCCAGCCCGAGAGCCCGAAGGCAACGUGACGCAAGGUUGACGUCUGGGCGACGUCAGCCACAUUUUUUAUGUUUUUUGCGUCAGGCGAGUGCUCUUCAAGCACACAUGGGCACGCGUCUUCCAACAAUAUUUUAGACAUGGGGCCUGCAGUGCAUUUUACAAAUGUUACCAUUGGGGAGGCCACGUGGCUUCUCCUCGUCCGUUGGAUUUCAACGGCAACAAUUUAUGGACAGUUGCAUUUCCAACGGUAAAAAAAAAUUAAAAACUUUAUUUAAUUUCAGCAGUUGGAUCUGAGAUCAACGGUCCAAGUUAUUCGUCUUUAUAAAUUAAAAAAAACUGUUUAAAAAUCAGAAAUAUUACCGUUGUGCCACAUGGCACAAUCUGAAGUGUUGGAAUUCAAAAUUUUUUUAAUCCAACGGCAGAGAUUAAUUAGGUGAAUAAAAAAAUUUUAAAUGUAAAAAAUUAAUAAAAAUCCAAAAAAAAAAUUUGAAAAAUUAAAAAAAAAUUGAUUUUACUUUUCUAUAAAUACUUUCUCAUUAUCUUCUACCUUACACCACAAUUUCAUAUUUUCUCAACUACUUUCAACUACAUUCCUAUCUUUCUCUCAAAGUUUCAAUCCAAUUUUUUUUCCAACAAAAUGACUACUGAUGCAGGUAUGAAUUGGACGCUUAUUGAAGAUGUUGCGUUGUGUACUAGCUGGGUUGAAGUUACUCAUGAUCUGAUUACGGGUAAUGAGAUACAGUUGCGAGAAAUGUGGAGUCUUAUUUAUACCAAUUUUCUUGAGAAAAUUAGUGGGAAAAUAACCAAAGAAUCGAUGUCCAGUCGUUGGAAAUUACUUGGCCAAUCGUUUAGUACGUGGAGAGACGCCUUGGCACAAGCUAGUAGUAAUCUUCAAAGUGGGGAAAAUUUAGCAGAUCAGGAAAACCUCGCAUCUCGCCCUUCUUCAGAAGCCUUUGCAAGUCCAUCUCAGUAGGCCUCCGGAGGUACUCUGUGGUGUAGAUAGAUUCGAUUGCUCUGCAAAACCUCAUCAGGGACUCAAGAAUGGUUGAUUUCCCCAUCCUCGCUAUCUCAUCCACUUGGUAUGCAGAUACUCCAUAUGCAAGCAUCCGCAAGGCAGCAAUAAUUUUUUGCUCAGAAAUGAGACCCAUAACACCAAAAGUAUCAUUCUUUUGUACAAAGUAAGAAUCAUGGUUGCAAACAACAAUCAUGAUUUUGUUGAACAAAUGUUGUUCCAUUCUAAAACGACGUCUAAAGUACAUAUCAGGGAAUGCACUGUUACAGACAAAAUAAUCGUCCAAGAGAUCCGUACCUCAUCAUUGCCUGCUUCUAUCAAGGUUUGCGAAAUGGCUUGGCCUGCAUAUCUGAGCCACAACUUGGAUGACUCGACUGGAAUGUGAAGCUCUUGCCAUUCUUGCUUCGUCAUCUCUCCUUAUACGCUCAUCAUCCUCUUCCAUCUCAUUUUGGGCCACCUGGAGAUUGAACGUUCCUUCUUAUUGGUUAAACAAUUAUUCCUCUUGCUGAUUGAUUUCCCACGUCAUCUUUAAAGAAGAAGACAUUGUAAGAAGGAAUGAGAAACUAUGAAUAAUGAUACAUAUUUUGAUUUUGGUGAAGAAGAAAGCAAAAACUAUGAAUAAUGAUAGAGAUCUUAAGAAAAUUGGCGUGAGAUUUCUGAGGAUGGAUGGUGGAUUAUAUGGAGGAUUCAUAAGGGAUUAUGUUGUAGAUAAUGCCAUAUGGAAUGCCAUCAUUCGUUAAAAAUCUGAUCAAAAUCUAUCCUCAAAGAUGGUAAACAGAUUGUGACACGUGACGCAACGUGAUUGGUUAAAAAUAUUAUUGAAAAUCUAUCCUUAACGAUUCUGAAAAAGUAACGACACGUGGCACGGCGGCAUUGGAUAAAAAUCUUAUCGAAAUCUAUCACCAAUAAUUGUCUUUUCGGAUAAUGACACGUGGCGCAACGAGAACGAUUAAAAAUCUUAUCCGAAAUUACAAAUAAAAUUAUUUUGUAUUAUUUUAUAAAUAAAAAAAUACUAAUAUUUUAUUGCCUAUUACCAGGGCUAUUCAGUGUAAGGGUGGAGAUGCAAAAAGUUGUUAUUGUUCAUUAAGGGCAGUUACUGUUCACUUGGUGGAUUAAAUAGUGAAUAGCCUUGGGGACCUUAGCAACGAUGGAGUUGCUCUUAUAAGGCAUUCUCCAACCCUGGGAUAAAACUCAAAUUUCCACUUCUAUUCCCCCCCAAAACUCAACCCAACCCAAGGCUAAAAUGUGUCCUAAACCCUAAAACUCAAAUGGAAGCUAAAUUUAGCCCAUGAUUAGUGGGGUUGACUCACCAUAUAUGUAUAUUUUAUUUAGUUUUAUAUUUAUAAAUUCAUUGAAUCCAAUGGUUAAGAUCUAAUAUGAUAAAAUUCAAUGGUAAAAAAAAAUAUUUAACGGUCCAAAUUUAAAUCUAACGGCUAAAAUAAUUAUAAAAAAAAAUCUUUUAUUUGUUUCAUAUUUUUUUCAUAGUGUUUAACGAGUUUCAUGGUGUCGGUUAGUGAUUUUUCAAUAUUUGUCAGAAUCUAAAUAUUUUUAGGCUAAAAUGUUCAUAAAAUUAAAUUAUGAUGGUUUACAUAAUUUUUAUUUUAUAAAAAAAGUUACUUUAACAAAAACAAUUGUCGAAAUUCAUUCUUUAAUAAUCUGAGGCUAAAAUUUUAGACCAAAAAGGUUGGAACAAAAAAACUGUUUCUGGGCUAAAAAUUUUAGGUUUUAGGUCAAAGGUUGGAGAUGAUCUAACAUGUGAUUUUGUUGAGCAUGGAAACUUAUAGAAAGUUAAUAAGAGAAAGACAAUAAAGUAACUGCUGGAGGAACCAAUUUUUCAUAAUCACAUUAGUUUUGUUGAUUUCAUAUGUUCAACACUUGUGAAAAAAGAAAAAUCCAUCACUUUCAUUGUGAUUGCAUCAAAGAUUCAACUACCCAAUUUUCAAUAUGUAUUAAAGAAGAUUUUGUCUUAUUUACGGGAUUAACAUCCUAUUGAUUUUAGACGAACACUUUUCUUAGGAUGCCUGAAGACCGAAGUAGUAACGUCAGGAUUUAGGUGUCGAAUAGUCAGACCUAUUGAUUUUAGGCGAUGACUUUUCUUAGUAUCCUGAAGACCGAAGUAGUAACGUCAGGACUCAGGCGACGAAUAGUCAGACCACGAAUAUUGGAAGUCAAACAGUCAGAGUACGUUUGUUGGCAAGGAUCAGCUCGAAACUGAAAAAGACAAUACAUAUGUAAUGAGACAAAGGUAUUAAAUAUCGAUGAUAUCGGAAAUAUUAGUAGUUUAAAAACACCGAAAUAUCGAUGGAAAUAUCGGGAUAAUAUCGAUAUCGAUAAAAACAAUAUGGAAACCACGGAAAUUAUAAGAAAAACUUGAAAAUUUUUAUUGAAACUUUGCAGGAUAUUUAUUUAGUCAAUUAUCUAUUAGUUUAUCAUAAAAAAUUGGAAGGAAAUGCAUUGCAUGAUGGAUUUAACAUUAUCAAGUUGAUUAUAUAGCGAGCUAGCAAACAUUGUGAGUGUAGAAAAUAUGUAGUAAUUAAUGAAAGAAGUUUAAACACACCAUAAUCAUUUAUAUAUAAUGAAUUAGUACAAUAUUUUACACUUUAUACAUUGCAUGGUAAGAUACAUGAGUAACUUAGUACCACAUAGAGUUCCUAUGAGGUUCAAAUUUUUCACUAUCUUCAUCAUCUCUAUGUGUAGAGUGAGUGUAUUGUGAAGAGUAGUUAUCAAAUGAUAAAUCCCUAAAAUAGUUUUGCAUGUAAUUGUUAACAUGCCACCCAUAUGGAUCCGAGAUUGGUUGACCUUGUCCAUAAGCAAAAUCAUUUGAAGAUUGAGUCUCGGAUUGUUUCCAUGAGUCGCUCGAUUCCAUCCCAACAGGAAUGGGAUAUGAAGGGUAGGGAAAUUGUUGGUUAUGAGUAUAACCAUAGUUACUACUUCCCACUCCAACAGAGUCCGAAGUUAUAGAUAACGAGUCAUCUUCUUGACUUGACAAAAUCCCCUUGCAUCUUUCUCUACGAGUAGUCAUUCCCUAUGGCACCAAUUCCUGGUCCUGCCCGCCUACUGCCAUGGUCCUCAUCCUGUGUUGCAUGCGUGAAGUUUGCCUCACCAGUGAAGGGGCUCAUAAAUCCGGGAGGUGGUCCAACAUAGUUUCCAUAUCCACCACCACUACCUUCAGCUCCACUAUAUCCUUCAUCAUUCCCACCUCCGGUGGUAGGUGAGUCUCCUCCUGAUCUUGUACUAGAGCUAUCAUUAGUAUCAGCACGAUGUUGUGGUUGUGUAGGAUUGGAAGAAGGUGGAAUUCCAGUGUUACUUGGUUUUGGGCGCAAAAGUCUUCCAAAGAGUCAGCGCUGCUAGAUCCCACCUCCUCCGUUAAUACUCUUUCUACAUUUAUCCUUUCAUUACGUGCUUCUUCAGCAACUCUGAGAGCUGGGUUGCCUUAAUCAUCAUCUAAAUGAAGAUGUCUAAUCUAUUGAUAAAGUUGGUUACCCUCUGUAUCAUCAUCUUCAGCAACAAUAUCAAACACAUCUAGUGGGUCACCACGGUCGACAUGAUCUAUUUCUGCUUCCUUAUCUCGAAUUUGAAGAUUCAUGUUGUAGUAGCAAUAAACUAAUUUUUCCAACCGACUAUGAGCCAACCUAUUUCUUUGCUUUGUGUGUAUGAGUGCAAGUGUGCUCCAAUUUCUUUCACAAGCAGAUGAGGAAGCUGUUUGUGAUAAUACUUUGAUUGCUAACUUUCUCACAGUUGGUGCAUCGGUCCCAUACAUGAUCCACCAUUCAGCUACAAUGAAAAACAAUGUUGAUAGGCCUAAUAACUCCAACCAAUUCUAUUAUAAACUUAUCGUGAAAUAUGUUUACACUCACUAGGAGACAUUUUUGUUCGAGCAGCAACUGAUGUUGGUUCUCCAAAAGUUCUUCUUGCAUCUUUAAACCAUGUUAGCUGAAUUCAAUAAAUCGUGUUAAUUUAAUCCAACAAAGUAAUUAUUAUAAUUUAAGUAAUUGUGUACCUCAUUUCCAAAUUGGCCAACUGCUGGUGAUGCAUGGUCUAAUUUAGAGUAUACAUUAUGUACAGCACGUAUAAGGGUACCAUCAUCUCCAACACCGGGUCUGUAUUGGUAUCGAUGAUUCAAAUAAUAUGCUGUUCAAAGAAACACAUACUCUAAUAAGAGAAAUAAUACUUAUGCAAUUAAAGAAAUGAAUUACAAAUUAUGACAUAAUUUAUACUUGCUGAAUGCAAAUCGUGGUAUAAUGUUUUAUACCAUCGAUCUUCAAUUAUCUUUAUGACUCACCUUGCACCAUGUUUUCUUUCCAAUUCAUCCUUCACUACACGCAUCAACUCAUAUAUUGCCCCCAUAGUAGGAUACACUUCUGUGUCAACGAUCCGUAAAACUUUGUAAAGAGGUUCAAACACUUGGCACACAUGUUUUGAUUGUGUCCAAAAAGCAUGAUCAAGCACUAUACUUUCCACCAUAUGAUCUACAUUUGAGCGGCUCAAAUUGUGGUUGGCCCAAUCGUCACUAGUGAAUAGUUACUUCAACCAUGCUUUCUUCUUAAGUAGGCUGUUUAAUGCAAUAUAGUUGGUGGCGAAUUGAAUGGUAGCUGGACGAAUAAUGUCUCCUUUGCAAAAUUCACGCAUCUUUGCCAACAACCAACCGUGAUUGUAAAUAUAAUUUGUGAUCGUUCGAGCUCUUUUUACCACAGUAGCAACAUUCUCUCUCUUCCCCAUUGCCUCAAACAUGAGAUCAAUACAAUGUGCUGCACAUGAUGUCCAAAACACAUUAUGAUGUUUCAUUAACUUUAUUCCAGCUUUGACAAAUGCAGAACCGUUGUCGGUCACGACUUGGACAACAUUAUGUUCUCCCACCUCCAUGAUUACAUCCCUCAAUAAUUUGUAAAUAUACUUGUAAUUCUUUAUAUGGUCUGAAGCAUCAACAGACUUAAAAAAAAUUGUCUUUCCCUUGGAGUAUACCAUGAAGUUUAUGAUAGACAAUCUGGUCGGGCCAGUCUAUCCGUCACAUGAUUGUGCAACCAUUAGUUUCCCACUUUGACUUCAACUUGUUCACAUACUCGCCAAUGUCUUUAUACUCCAUAUCCAAAUAUUUAUUUCUUAUCUCAUAGGGAGUGGGAGGUUGUACUCCAACACCGGCCUGUUGACAUCCCACUACCAUAUUUUUGAAAUGAUGUGAUGAUGCUUUCUCAGCAGGGACAUUUUCAUAGAUAAAGAACUUGCUAAUUAGACGCCCCAUUCCCUCCUUCAUAUUACCUCCAGUGAAAUAACUCCAAACACUCUUUUGACGUGCUUUGGAUGACUUAUAUAAACUUGGGGCUAUUGGUGGUGUUGGUUGUGAUUCUCUAAGACUGCCUCCCCGUCUCAUUUGUGCACCACCACUUGUCCCGAAACCUUGUAUUCUAUUAGGAAUUUUAUGAAGGUGUUCUCUUUCCCAUGCUGACUGUUUGGAGGCACGUAAUGCUUGUUUCAAACUGCGUCGUUCUUCAGGUCCCAUGUCAUCAUCACAUUCGUCCUCAUCGUCAUCAUCAUCACUGUCAACCGCUUGGCCAUAGACUUCUCCUCGUAGCCCAGCUCGAAUAUUUUCCAUUCCAUGUGUUAUCUUUUCCUUCUGCUGUUUUUUAUUUUUUAAUAAUGUGCUGAUGAAUGCAUUCACUUCUGGGGGGACAUUAUCGCAUCGUUGGACAUUAUGUGCUGGAUCUAAUCCACUAAGAUGGUACUUAAGUCGUGUUACUCCACCACUCUUCAUUACCCGACCACAAUAUUUGCAAAUUGUGCCAUGUUUGUUUCCGUCUAUUGGGUCUCCAUGUUCCCAAGCUGGAUCACGUUUAGUAACUCCACUGGACAUCUUAAACGUACUUAUAUUUAUUUUUCAUGAAAAUUAGGCAAUUAUUUUUUCGCCAAAAAAUAUAGUAGUGACAGAAACAUAUUAAAUAGGAAGUUAAGAAAAGAGGAAGUAAAGUUAUUUUACAGAAGAAUUAAAUAGGAAGUAAAGAAAAUGAUUGUAAGAAUUUAAGUAAUUAUAAAAAUAAUAUGGAAUAAUAAAACCUAAUAUUAAUGAAUAAUAAUCCAAUUUGAUAAUAAAAUAAUAAAUAACAUUAAACAUAUUAAAAUUAUUCUAGGGAAUAAUUAUACAACAUUACUUAAUUACUUCAAAAAAUUAACAUGCAAGUAUAAAUUACAAUAAUAUAAAUAUAAGUUCGUAAACUUACCUUAAAUAUGGAACCCUUUGUGUUGAAGCUCUGGAAUAGAUCUGGAAUGACUUUGAAAAGGGGUAAGGGAAGAAGAAGAAACGAAAAGGUGUAAUAGAGGUUUUAAUUUUCGAAGGGUCAAAAAAUGUGUGACGAUCUGAUACUCCACCUCUGAGAAUGUGAAAGAAUAACACAGUGGCACACGAUUUUGAAUGGUCUGAAAUUGUAAAAGUUGUCCAUGGUCUGAUACUCCACCAUUAUUUUUGUCCAUGUUCUGAAAUUGUACAAGUUGUAAUUGUAAAAGUUGUCUGUGUUUUGAAUUAUUUAGAUGCUUUUGAAUGAAACCACCAUUAUUUUUGUCCAUGGUAAAAAAAUGUGUGAUCAUCUGAUACUCCACCUCUGAGAAUGUGAAAGAAUAUCACGUGUGGCACACGGUUUUGAAUCUUGAUGCAUGAAACCACCAUUAUUUUUGUCUUGUCAAAAAUUGUACCAUUCCUAAAAGCUGUAAAAGUUGAAUUAUUUAGAUGCUUUUCUUUUCUCACACCGUCACACACCACCUACACACACACACGCCACCGACACACACACACACACGCACACACAGGGAUCACACACGCCACCACACACGCACAACAACACAUGCACACACGACUCAUCUUUGGAUCCUUCUCUUUUCUCCCUUUCCCUUCUCCCAUAAACACACACAUAGAUCUCAUAGAUCUCUCGAAUUCUCGAUCUUUCUCUCUUCUCCCUUUUCCCAUACCCACACACAGAGACCUUUCUCGAUCCUUCUUCCACAUGGCAUUCUCCUACUCCGCGUAUUCCGCCUCGUCGGCGAACCUAGGAACUCUCUGGAGAGUUCUUUUGAUCCUUCUCCGCCUUCCUCACCGAUCCCACCGACAACAACCCCACCUCUGUUGUUGACUCCAGCGACGACCACCACGACCCCCAAUCGCCCCCAAACCCCAACCUCAACCCCCACGUCUGCUUCAACCAAGACCACGCCUGCUUCGCCGUGGGGACAAACCACGGGUUCUGGAUCUACAACUGCGAUCCGUUCUGCGAGCUCUUUCGUCGCGACUUCGACAACGGUGGGGGAAUCGGCGCCGUUGAGGCGCAGAUCUUGGGUUUGAGCAUGGAUUGCACAAAGAUCUGGGUAGCUGGGGGGACGACGUAGCCUCGGCUGCCUUUCCGACGACGGAUCCACGACUUUUUCGAUAAUAUCGAAUGAAUAUAUCGCGAUAUUAUCGAUAUUAUCGAUAAUAUCGCGAUAUUUUGACGAUAAUGAGACUGAUACGUGGGAAAAUAUCGGAGCCUCUGAAAAACGAUAAUAUCAGCGAAAUAUCGCCGAUAUUAUCGAUAUUUAAUACACUGAAUGAGACAGAUGUUUUGGGAGUUUAAUUCAUAAAGAAAAUAGCAAAAAAAGGAAAUAGACUUGUCUAUAAAUAAUAUGUAAAUAAGUAUGCCCAUACUACAAGGAAGAAAAGUUCUGAAUAAAUGAUUUAUUUUAUCUAGCUUGAUUGAUGGUGAGGUACUCCCUGUCUAUAUUUAUUUUAUCAGUUAUUCUUUUUCCAAAACAAAUUAAAUUUUUAAUUAGAAAAUAAUUAUUCAGAAACAGUCAUUAAAGAUAUGAACAGUUUCUCACCGAUGAAAAAUCGUUCAACGAUGAAAAAUUAUUUGAUGGUCGUCACCAAAGAGCUUUAGCGACCACUUUAUAUUUUUUCUGUUGUAAAUUUUAUUUUCAACAUUUUAAUAAACACAUGUAUAGCAUGUGUACAAUUGAAAAUGUUUAUUAAAGAAACAAGAAAUUCAAGAAAAAUAGCCGAGCAAAAUAGAUCGUUUGCUAGGCAGUGGGCAGUGGGCAGUGAUGGCCAACAAAACUGGAAUUAUAGUAAAUAUUUAAGGGCAUAAUGGGCAAGAAAAUUGGAUUCCGAGUUCAUCCAUAUACUCGGAAUUGAAAUACCACCUCUAUUAUGGUGUCCAAUUCCUUCAUAUGAGGAAUUGAAUUCCUUAUUUUGUGUAGGUCCCACCUUCUUUUUUACUUUCCAAGUUUAGUAAGCGAGGGCAUAUCUUGUCAUUGGAAUCCAAUUUUGUAUUUUAAUUUUGAUUAUGGAUUCGUAAACACGUCAUAAGAGUUGUUCCUCAAUCCAAAAAAGGGCACUUAAUUUCAAUUAAGAGGAUGUUGGAUUUCAACUAAAAUUUAAAAAGUGAAUCCUGCCAUAAUCUAACUAGAGUUGAAUCCAAAAGAGGGCACUUAAUUUCAACUAAGAGGAUGUUGGAUUUCAACAACUUGCGAGAUAUGGAGUUGAUUUGCUUGACAUGAACUCAUAAAUUUAAGUCUCAGCAUGGUCCACCACCAACGUCAUCAAUAUUGUCUCAAGUUAAUUAACCACCUAUUACUAAGUGUUGAAUUUUCUUACAAAAGACCUCAGUGAUAUGAAGGUCAUGCAAAAGAUAUAAUGUUAUUCUAUUAUCAUGCUCAAAUACUGAUUGAUUUUCUUCUCUUUAGUUGCUCAUUAGGGUCCCGAUUCUGUCAAGAAAACUAGUCCAGCAGAUAUUGCAUAUGCCACCUAUUUUAACGUAAAACACUUUCCUUUUGCUCAAACGAUACCCUAAAUUUUAAAGUAGAUAAAAGCGAAGAGCGAAAGUCGAAUUCUUGAAGUACAUGAUAAAGUGUUUUUACUCUAAUCUUUGAGUCUCAUAGUUGGAUAAGUGGUUUUGUAAAAUUUCUUUAAAAAAUUUUCCCUUUAUUUAUCAGAGGCAGAUUCUUUGCCCUUCCACUUCCCGUGCCCUCCCAUGUCCUCCUGUUUUAUGUGGCCACGGUUAAGCCACGUAAACAUUUUAUAUUAUUUUUUUAUAGAUAUAAUAAGACAAAAAUGAAUAGUAAUAUAAAAUAUUAAUAUGACUUAACUAUGACAACAUAAACAGAAGAGCACAAAAAGUGGACGAGCAGAGAACCUGCCUCCAUAUUUAUCAGCAUCAUUGCCCAAAAACAUGCCCAUUGAUUAGAAAGGCUCAUAACAGCCACAAGAAGUUUCAUACAAUUUUAUUGCCAACCAUCCAAAGACUGCAAAGCAGACUGCACAUAGCAAGACAAAAGGACCACAAAGUAAAUUUAAAAUUACAACGAAACACUUAUUUGAGAAUACAAUCAUUAAAUUUGUAUUCGUUAAACUUAAAGAAAACUUGAAUAACAGAAUAUUGGAUAGCAGGAACAGAUGUGACACUGUGUCCACUAAAGCCGCCCGACACGAACCGCUCACCCCAUUUGGGCUGGUUUGGUAUUGAUGUGUUUUGAAAAAAAAAAAUUAUUUAUACUAUGCUGUGAGAUUAAACAGUUGUGAAAUAAAGCCGGUUUUUUAAAGUUGGGUUUUGCAACUUUGUGUUUUUGGCUUUUUUCACCAAAAACUGUGAAAAAAAUUGAAGUUGAAUGUUUACCAAACACAAAAAAGCUCUCAACUUGUUUUGAUACCCAUUUUUUUCAGAAGCAUCUCAAUACAAAACCAAUGCUUAUUCAAGCUCCUUUCUUUGCCAUAUCUAACAUCAAUUUUAGAUUUGCUAGCUUCUUGUUUUCUUUCUCAUAUUUUUUGUCGAUACCGGCAUCUAUAAUUAUCACUUUCCCCGUGUCCUUAGGAACAGCUUCCGGCACUUAUUAAGAAUACGAAUGCAGUCAUCAUCACUCCAGUCAUGAAGAACCCCCUACAAUCAACCAAAUCGUCUGUUAAUUAUAAAAUGUCAUUUUGUUGAGCAAGAAAAGUUAUAGCAAGUUAAUAAGAGAAAGACAAUGUAAGUUGCCAUUUAUCACAGUUGUGGAAAGGUGUUGAGCCUUUACUUGACAACAUAAGUUAAAACUCUAUUGGUGACUAAUCUAAUAUAUAAUCAAACAAAAUAUAUCGUUUGACAAAAAAAAAAAAAAAAAAAGAGAGAAAGACAAUAAAGUAACUGCUGGAGAAACCAUAAUUUUUAUAAUCGCAUUAGUUUUGUUGAUUUCAUAUGUUCAACACUAGUGAAAAAAAUCCAUCACGUUCAUUGUGAUUGUAUCAAAGAUUCAACUACCCAAUUUUUAAUAUGUAUUAAAGAAGACCUUCUCUAUUACUAAUGUAUCUUAUUAAUUUACGCAAACUGUCUUCUUCUCUCUGAUCCUCAGAAUAAUUUGCAUAUAUCCAUGUCACCUUUCAAAAGAAGACUUUUCUGAGGACAACUGAAGUCCAAAGUAGUAACGUCAGAAGUCGAAUAAUCAGAGCUCGUCUUGUACGACUUUUGAACGAAGACUUUUCUCAGGAUGCUAUACUCCAACUCUGGGGGAAACUUAAAUUUUAAGUUCUAAAUUUAUUCUAACUUACUUUAACUUUUGGAACAAAUAUGAGUUUUAAUUAAAUAUUCGUUCAUGGGGCAAAUUUAGGCCAAGAUUUCUCUAGUUAGUGGUGUUGGCCAACCAUAUGUGUAUUUUUUUAGUUUUAUAUUUGUAAAUUUGUUGAAUCCAACUGCUAAAAUCUAAUAUCACUAGUACAAAAAUAUGUUUCCGCGACAGAGCAAAUUUCAUCGCACAAAGUGUUGAAGAAGAUCGAGCUAAGAAUGGAAUGUAGAAUCUGUCAAAUAUUGUAAAUGAUUUGUUUCCUUAUUUGUAGUUGACUUAGCUUGAUUGUAGGAACCAUAUUAGGAUGCUUCUGUAACUAUAAAUUGGUGACUCCACCUCUUGAGUAAAUACAAUCAAUUGCAUAUCAAUUUCUUACAUGGUACUAGAGCAUUGAUCUGGGCAACACAACCCUAGCCGACUUCCAUGGCAGAGAACAAACCAUCAGACACGGCUUCGGGAACCAAGUGGGAUAAUCCCAAUCACCAACUAUACCUUCAUCAUUCAGACCAACCCGGUGCUAUCCUUGUGCCGCAGCCUUUGGUCGAAGAUAAUUACAGCACAUGGAGACAAUCCAUGACUAUGGCCUUAACGGUCAAAAACAAAAUCGGACUCGUGGACGGUUCGAUCGUGGAGCCGAAUGGACAGGAUCCAAAUGAAUGGCAGCAGUGGAAUCGCUGCAAUAAAUUAGUCCAAACUUGGCUGCUAGGGUCGAUGUCGAAAGACAUCGCCAACAGCGUGAUUAAUUGCAAGAAUGCUAGGCAGAUGUGGCUGGAAUUGAAGGAGAGGUUCUCACAUGUGAACGUGGUUCAACUGUUCAAUAUCGAGAACGAGAUUCAUGAUUGUGUGUAGGGAAGUAUGUCUGUGGGAUCUUACUUCACGAAAUUAAAGGGACUAUGGGACGAACGUGAUGCUUUGUGCACCUUCCCAAUUUGCACCUGUGGAUCGGUCAAGGAAGUGGCUGCAUACUUGGACACGCAGAAGACCAUGAAGUUUCUUAUGGGUCUCAGUGACUCAUAUGCAAGUGUUCGUAGCAACACUUUACUGCAGGAUCCUUUACCAACCGUGAACAAAGCAUACUCUCUUGUACUACGACAUGAAAAACAAUAGGAAGUAACAGCGAAUAAAGCCCAAGUACAACCAGAUGCGGCCGUGUUUGCCGUGAAGAGAUCCAGCCAUGAAAUCGAAGGAGAAAAAGGUGAGUUGAAGUGCACCAAGUGCAACAAAACAAAUCACACUGCCAAGAAUUGCCGUGCACACCUAAAGUGUGCAUUUUGCGGAUGAAAGGGUCAUACGGCCGACUAUUGCCGCAAAAAGAAGGCAGCAGCAGCCGAGGCUGAUCAUGGUAUCGUGAUUUCCAAGGGGAACCAAGCAGCAACUUGUCUGACGGAAAGGAAGGAGAUGAAAUUCCCAUUCACUGCUGAAGAAUGCAAACAAAUAUUGAGUGUGCUGCAAAGCAAGUCUUCCUCCGCUAAUCAUGUUGGUAAUUCCACAACCCAUGAAGAACUUUCAGGUAAAGCUUUUUCACUUAACUCUAAUGGCAAACAGAGUACUUGGAUUUUGGACAGUGGCUGCACGGACCAUAUGAUCUAUGAUCCCAACCUAUUUUCUACUUCAAGGCCGGUCACUAAUCACACUGUAGAAAUGCCAAAUGGGUCUGUGGCCCAAGUGACCCACAUUGGCAAAGUCAUCUUGUCCCCCACUCUCAUCCUUGAGAACGUUUUGUGUGUCCCGUAUUUCAAAUUGAAUUUAAUUUCAAUUAGCAAGUUAGCCAAUUCAUCUUGUAUAACAAUCUUUUUGAACCAAUUUUGUAUUAUACAGGACCUACGUUCGGGGAUGAUGAUUGGGACGGGAAUUGAACGGGAGGGCCUCUAUUAUAUCGAUCACACCAAGAAAGGAACAUGUAAUCAGGCACAAAAAUCCAACCCAACCCUUUGGCACCAACGUCUUGGACACCCAUCUUCCAGAGUUCUUCCCUUAUUCUCUUUUUCCAAUUUUAAACAAGCCUCUUGUGAUACUGACAAGUGUGCAAUUUGUCCUUUAGCUAAACAAACCAAACUUCCUUUUCCUUCAAGUUCAAUUACUACUCAUUCUUGUUUUGAUUUAAUUCAUAUUGAUAUAUGGGGUGGUUAUAAAAUUGCUUCCAUUUCGGGUGCAAAAUAUUUUCUUACUAUUGUUGAUGACUACACUCGAUGCACAUGGAUUUACCUUAUGAAACACAAGUCUGAUGCUAGGACUCUUCUAGUUAAUUUCAUCAAUAUGAUUGCCACUCAAUUUGAUUCCCCAAUUAAGAUCAUACGUAGUGACAAUGGCCCUGAAUUCAAACUUGGGAGCUUCUAGCGGAUAAAGGGAUAAUCCAUCAAACUAGUUGUGUCAACAUUCCACAACAAAAUGGGGUUGCUGAAAGAAAACAUAGACACUUGUUAAAUAUGGCGCGUGCAUUGCUUAUUCAGGCCGGGCUUCCACCUCGUUUUUGGGGGGACGCCAUUCUCACGUCCGCCUAUCUCAUAAAUCGAACCCCUACUCCUCUCCUUGGUGGCAAAACCCCGUAUGAGAAGUUAUUUCACCGCUCUCCCAAUUAUUCCCAUUUGCGUGUUUUUGGUUGCUUGUGUUUUACUUCUACCCAUACCCAAAAUCGUUCCAAAUUUGAUCCAAGAGCCUCUCGGUGCAUUUUUCUGGGAUAUCCCCAUGGUAAAAAAGGAUAUCGCGUUUUUGAUCUUAGUCAACAAAAGGUCCUUGUUUCUCGUGAUGUGAGUUUCUUUGAAAAUACCUUUCCUUUCUUACUUCCUCCCUACUCCGUUGCAUCCACUGAUCCGCCCAAUUUACACACUUUUUCAUCCUCUCAUCCUGGCCCCUCCUCACAUUUCGACAUGGACCUGCCUUCCCCUCUUGAUGGGCCACCCCUACCCACCGGCCCACCCGAGUCUCCUUUACUCGACCCACCCACGGAUCUACCCCCAUCUUCCCCUGUUUCUUCCCCCCCCCCACACCCACAUCUCCACUUAUCCCUUUACCACUUUCACCCACUGCCGACCUACCUGCUCCGUCCCCCCCACCUCUCACCCCAGCUCCGCGCCGCGGCGGUCGCACCACUCGGCCGCCUGCCUAUUUGCAGGACUUUCACCUCGAGACUAGCCUCCCCUUAAGGACCGCACCAUCGUCAUCAACGAACUUGGUCGCUCGUUCAGGUACGGCUCACCCACUUUCUCAUUUUUUGUCUUAUGAUCAUCUUUCUCACACCCACAAAACAUACCUUGCCACACUUACCCACCUCAAAGAACCUGCCAGUUUCUCUCAGGUCGUCUAACACCCACACUGGCGUGCUGCCAUGAAAUCUGAAAUUGAUGCCCUGCAGGCCAAUGGGACUUGGAGCUUGGUGCCGUUGCCACCUCAUAAACGGCCGAUCGGCUGUAAAUGGGUGUAUAAGGUGAAAUUGAAGGCUGAUGGUACAGUCGAACGCCACAAAGCCCGCUUAGUGGCAAAGGGAUACAGUUAAGUUGAAGGGAUUGAUUACAGGGAAACCUUUGCUCCAGUUGCCAAACUGGUGACAGUCCGUGUCCUGCUCAGUGUGGCCUCUCUGCGUGGUUGGCAUCUCCACCAAUUGGAUGUGAACAACGCGUUUUUAAAUGGUGAUCUUAAUGAGGAGGUGUUCAUGUCUUUGCCUCCGGGUUUCGGACGAAAGGGGGAGCAUAGGGUCUGCAAAUUGCACAAGUCGUUGUACGGUUUAAAACAGGCGUCUAGGCAGUGGUUUAUUAAGCUGUCUACUGCCCUCAAAGCUGCGGGAUUUCAACAGUCACGAUCCGACUACUCUCUGUUCGUCCGAAGUCGUCAAGGUAACCUCCUGGCAUUACUCGUAUAUGUUGAUGAUGUCAUAUUGGCAGGGAACAAUUUGGAGGACAUAGAGAACACGAAAUCAUUUUUAGCCAACCAAUUCAAGCUUAAGGAUUUGGGACGGCUGAAGUAUUUCCUUGGCAUCGAAGUUGCCAGGUCACGGCAUGGAAUCAGUUUUUCGCAACGUAAAUAUGCCUUGGAGAUUUUGGAUGAUGCUGGAUUCUUAGGGGUCAAACCUUCUCGGUUCCCUAUGGAACAAAAUUUAUCACUCACACAAUCCAAUGGAAGGUUAUUAGAUGAUGCUUCGGCAUACAGAAGAAUGGUUGGAAGAUUGAUAUAUUUGACUAUAACUAGGCCGGACCUGACUUACGCCGUGCAUGUGCUAAGUCAGUUUAUGGACAAGCCACGGCAACCGCAUUUGGAAGCAGCCUAUAAAGUGCUUAAGUAUAUUAAGCAUACACCGGGUCAAGGUAUUCUGCUCCCGUCUACAGGAUCACUUCAAUUGCGGGGAUUCUGUGAUGCAGAUUGGGCACGUUGCAAAGACACAAGGAGAUCAAUCACGGGAUACUGCAUUUUGCUUGGGCAAGCACCAGUUUCUUGGAAGACCAAGAAACAGACGACAGUGUCGCGUUCAAGUUCAGAAGCCGAGUAUCGUUCGAUGGCUACCACUUGCUGCGAAAUCACAUGGUUGAAGAAUAUUUUGAAGGAUUUGGGAGUUGAUCACACACGGCCCGUGACCCUAUUAUGUGACAAUCAGGCGGCUAUACACAUAGCAUCGAGUCCGGUGUUUCAUGAGAGAACCAAACACAUAGAGAUAGAUUGCCACCUGGUUCGAGAGAAGAUUCAACAAGGGAUGAUUCGGACAGCUCAUAUUCGAACUGAAAACCAGCCGGCUGAUUUGUUCACCAAGCCAUUAAGCUCGACACAGUUUGAAGUGCUUCUUAGCAAGUUGGGUGUUAUAAACAUACACUCCAACUUGAGGGGGAGUGUUGAAGAAGAUCGAGCUAAGAAUGGAAUGUAGAAUCUGUCAAAUAUUGUAAAUGAUUUGUUUCCUUAUUUGUAGUUGACUUAGCUUGAUUGUAGGAACCAUAUUAGGAUGCUUCUGUAACUAUAAAUUGGUGACUCCACCUCUUGAGUAAAUACAAUCAAUUGCAUAUCAAUUUCUUACACAAAGUAUGCUUGCGCAAUGCAAAACACAAAAUGUCGCGCAAAAUGCUGUUGCACAAAGGCCGUUUGCUCCAUGUUUUGUGCAACGUAGGUGCACCUACGUAAUGCAAAGAUGUUUUGCACGACGCCAGUCUUCAUCGGACAAAAUCAACGACUUUUUUAAAAUCACUUAAUCAAUUUGGGAGGUAGAAACCAGUUGAAUUGUAAUUAAGUAUUCACUUUGCUAUGGCAAAUCAACUCGCCCAGCAAGACGACAUGCCUUUAAAUAAUUGUAGGCUUGUAGCUUAAUUCACAGGAAACCAAUUAUUUAUUGCAUAACAUUGUCAAAUGUGAACCAGAAGAACAAUUUUUGUAUUGAGAAACAUUGAAAGAAAAAUAGUAGAUGUUCGGGGUGUGUGCGUAUGAGAGUGAGACAGAUAAAGUACACGAAAAGUACAAUUUAAAAUAAAAACUAAAAGCAAUUCAGUAAUUUUUAAUAUUUAUUUUUGUUUAUUCUCCCUUCGAUCUUCAUCAACUCUUCUAUUCUUGUCUAUGUUCCUUUGAAUGUCCCAGUUCGCACAUACCACCACUUCACGACUCAUAAGGAAACAGAGAUAUUAAAAAACAAUAACUUGCGCGAUGCACGACGCGCGACGCACCAACCAAUGCGUCACGCAAAGUAUGUUUGCGCGACGAAUAAAUUGUGUCAUGCAAAGGAUUUUUGUGGUCCACUAGUAUAAAUAUUUUAAAUUGAAGAUCGAAUUGGUUCAUUGUAUUCAUAUAGGAUCAAAGAGUGUAGCUCUAAAAAAUCAUCAAAAUCGGAGUUAAAACUACCGUUAAAUCGUGAUUUUUCAUUUAUAACCAUCAAAAAGUUUUGUUCUGUUGCUUGAUCUCUGAAUGUUUGUUUUUUGCAAAUUUUGGUGUAUGCGAUCUCAAAGUAUAUACAAACAAGUUUGACGGUUGGAUCGUUGAAUUUAGUUUCGUAGAAUGUAUGCCAUCAAAACAAUAGAUUCACUAACACUUAGAGUUUAUUUAUACUUUCAUUAAGUAUAACAUAAGAUUUUGUGGUUCUAAUAGUGUAAAUAUUUUAAAUUGAAGAUUGAAUUCAUAUAGGGUCAAAGAGUGUAGCUGUAAAAAAAUCAUCAAAAUCAGAGUUAAAAUAACCGUUAAACCAUAUUUUUUUGUUUAUAACCGUUGAAAAGUUUUGUCAUGUUACUUGAUCUCUGAAUGCUUUUUUUUUGCGAUUUUUGGCGUAUGCGAUCUCAAAGAAUAUACAAACAAGUUUGAUAGUUGGAUUGUUGAAAUUAGUUUUGUAAAAUGCAUAUCACAUCAAAACGAUAACACUUAAAGUUUAUUUAUACUUUCAUUAAGUAUAACAUAAGAUUUUGUGGUAUCUACUGGUGUAAAUAUUUUAAAUUGAAGAUCGAGUUCAUUCAUUGUAUUCAUAUAGGAUCAAGGAGUGUAGUUGUAAAAAAUCAUGAAAAUCAGAGUUAAAACUACUGUUAAAUCAUGAUUUUUUGUUUAUAACCGUCGAAAAGUUUUGUCCCAUUACUUGAUCUCUGAAUGUUUGUUUUUUGUGAUUUUUGGCGUAUGCGAUCUCGAAGCAUAUGCAAACAAGUUUGACGGUUGGAUCGUUGAAAUUAGUUUCGUAUGAUGUGUAUCCCAUCAAAACGAUAUAUUCACCAACAUUGAGAGUUUAUUUAUAAUGUUCAUUAAGUAUAAAAUAAGAUUUUGUGGUAUCUAUUAGUGUAGAUAUUUUAAAUUGAAGAUUGAAUUUGUCUAUUGUAUUCAUACAGGGUCAAGGAGUGUAGCUGUAAAAAAUAAUCAAAAUCGGAGUUAAAACUAUUGUUAAAUCAUGAUUUUUUGUUUAUAACCAUUGAAAAGUUUUGUUGUAACAUCCCACAUCGCCCAGGGGAGUGGAUCAUGUAAGCCUUAUAUGUAUAUUCUCAUUUCUACCUAACACGAGGCCUUUUGGUAGCUCACUAGCUUCAGGUUUCAUCGGAACUUCGAAGUUAAGCGAGUUUGGGUGUCACGCCUCGAUCCCGACAUACGUCCAGGAUUGACACGUGACGUCACCAAGUAUCCGUACAUCUAACAUACACCGUCUCUAGAAUAUGUACCAAGCACGCUCAAGCCUCAAAUUGAGUAGUGAUUUUUCGUAUACUUUAUAGUUGCAUCUAACCUCCUUGUUAGACUCCUACGUACCCUCAUUAAGGAUCAAGCCAUUUGUAGUUCGUCGUUCACUAAUUUAGACAUUUAUUACAACGCGUUCUAACAGGAAUACAUAACAUUCUGUGAUCAAUUAUUAGAACUUGACAUGCAUGACAUUACCAAGUUCAGGGCUACAAAACAAACCAAUAUAUCAUUCAAGAUUUUGAUUCCAUCCAUCAUAUAAAUUCCAUGAUUUCAGUACGAUACUUCCAUCCACAACAUGUAACAUAUCAAAUAACCUACGAAGCACAUACUAUUCUCAAGCCACAUUGGUCAACUAAAAUAAUCAGAAUAAUAACAACCAUAACUAAGGUAAUUCCACAAUCCCGUCAAUCAAUCAAUUCAUGAAUCAAAGAUACAUGAUCUUAGCAUUUAAUUAUGUUAAUCAAUGAAUGCUGUAACAUAUCAUUUCACGAAUUUAACCGAGGAACUCUAUAUAAUUCCCUACUUGGAUUAUGAAUAAAAACAUGGUAAUUCUAAUUUGUAUUCACAAGAUCUAUUGUGGGUAAUUCCCAUUCACUCGAAUCUAGGAUUCUAAGAUAAACUUAUGGAAAUGAACAAGAGCAAGGAUUCCGGACCACUCAACGGAAUCCAACAACAUCAGGUUCCGGACAACUCAACAGAACCAAAAUGUCACGCGGUUUCUCGUAAUCCACCCAGACCUGUCACAUGUAAAAUCAAUGCCUACAUUAUGGGAAUGGUACACUGGGCAAAUCAAGCACUCAUAUAAGCUGCAAGGUUCGGGUGAGUGACAAUAAUACAAGUAUGUGAUAUUUAAUAAAAACAGACAAUCGAUCACAAUCUAUAAACAUCAAGCAUAGAAUCAUGCUUUAUGAAAUCAUAAUCAAGUCAUUGAAAACUCUGUAGGAGUCACCCAGACAUCCAACAUUUUUUUUAAUUUAAGCCAUAAGAUUCCCAAAAACCAUCGUUUAUAUGUGCAUUAAAACUAGGGUUAGAGGGACUCAGUUCGGCCGAAGCGUACAUAUAUGUGACCAAAUAGGAAGUGGCCCCCUAUCGCGGAUUAACCAAGCAUAGUCACUCCUACACAUCUGUUAGGCAGUGAUCACCUAUCGUGGAUUAACCAAGCAUGAUCACCCUUAAGUGUGUGUGUAUGGCCAUACCAAAGAUAUGAGGAUCGCCUAUCGCGGAUUAACCAAGCACGAUCCAUAGAAAAUAUGGUCCCCUAUCGCGGAUUAACCAAGCAAGACCAUGGUCCCCUAUCACAGAUUAACCAAGCAGGACCAAGAUAACUAAGUAGGUAGUGACCCUUUAUCGCGGAUUAACCAAGCAGAGUCACACCUACGAAACUGUUAGGCAGUGAUCACCUAUCAUGGAUUAACCAAGCACGAUCCAUAAAUAAUAUGGUCCCUUAUCACGGAUAUACCAAGCAGGACCAUCCAUAUACCUCUGCUACAUGGUGCAGUCAAUUCAACACACAAGCUACCCUUAUUUCAACCCCUAUUAUUUACAAUAUAGGCACAUGCUCAAUCAACUUCUCAUGGCCACUAGCAUACAUAUCAUGCAAUAUAAAUUCUAUGGAAUACUUCCAAUAGGAUUCUAGGAUCACAUGGUCAUAACCUUUAUCAUUCAUAUCAUCAAGUAAAUACCUAAACACACACACACACACACACACACACACACACACAUAACAUUAUGACUUCCCAUACGCGUAAACCGAUGUAUAUAUUAUCUGGGAUAACUCACUAACUAAUAUAGGCCCACUAAGCCCUACAUAGUCUCUAGUAAUAUUGAAUUUAAUAUUUAAGAUCAAUUUGUAACAUAUUGACUAAAAGUAAGAAUUAAUUAGAUUAAAACAUAUAAGGUUUCCUUGAACCCUCUACCUUGAAUUCGAUUAAUUUUGUUCCUUUGAAGAACCUAAUCGGAACAUAAAAUUACAAUCAAAAGUAUAAAUACAAGUAACACACCUUAAUAACCAAACUAAGUGUUUAAACACAAAAUUAAUAUUAUCUAAAGAAGGUACACUGAUUCUGGAAUCUACCACUCAAAUAAUAUCACUCAAAUAGCAGUAAAGAAGAUUAGAAAGGAAUCUGGAAAAAGAAAAUAGGUGUGGCAAAAACAAUACUCUACUUCUCUACAAAAUCUGCAGAAAACAGCACUAUUGGACCAAGUUUAGGCUCCAUUUGGAACAUUCAGAACUAAACCAAAUCAUGUAAUAUUAUAUGGGUUUUGAAGCUUGUGCUAUGUAAUUUAAAAGCAUACAAAGUUUGUAGAAAAUGGAGCUCUAAAUUGGAAGUCAUGCCAAAAAGAAAAAUGAAGCCUUGAAACUGGAAACCCAGUUUUCUGCUGCUGUUUGGCAGCUCGCGACCCAUGUUUAAAUAAGGUUUUGAUCAACCAAAACUCAAUGGAACUGAGUGAAAACAAUUGGUUUGCGAUCAUGAACAUAUGUACUUUCAACACACUAAAAUUUUUCUCCAAAGGAGUACAUAAAGACCUAGAAAUUGAGAGCCAAAGAAGGCUACUCGAAACUUGAAUUUUCUUUACAAAGAAAUCAAUUUUUUGCAACUUGCAUAACAGUUCACUUCCAAUUCAUAUAACAAAUCCCAAAAUACUUCCAGGUAGUCCAGAAAUCAUGUAUACAACAUCCAAAACUAACAUGACUCAAAAUUAACAAGAAAUUGACCUUUUGAACCAAACCCUUGAUCAAAAAAUUUGAUCUAUACACCCAAUCCGAAUUACCCAACUCUAAUUCAUGUUCAGACUAGUUCAUUGAAUGAUAGAAAACCCUAAAUAAAACUAAGAACUCUAAACGUAUCAUGGCAGUUUCAAUUCCACUUAAGAAAAUUAAAUUCAAAAAUCAAGAUAAUGAAGGAACAAGGAAUUUACCCUUCAAAUCUCUGAAUUCUUCCUUCACAAUCACGUUCUCUAACUCCUCUCUCUUCGAUUUUUGUCUAAAGAAAGAAGGAUUUUCUUCCAAAAGCUAUGGAAGAGCCACCUCCUCCCUGUUUCUUUUCUUCACUUACAAAACCAGGAAGAACGUGAAAGAAUGUUCUCCCCCCCCCCUUUUUUUUCUUCCGCCCCUCUCCUUUCCUUACUCAUGUGCUGCCCUCUAAGUCCCUUCCCUUUUCCCUAAUUGGUCCACCUUAAAUCUUACAUGAUUGGGCCUCUUUCCCACAAAGUGGGAAUUUAUUUAAUUAAAAACUAUAGUUUAGUAAAUGAUUUCAAAUGUCUAUAAUUAUACCGUUAUUAUCCGGACUCGCAAACGGCUUUCGCCUAUGCGUUCGUGGUUUCAAGAUCUAUUCGGAAACGUUACUUAUGACCUCGAAAGGUCAACGAAUUUUAAAUAAUUAUUUUCUAAACUUCACUCUUUGUAACUAAUUUAAUUGAAAUCUAAAUUCAAAUAAAUUAAUAUAAAUUUUCAAAAAAUAAUAUAAAAUCUCAAUAAUACAAAUACGUAGAUUAUAACAGUGAAAUCCAGAAACAGGAUUUCACAUCGGGUGAGAGCAUUCUCAGGAUGGGUGACCCAUUGGGAAGUUCUGCUCGCGUGAGUUUCCAGAAACAAAACCGUGAGGGCAUGGUAGGAGCCCAAAGUGGACAAUAUCGUGCUAUGAUGGAGUCGAGCCCGGGAUGUGGUGAGGGCCCGGGUCGAGAUGUGACGAUUUGGUAUUAGAGCCAAUCUCUGGCCGAAAGUGUGCUGACGAGGACGUCGGGCCCUUAAAGAGGUGGAUUGUAACAUUCUGAUUGAAUGAUCCAAGGGACAUAUCCCUUGUUGUGCUACGGAACUGCAGUCGUGCUUCUUCAAUCCAAGGGACACGACAUGGCACUGCAGCCAUGCUUCUUUAAUUUCAGAGACACUCAAAGGCACGGCCUGCAGCCAAAAGGCAUAUCACUGCUAGCCUUUCCCCCUUUAUCCCACUGUCAACACCAUAUAUAUACAGAGAGCUUAAGGGGAGGGAUCCCCAUUUUUUGAAAAAAAUGGGGAUUAGGUGUGGGGCCCACUUCACAUCUAAUUUCAACGAUCCGAACCGUCUAUUUUGUUAGUCUCGAUUCAUAGAUCAUCCUUGCAAAAAUUCAAUUCAAUCCGAAACCAUUUUCCUAUUGAAUUAUCAAUAUCAAAUUUCAUAUUUUCUUAUAUAACAAAGUAUUCGUUCAUUUCCUUGAAGCCAAUUAGAUGUCUUAAACAUUUCCAAUUUAGCUAAUAUUUUGCAAGGAUGAUCUAUGAAUCGAGACUAACAAAAUAGACGGUUCGGAUCGUUGAAAUUAGAUGUGAAGUGGGCCCCACACCUAAUCCCCAUUUUUUGAAAAAAAUGGGGAUCCCUCCCCUUAAGUGUAUAUAUAUAAUAUGUUCAAUUCCAAGAGAUACACCAACACUACUACCUUUAUCUUUUUUGUUCCGUGUAAUUUUCAAACCUAGACCUCAUGCCAUCACAAUCACAUGGAUCAUUCCACAUGAUUCAUUUACUAGAACACUAGGAUUUUCUUUGUGAAUGAGACAAACAGACAAAACAUUGUAGGUUGAAAAAAUAUGAAGGCAAAGACCUAGAGAAUAUUACUUUGUAUUGAUUGAAUUUAAUACUCGUUACUUUGUAUUUUUUUUUUCUGAAAUGAUUAGUUUCAAAUGCAAGAAAGGAUUAGUUUCUAAUGUUAUAUUUUUAUGGUUCAAAAAGCGUAUAGAUGUUGCAGUUGAUCACUCGUCGUCGGAGUAUGACCAAUGCGCCUCCUGCAUUAUCAACAUCAACUACUCCAGGCAUGAGUGCUCCAUUGAUUGGGGAGCCUACACCCUUUACUGAGGCUGCUCCUACGGCGUCCUAGGUGCCCGUAUCAUUGACGUCAUCAGUGUUGGUUCAGCCACUUAGUGCACGGUGGCCUCACGGCACCGUCGCGAGCCUGAGCCUUAUGAUCACACUUCCUCGGCAUCCAGAGUCGAGGGUGGGGCCUCCCAACCAGGUAGUUUUUUCUAAUUCUAACUACGUUGUAUUUUUUUUCAUUUUAAAACUAUUAUUUUUAUGAUUGUGAAAAUUUGCUAGAUUGUGAAAAUGUGUUGCGGGUUGUGAAUUACGGUUAUUUUACUGUUUAAAGGUUUUGGGAAAUGAUAUACUAUUAGGGGAGGUUUUGUUGAAUUUUUUGUAGAAAUUUAAGCUUUGAGUUUUCACCAUUUAAGAUUUUGCUGAAUGUUGAAGCCGGCACAAAGCGUACGUCAGUCCGCCUCCUUGAUUAAGAUUGCGUAUGACUCGCAACAUCAUGGAACUGCUACCUCACAGCAGCAUAGCAGCGUCGCUACUAGUUAUGGUUAUGUUAUUCAGCAUUGUCAUGUGCAACUGUAGUUUUUUCUUUUUUGUUCGGAGGACAUCUUGUAUGUACAUUUUUAUAUAUUUUAUAAUUAAAUAUUUUUUCUUGGUUUAUUAAUUAUUGUUUAGAAUUUAAUUACAAUAUUUAUUAAUUAUUGUUUAAAAUUAAAUAAAAAUAUUUUUGCCAAAAAAAAAAAACAAGGGUUUGUGCGACGAAUAAGGAACAUGCGUCGAGUAAGCAAUGAGGUUCCUACGUCGUGCAAAACUAGUUUGCGCGACACAUGUCCCUUCUUUGUCGUGCACAAAGUAGUUAUGCACGACGCAGGGUUUAGGGUUUAGGGAUUUUUCAACAUUUAUCGGAAUCUAAAUAUUUUUAGGUUAAAAUGUUCGUAAAAUUAAAUUAGGCUUGUCUACAUAAUUUUGAUGGAUUGGUGACUCAAGGUAAGGCUGGAGAGGGUUUUGUAGUGAGAAAUGACCAAGGUUUAACGGUUGGUGCUGGGGUCAACAACUUAGAUGGGGCCACGAUUUCAAUUGCUGAGGCAUUGGCUCAAGGAGGGCCUUCUUUUUGCUAGAAAGAAGGAUAUCAAGAAGGUGGAAGUUGAAGGUGACUCCUUACUGAUUUUCAAACUGGUUACUAGGGUUUGGAAACCCCCUUGGCAUCUCCAUUCUACUAUCAACGACAUUAAAUGGCUGGCUGCUAGUUUUCACUCUAUUCGUUGGAGGAGUGUUUUUAGGGAAGCUAAUUUUAAGGCUGAUAAGCUGGCUGAUGUGGGGGCUUCGGUUUCGGAUCCCCACUUUUGGGAUCAUUGUCUUCCCCCUUCAGUGUUACAAGCUUUUAACUUUUACUGUAAUGGUUCUGGUUGUUCUAGAGGAUUCUCUUUUUAAUAUAUUCAUUUUCUUAUCAAAAAAAUAGUCUACAUAAUUUUUUUUAAGUUAAUUUAAGAAAAAAAAUUAUCCUUAAUUUAUUCUUUAAUAAUUUCGUGUUAAAAUUUUAACUUAGAAGGAGGAGAAAAACUAUUUUUGGGUUAAAUAUUUUAGGUUUUAAUCCAAAAGUUGGGGAUGGUCCCACGUGGUAACGUCAAAAGUUGAAUAAUCAGAAGAGCUGAUUUGUUCUCUAGGAUCAUCUCGAAACUAAGGAAUAUAUAUAUAUAUAUAUAUAUAUAUAUAUAUAUAUAUAUAUAUAUAUAUAUAUGCAUGUAUUGAGACAGAUGUUUUGGGAGUUUAAUUCAUAAAGAAAAUAGUAAAAAAAAGGAAAUAGCCUUGACUAUAAUUAAUAUGUAAAUAAGUGUCCAUACUACAAGGAAGAAAAGUUUUGAGUAAAUAAUGUAUUUUAUCCUGCUUGAUGGUGAGGUACUCUCUGUGUAUUUAUUCUAUCAUUUACUCUCAUUUUCUCUUUCACAUUUUUCUCUAAAAUAAAAUAAAUUUUUAGUGACAAAAUAAUUAUCUAGAAACAAUCACUAAAGAUAUGAACAAUCUCUUCAGAGAUGAAAAAUCGUUUGAAGGUUGUCACCAAAAAACUUUAUCUACCAUUUUAUAUUUUCUCUGUUGUAAUUUUAUUUUCUAAAUUUUAAGAAACACAUGCAUGGCAUGUGUACAAUUGAUAAUGUUUAUUAAAGAAACAAGUAAUUCAAGAAAAAUAACCCAGCAGUGGGUAGUGAUGGCCAACAAAACUGGAAUUAUAGUAAAUAUUUAAUAGCAUAAGAGCAAGUCUAGCAGUAGAGAAAGCCCGGUGGAUAGGGAACCGAAGCAACCCAAUAGCUAACUUGCUCCAGCUCAUGUGGGCAAUUGGGCUAAAGGGGAGCUCGUGAAAGAGGGCAAACGUGAGCCCAAGGCCUGAGUGCCUGAGGGCUCUAUGAUACAAGGUUGACGGCAGUCACGUUAUUAAAAACUUUGCGUCAAACGCAUGCAUAGCACACACGCUUGGGGAGGCGUCAUCGACAAGAUUUCAAUCGGUGGGGCUCGCGGUUUGAACUCUGAAAUGUUACUGUUACUGGUGCCACGUGGCACCCUCUCGUGGAUUUCAACGGCUAUUUUUUCUGGAAUGACUAGAUGACGUAGCAUAAUCUCAACCGUUCGAUUCCAGAUCAACGGUCCAUAUUUUUUGACUUUAAAAAAGAAAAAAAAAUCUAAUAUGUUACUGUUAUGACACAUGGCACAAUCUGGAGGGUUGGAUUUCAAAUUUUCUUUAAUCCAACGGCAUAAAUUAAUUAAGUUAAUAAAAAUUAAAAAAUGUUAAAAAAUUAAUAAAAAAAUUAAAUUUUUUUUUUAAAAAUUGAUUUUAUUUUUCUACAAAUACCUUAUCAUUAUCUUCCACCUUACACCACAAUUUCAUAUUUUCUCAAAUACUUUCAACCACAUUCCAAUCUUUCUCUCAAAGUUUCUAUAUAUUGUUGUUUCAAAAGAAAGGGCUAAUGAUGCAUGUACAAAUUGGACGAUUAUUGAAGAUAUUAUGUGGUGUUCUAGGCUCUAGCUAGGUUGAAAUUACUCAUGAUCCGAUUACGGGUAACGAGACGCAGUUGCGAGAAAUGUGGAGCAACAGUCGUUCCCUUUUUCUUGAGAAAAUUGGUGGCAAAAGAACGGAACAAUCGCUCUCAAGUAGUUAGAUGAUACUUAGCCAAUCGUUUCCUCGUUGGAGAAACACCUUGGCACAAGCUAGUACUAAUAUUCGAAGUGGGAAAAAUUACAUGGAUCAGGUAACAAUAUAUUAUUUAUUUGUUUGUAUUAUACCCAAAUUUACAUUAGCUACUUUGAUUAUAAUUUUUUCUUCUCACGCAUUUUGUAGACACUUCAAUCACAAGCUUGGUAUAAUGCCAAAAACAAAAACAAAUCAUUCAACUGGUGGGAAUGUUGUUGUCCCAGAAUCAGAGUUGUGCAUGUCGGUCCAGAAGUUGUCAUGAACAACACCCAUCUACACUCUACGCCAAAUCAGGACUCACAUGUUCAUGAAAACGACACAGAACAAGUGCCAGAAGUGACCCCUGAACAAGUGGAGAUGGUUGACCCGUUAUCCACUUAGGCCUCAAGAUAAGAAGGCUUCAAAGAGAAAAGGGAGUGUUUCCAAGAAUGAUCAUGCAUAAUAUAUGGAAGAACUUGCUCGCCAAGGUGAAUUGACUUUGGCGAGGGAAAUGGCUAAAUUUGAGGUUGAUAAGGCUAGAUAUGAGGCAAAAGUUGUAGCUGCUGAGAGAUUAUUUCAAGCUAAUGAGAGAGAAAGAGAGCUACUUAGGCAAGAAAGUGAAGAGCUUAAAGAACAAAGAAUGGCUCAACAAGAUCGUGACAUUAUGAAGGAACCUGUAGAUGCGAUGUCUUUGAAUUCUAAAUAUUUUUGGAAUUCGGAGAAAGUGGACGUGGUGCGAAGGAGGCGUGCAAGAGAUGAGAGAGCAAGUAGAGAUGGUUCUAGCACCACAAAUUGGUUAGGUGAUGAUUUUCCAUUCACAAGGGACUAGGGAAUUUGUUGUGUCAUUGAAGCCCAUAAUUUUCCAAUCACUUUGAGUUGUAAUUUCGUAUUUAUUUAAUUUGGUACUUUAUGUAAUUUCGUAUUUAUUGAAUUGAGUACUUUAUGUAAUUUUGUAUUAUUUUGUUUGUACCAUACUUGACCAAUCGCGAAACUACCAAGCACCGGUCAACGUUAUACCGUCAAGGACCUAGAAGAGUUUCCCUCCAACCAGGAGGCCAAUCACAGCGCAACACGUGUCAACACCAAGAGGCCAAUCACAGGGCGACGCGUGUUAACAUCAAAGGCCAAUCACAGCAUGACACGCGUCAAGGCCAGGACAAAGCUAGAAACUCUCUUCUAUAAAAGGAGAUCAUUCUCCCAUAAUAACCCCAAAUGUCAUUUGUACUAAAUCAUUCACUAGUACUCACUAAAGGAUAGCUUAAAUCUAUGUACUUGUGUAAACCGUUCACAAUUAAUGAGAACUCCUAUACUCCGUGGACGUAGUCAAUCUGGGUGAACCACGUACAUCUUGUGUUUGCUUCCCUGUCUCUAUCCAUUUACAUACUUAUCCACACUAGUGACCGGAGCAAUCUAGUGAAGGUCACAAACUUAACACUUUCUGUUGUACCAAAGUCUUCACUGAUUUUGUGCAUCAACAUUUGGCGCCAUUUGUGGGAAAAGCACUUAUUCCUACCCUCUUCAGCUUUGUCAAGCUGGUUUCCACCAUUCGUACACUCCCUUUUGACCAGGCAUCCCUCUUCAACAUGGGAAGUGAAGGAAGCCACAUCACGCAGAACGACACCCCUCUCGCACCUGGUGCGAAGCAACGAAAAAAGGAACAAAAGAAGUUUGCUCUUCAGGCUAAAGUCAAUGAGCUGGAGGCUCAGAACAACAAGAUAGCGAUGAAGAAUGAGAUCCUCCAAGAGCAGUAUGAGAAGGUCUUCGAAAUGCUCCACGAGGCUAGAUAUACUAAAACACACAAGCUCAUCACCUAUGUGGAAGUCAACCAUAAACUGGGUGCCCCCCAACACGGAUGGUCAUUUGCCCUUGACAUAGGUAUUCAUGUUGAGAAGUGAGCUACUCAUCGAAAUGGUGACCAACCUGAGACUUCUCUCAACCCAGCUGCUUUGACCUGAAACAGGAGGAGUGGAAGAAGGCACCUCCUUACAGAAGGAGUGGAAUGAUUGAAAGCUGUCUUUCAUGACUGUCGAGACUUCCUAAAGCAACGUCGAGAUAAUCUCAUCCAUGUAAGCUCGAAGAUCAAUAACCCAAGGGUCUCUAAAAGACUCGGUCUUAUCCCAUGUCCCAGGCUGGCUACCAAUUUGGGGAAGGGGCAACAAGUCCUAGAGAAACACGAAGGUAUAGGGGACUCAGAGAUGUUCCGACAGAUAUACCUUGGAAGUCAGUACAGCGAGUCUAGGGAAAAAUCACAUGCUCUUGAUCAAACCUUCCUACUUCUAAGAGGAGAUAGAGAUUUACGAAAGAAAGCUCCAGUGGUACAUGACUCCACUCAGGACCCUCUUGUUCUACAACUCCUUAAGGAAGUAAACAAGUUGAAGGCCGAACAACAAGCUGAAAUACCUGAUUGGAACCAACCUAAGCCUGGCCCUCUUAGAAGGAGGAUCCUCGACACCCCCUCAAAGCAAAGACAAAGCAGAAGCCUGGCUUGCAACUCUAUACAGGAAAUGAGGAUUUUUACUCUCAGCAAGCCCAUUACAACAAGAGGGAUAAAAGUUCAUAUCAAGACAACCAGGGGUGAACGUACUGUCGACUAUUAUAACUAUGGGGCCAAGCCUCACUCUUUCAAAGUGGAAGACUAGGUACUGAAGGAAAUGCUAUUAUAAGAAGGCAUACACAUUACAAAUGUUUUGACUCUUAACCGCUUGAGAUCUUUUAUCACACAAGCCAUUCGGCAAAUAUUUAAAGAAGAGGGAAUUCAGACAACUUUUUCUGAGUCUUUUUCAUUCCUAGCACUGGAACACUUAGUCUAUGCUGACCUACCUCUAUACUCCAACUUAGAGCUUCAACAUGCGUACUUUGAAACAAAGUAUGUGAUACUAAGUGUUACAACCAACAUGGUUCACAUAUCGAAAGCAUAAAUCCCUUCAUGCAUGGCAAAACAUUCAUAAGCAUCAUUCAUGUCAAUUAACAUAAACAUCAUACACUCCAACACAUUCAUACAUAAACAUCAUACAUUCCAACGCAUUCAUACAUAAACAUCAUACAUUCCAACACAUUCAUACAUAAGUCAACUGUUCUUUGAAAGGGUUCAACAUACUUUAUAUCAUUCGACAUUUGCUCAAUGUGCCUUGGCACCUUGCCCUUAUUCUCACCAAAUAGGUGAUGAAGGAACACAUCUUCAUACCACCAACUAGGUGAUGAAAUGUACAACCUGUACUCUCCUUCAUGCCACCAACCAGGUGAUGAAAUGUACAACCCGUACUCUAAUAUUAUUUGGCAACUUGCCACUAUUAUCACCAACCAGGUGAAGAAGGAAAUCAUCUUCAUACCACCAACCAGGUGAUGAAAUGUACAACCCGUACUCUCCUUAAUGCCACCAACUAGGUGAUGAAAUGUGAUGAAAGGUGAUGAAGGAACUCACCUUCGUACCACCAACCAAGUGAUGAAAGCAACUCACCAUUCAUUCCACCAACCAGAAGACGAGUGGUACAACUUGUACAUGUGAACUCCUAGCAUUCACAAAUAAUAAAAAACCCUCAAGCUUUACAACUCAACUAAGGGAGCACUUAUGCCUAACAAGAGUUAUAGUCACCAACAAAGUCUUAUUGCAAGCCAACAACGGCUUCAGUGCAUGGUAUAAGAAGAUCAAGCUCUUCAACUCUCUUGCAUCUACUUCAGACAUUUCUCCUCUGUAACAAUGCAAACACUACAACUCGUAUAAAGCUUCACACACUCUUAAUCAAGACUAUUCGAAGCAAAUUCAAUUUAUAUAGUUCAUCCAAACCUUCGACUGUUACAAGGUGUGGCUUGCAUCACAAUCUCUUGCUUAACAGUGUGGAAGCAAAAUUUGUAUAUGUUGUCUCUCCCACAUUUUCAAAUUUCUAGUUUUCCAAAAAAAAACAAAACAAAACAAAAAGGAAAUUGGGAAAUUCAACAAAGCUUCAUCAAUGGAGGACAACUACAAUUCUUAAAAGCUUCACACACUCUUGAUCAAGAUAGUGUCAAGCAAAAUCAAUUCAUGGUACCCAACAAAGCUUCAACCUCAAAGCUUCACCUACAAAGCUUCAACUACAAAGCUUCACCACAAAAACUUCACCACAAAAGCUUCACCAACAAAAGCUUCAACUCCAAAGCUUCACCUACAAAGCUUCACCUACAAAGCUUCAACAAAUGGAGGGCAACUACAAAUGCCAAAAGCUUCACACACUCGUGAUCAAGAUAGUGUGAAGCAAAAUCAAUUCAUGGUACCCAACAAAAGCUUCAACUCUAAAGCUUCACCUACAAAGCUUCAACACAAAAGCUUCACCUACAAAGCUUCAACUCCAAAACUUCACCUACAAAAGCUUCAACACCAAAGCUUCACCUACAAAGCUUCAACACCAAAGCUUCACCUACAAAGCUUCAACUCCAAAGCUUCACCUACAAAGCUUCAACACAAAAGCUUCACCUACAAAGCUUCAACUCCAAAGCUUCACCUACAAAAGCUUCAACACCAAAGCUUCACCUACAAAAGCUUCACCUACAAAGCUUCAACUCCAAAGCUUCACCUACAAAAGCUUCAACACCAAAGCUUCACCUACAAAAGCUUCACCUACAAAGCUUCACCUAUAAAGCUUCAAUAUAUAUAUAUAUAUUCGAAAAUUCAAAAAAAAAAAUUCAAAAAUUUGAAAGUUCGAAAAAAAGAUAUUUCGAAAAUUCGAAAGGAGAGCCUAGGCCUCCCCUUCUUUGGGUCUAACAACUUUCAUAACAAAUGUACAUAAAAGAGGAGUUUUGAGCUACCACUUAGAAAGGAAAAUGGUGAAGUUUUGUUACUUUGGAAACUUGGCUACUAGGAAGACACCUCCUUCGUCAACUCCCUCGACCGGAGACUUGGGGGACUCCUACCAUAUGCUACUGUACCUUGAUACUCGGAAGUCUCACUACCACUCAGUGACUUGGAUUUCUCAAGUCUCCAACCGAGAAGUUUUCCUCACUCAGGAAAUUAAGGGAACACUUCCUCAACCUACAUGCUUCACUCACAAAGCUUCAACAUACAAGCUUCAACAAAAUAAAAAAUUCAAAGAACUUAGUGAAGAAGGCUUUGGUGUAUUUAACACAAUACGUUGAAAUGAAGCAAAACUUAUUUAUUGAUAUCUCCGAUAAGUUACAAAUAUGUACAUAUUCAUGUACAAAUAUGUACAUGAACCAAAAUAAACAAACAAAAGGGAGCAUUCACAAAGGUUGCUCAGGAGAAGUCUCAGCAGUCGGCAAAGCCCCAGAAAGAAAAGGCACCAGAGGGUGAUCAUUCGGAGCCUCAAUACUGGGCAGAACCCCAGAAGGAGAAGGCACCGGAGGUUGAUCAUUUGGAGCUUCAUUACGCAGUACAGCCCUAGAAAAUGAAGGCAAUAAAUACCUUUGGAAUAAACCCACAAACCUUUGAUGAUCAAGUAAAAUCUAACCAUCAGAUUCCUGCAGCUGGUCAAGCUUCCUCUUCAUAUUUGUAGCAUAGCCAUGUGCGAGCCUGUGCAAUUGUUUAUUCUUAUGCUUGAGCCCUCUAAUCUCCUGUUUGAGACUUAUCACUCAGCCGCCAAUGAUUCAACUUGGCGGGUUUGAGCAAAUAGGCGUUGGGCCAUAUUAGACACAAAACCUGCACACUGAACACUGAGAGCCAGAGAAUCCUUAACAGCCAAUUCAUCAGACCGUUUGGAAAAUAGUAUGUUAUCUUUGGGAGUGAGAAGGUUCUUGGCCACCACCGCAGCGGUCAUAUCAUUCUUCGUCACAGAGUCCCCAACGGUAAUAGGACCAGUAGGGGAUAAGAAAGAUGGGCGCCAUAUGUUGUCUUGAGGAGGCAUGGAUGCCUCUUCACCAAAGUUCAAGUUAAAACGACGAUCAGAUAGGCCAGACAUUUUCAGAAAUGAGGUCCAAUAAAUAUCUGAAGUACAAAAAUAAGGGGAAAAUUCAUACAAGCAAUAACUCUCUGAACGUACUUCUUGCACACAAUUGGUGCCCCUAUAAAAGAAAGGGCAACAGGGUCAUUUGUUCAAAAAUUAAAGAGGCACUACUCUCCAGAUUUCGAGAAGCAGAUUUUCCUGAGUAAAAUAUGUCGACAAUCCCCACAUGCAACAUCAGCUCCUCGGGUACCAUAGAUAACUUUGCCAAAGAUCUCUGACAAAAUUUAGACACAUAAAUUUUGAAGGUCCAGUUACCCUACCAUUACCCACAAGGGUAAAGGAACAACACCACUGCUUGAUAACUGAAAAAUCCCUAUGUGUGUCAACCAAUGUGCUCUGUGGCAAGGCAGACUAGCAAAAAUUGUGAAUCCCGUUCCUGGAUUUCACUGUUAUAAUCUACAUAUUUGUAUGAUUGAGAUUUUAUAUUAUUUUUGAGAAAUUAUAUUAAUUUAUUUGGAUUUAGAUUUUAAUUAAAUUAGUUAUGAAGUUUGAAGUUUGGAAGGUAAUUAUCAAAAAUUCGUUGACCUUUUGAGAUCACAAUAACGUUUUCGAAUAGGUCUCGAAGCUACGAGCGCAUAGGCGAAAGCCGUUUGUGAGUCCGAGUUAUAACGGUAUAGUUACGGACGUUUGAAAUUGUGAACUAUAGAUUGUGGGAAUUAUGUAAUUCUCACAUGUGGGUUAAAGGUUAAGGGAGUUUAAUAAAAGAGGGAGGGACCAAUUAGAAAGGGGGAGUUUUCUGGAAAAAAAGAAAGAAAGGAGGGGUAUGAUUUUUUUUGACCCGUUUUGGGGCGUUUUCGACCCAUAAAACCACAACCUUGACCCGCUUGUAUCUCCUUCAUCCGAUCUCCGUUUUGGGUGAUCUUGGUGUCCAUGGAAAGCUCUUGACGAGCCCUACAACUUUGUAGUGUUAGAUUUUCUAUUUUCUUAUCCAUUUGUCCAGUUUGAGGCAGCAAAGUCCCGUGGGUUUUCCGACGGUUUUGUCAUUUUUCCGGCGAUUCCGGCAACCAUUUCUUUCAAGUGAGGUAUGAAACUUCAUCUUCUCUUCAUAAUCUUCAAGUUGGUAUGCUUAGUUUGUGAUUUCGUAUUCAUUUUAGAGUUGGGUGUGUAGAACCUUAGAAAUCCGGUUUUCACCGAUGAAUUUGGGCGGUUUCCGGUUAGAAUUUGUCGUCGGCCUAGUUGUGAAAUGUGUUUCCCUAGCUAAGCUCUAGCUACCACAUAAAUUUGAGCUUAUUUAGUUAAUAUUGAAAAUUUGGGGUUUCUAAACCCUCCACCUUGACUAACCCGCGUGUGGCGGUGCAUGGGACCGUCCACGAGUGUUGUUUAAGUACCAAAUACCUUUUAGUGACCCUGUGAACCUAUGUCUAGCCCGGUUUCUCGAAAUUCAAUUGUUUGGUGUGGUGAUCAAAUUGGACCGCCACUUAUUUGUGUGAUUGAUGACAAUCAAUCGUUGGUUCGUUGUACAAUUUUGUGAACACCCUAGUUGUCAGUUGUUGGACCUUUGAGAACUUACAGAUCGAAAAUCCAAUGUACGGAUCUUCUGGAUUGAAUAACCGUAGGUUGUUGACCUUAAUGGACCUACCUUAUCGACGGUUGAUGUUCUAGUCAACAUGCUCUACUCUAGGGUGUCACUUAUCUCUAGUUUGUUGUUGAGGCUUGAUGGAGCUUAGUUGGCUCAUCACGAUGACAUGUCGUUUCCAGUUGACGUGUCUCAAUAUAUGUAUUAGCGGCACCAUAUUCAAUUAUACUUGUUUAUUAAAUGUACUUUAUAUUGAAUUGUUAUCUUUAUUUUUUUUAGCAUCGAUCUAUGUUUAUUAAUUGUGAAUCGACUAUAACUUGGAAACGUUUAUGAAAUAUGGUUAGAUAUGUAUGAUUAGUAUGAUGUAAAUGAUUGUUUUUAUGACGAUGUGAACCUAAAAUCUUAUGAGAAGUUUAUGUAGAACUUUUAUGUUUGUAUGAUAAGAUAGUGGUCAUGAGAAGUUGAUAGUGCAAGUGAUUACGAUGUAAAUCAUAACGGAUGAGAUAAGGGUACGUGGGUUGUGUGUUGAUCUUACUACACCAUGUAGUAUUUGUACAUUGAUGGUCCUGCUUGGUAUAUCCGCAUUGGGGGACCAUACGCAUUCUAAGAGUGAUCAUGCUUGGUAUAUCCGCAUUGGGUGAUCACUACCUACCUGAUUAUCUUGACCCUGCUUGGUUAAUCCGCAUUGGGGGGGUCACUAAUGGUCCUGCUUGGUUAAUCCACCUUGGGGGACCAUACUAUAUAUGGAUCGCGCUUGGUUAAUCCACGUUGGGAGAUCCUUAUGAUCAUGUAUGCUUAAGAGUGAUCAUGCUUGGUUAAUCCGCAUUGGGUGAUCACUUUCUAACAGUUGUAGGAGUGACUCUGCUUGGUUAAUUCGCAUUAGGGGGCAACUUCCUAUUUGGUUGCUUAUGUAGGCUUCGGCCAAACCGCGUCCCUCUAGCCCUAGUUUUUAAUGCACUUAUGAACGAUGGUUUUUGGGAAUCUUGGUUGGUUGAAUGGGAAAAGCCGUUGGAUGUUGGGUGACUCCUACGGAGUUUACAAUGACUUGAUUAUGAUUCCAUAAAGCAUGAUUCUAUACUUGAUGUUUAUAGAUUGUGAUCGAUAGUCUAUUUUUAUUGAAUAUCUCAUACUUGAAUUAUUGUCACUCACCCGAGCUCCGCAACUUAUCCGAGUUCCUUUUGGCUAGUGCACCAUUUCCAUGAUGUAGGCAUUGAUUUUACCUAUAACAGGUCUGAGUAGAUUGUGAGAAGCCGCUUAAUAUUUUGGUUUCGUUGAGUGGUCUGGAACCCGAUGUUGUUGGAUUCCGUUGAGUGGUCUGGAAUCCUUACUUUUGCUAAUUCCCAUAAAAUUAGUCUAGAACCCUAGAUUCGAGUGAAUGGGAAUUACCCACAAUGUAUUUUGUGAAUACAAAUUAGAAUUACCAUGUUAUUAUUCAUAACCCAAGUAGGGAUUUAUGUAGAGUUCUUUAAUUAAAUUCGUGAAAUGAUAUGCUAUCUCACUGAUUGAUAACGUAAUUAAAUAUUAAUAUUGUGCUUCGUGAUUCCUUGAUAUGUUACAAGCUAUGGAUUGAGAUAUAAUGUUGGAAACAUAGUGAUUGGUAUGAUGUAGUGAAAUGUGAUUUGACUUGUGUAUUGGAAAUGGUUGUGACAUGUGAUUGAAAUUCUUAUUGAAUUGCUUGGGUGAUGUGAGGUCUAGUAAUAGACCAAUAACCCAUUGUGAUGGGGAUUUGUUGCUCGAUAUAGUUUCGUUUCGUUUAGUCUUUGUGAAUUGACUAACUUGAAUCAUGUCUUGUUCCUUUGAGCCGUAGUUAUGCUUCUUGGACUUCCAUUCGGUUCUGUUGAGUGGUCUGGAACUGAGUUCUGCUUGGAUUCCGUUGAGUGAUGGUCCGAAAUCGUAUCCUGAUUUGGAUUCCUUUUAGUGAUGGUUCGGAAUCCCUUCUACUCAGCAAUUCCAUUGAGUGAUGGUCCAGAAUCGUAUCUUGAUUUGGAUUCUGUUGAGUGAUGGUCUGAAAUCCCUUCUACUUCACGAUUCCAUUGAGUGAUGGUCUGAAAUCGUAUCCUGAUUUGGAUUCCGUUAAGUGAUGGUCCGGAAUCCCUUCUACUCCGUGAUUCUGUUGAGUGAUGGUCCGGAAUCCCUUCUACUCUGCGAUUCCGUUGAGUGAUGGUUCAGAAUCGUAUCCUGAUUUGGAUUCCGUUGAGUGAUGGUCUGGAGUCCCCUUUGAUGCUUUGAUUCUGUUGGAUGGUCCAAAAUCCCCUUUCAAAAAAUGUAGUCUUCGGCCAAACUGUGUCGCUCUAGCCCUGCAUUUCGGUCUAUGAUAUGUGAUAUUGAUUGAUGUGAUUAUGAAUGAUGUUGGUUGUGAUUGUUGCCAUUAUGAUUAGACUUGUUGACCAAUGUGGCUAGAUAAUAACAUUGUGCUUCGUUGACCGUUCUUUGAGAUGUUGCAUACUAUGAUUUGCGGUGAUAUGUGAAACAUGAUGAUUUAUGUGAUGGAUCAAGUGGAAAUGUUAAUCGUCAUGUGGGAUUGUUAUGUUGGAUAUCAUUGUAUUUGUUAUGAUUAGACUUGUUGAUAAAUAUAGCUAGAAAAUAUGUUGUGUUUCGUCGUUGUUCUUUGAUAUAUCGCAUAAUAUGCAUUGUGGUAUAUUGUUGGGACAAAACGUUUUAUGUGAUGGAUAUUCGAUUGUAGUGAAACAAUGAACUACGAAUGGCUUGAUCCCUAUUAAGGGUACGUAGGCAAUCUAACGAGGAGGUUAGAUGCAGCCAUAAAAUAUACAAAAAUUUCUAUGAGAUUUGAAUCUUGAAUUAUGCUAUUUACAUAUCUUGGAGGCGGGGUGGGUUGAGAUACGGGUAUUUGGUGAUGUCAUGUGUCGAUCAUGGAUGUAUGUCGGGAUCGGGGCGUGAUAAAAAUGCCUAACCUUUACUCACAUCGAGAAAACACUCCCAACAGGAUUACUUUCUCAAAAAUCAAAGAAGUACCGCUCCCUGAAUCUCGAAAGCCAGACUCCCACCGGGAUUACUUUCUCAAAAAUCGAAGAGGCACCGCUCUCCGAAUCUCAAGAGCCAGAUCCCCAAUAGGAUUGCUUGUUCAAAAAUCGAAGAGGCACCGUUCUCCGAAUUUAGAGAGCCAAACUCCCAACAGGAUUGCUUUCUCAAAAAUUGAAGAGGCACCGCUCUUCGAAUCUCGAAAGCUAGACUCCCAACAGGAUUGCUUUCUCAAAAAUCGAAGAGGCACCGUUCUCCAAAUCUCGAGAGCCAGAUCCCCGACAGGAUUGCUUGUUCGAAAAUCGAAGAGGCACCGCUCUCAGAACUUCGAAAGCCAGAUUUCCUUGGAUAAAGCUUGUUUGCAAUCUUCACACGCAACAUCAGCCUUCCAGAUACCACAUACCACUUUUUCAAAGUGCUCUGACAAAGUUAAAACACGUGAAUCUUGCAACUCCCACUAUAUUGCUAUGACCGAAGGGUAAAUGAACAGCGUUACUACUCGUUGUUGGGACAAUUCCUAUAUAUGUCGACCUUUAUCCUCCACAGCCUGGCAGACCUGCAAAUAAAAAAAAAUGCUCAACUUUUCUUCACAUCCGAGAAGGCACUCUCAGCAGAAUCUCUCAAAAUACUCAGCUUCUUUUCCCCCCGAUAAUACAUCUGCAAACAUGCCACACCAGAGCAAAAGUAUCUCAUAUCAUCAGGGUUAAAAGCAAGAGUAUCCCAUAUCAUGCUUUUUCCCUGUCUUUUCCUUUGCCUUUGUUCUUACUUGCAAGAUAAGGAGAAAGAAAGCAAUCAGUCAGCACUUAGAAUCAAGCUUCCAGUCAAGAACUGAUUGCCUGGAACUCCUUGCCUAAUUACUUACCUGGCAUUGCUCUCGAGUACUCAUUUUCAACAUCUUAUGCUUUCAUAAAAGAUACCACAUCUGCCUGAGGAACAGAUAGGGCAAGUGAGAAGGAUACAAGGAAGCAUGUGAAGACAAGAGCAACAGAACACAUGCCGAUUUAUCUAUUACUUUGUCAACAGCAAAAGUAUCCCAUAUCAUCAAGGUCGAACGCACUCUUAAUUUGAUGGACUUGUUCUGACCCUCAAAUUGUUGAGUCGACAUUAUACUCUGGAGGAAACCAGAAAACCCUCCAGCCCAGUUCAAGAAUAAGCAUAUGGAAACUUACUUCUUUAAAAGAAAAAGUAUCUCAUAUCAUCUCUUCUCCAUGUUAUUUUCUUUGUCCUUGUUGAUGUCUACAAAACAAGGAGAAGGAAAACAAUCAGCCGGAACACGAGAUCAAACUUUCGAUCUAAGACUGACUGCUUGGAACUCUGAUUGCUUACUUUGUCUGUCACCUCUUUCGGUAGAUCUCCUCGUUCAGAGACUUGGGGGACUCCUACUAUAGGGUUUGUAUCGCGCUUGACCAAGCCCGAAACUACAAGUAAGUUUCAAGUGAAAUUGAUACAUUACCUUGUGCAUCUCCAUCGGUUAAAGAUACCACCCCUGGAUGGAGGAAAAGUACUUCCAGAGAAGAUGCCACAUCUACUUAUGAGACAAAUACAGCAAGUGAAAACGAUACCACACUUCAGUACUUAGAAGUUUCAUGAUUACUCAGCGACUAGGAUCUUCCAAGUCCCCAACCGAGGAGCUUCCCUCACUCGGGAACUUAGGGGAGGACUGUUUGUACCAUACUUGACCAAUCUCUAAACUACCAAGCAUCAGUCAACGUUAUACCAGCAAUGACCCAGAAGAGUUUCCCUCAAACCAGGAGGCCAAUCACAGCGCAACACGUGUCAACACCAAUAGGCCAAUUAUAGGGCGACACAUGUCAACAUCAAAGGUCAAUCACAACAUGACACGUGUCAAGGCCAAGACAAAGCUAGAAACUCUCUUCUAUAAAAGAAGAUCAUUCUCCCACAAUAAUCCCGAAUGUCAUUUGUACUAAAUCAUUCACUAGUACUCACUAAAGGAGAGCUUGAACCUAUGUACUUGUGUAAACCCUUCACAAUUAAUGAGAACUUCUCUACUCCAUGGACGUAGCCAAUCUAGGUGAACCACGUACAUCUUGUGUUUGCUUCCCUGUCUCUAUCCAUUUACAUACUUAUCCACACUAGUGACCGAAGCAAUCUAGCAAAGGUCACAAACUUGGCACUUUAUGUUGUACCAAAGUCCUCACUGAUUUUAUGCAUCAACAUAUUUAAUUUAGUACUUUAUUUAAACUAAGAGUAUCUUUAUUUAAUAUGGUACUUUAUUUAAACUAAGAGAAUCUUUAUUCAAAGAACAUAAACACACCAAACAAAAUUACAUAAACACACCAAAUUAAAAAAAAAAACACUAAAUGAGCCUAAAAAGCACACUAAAUGAACUUAUAAAACACACCAAACAAACUAAGAGCAUUCUUCUUCCCCCACAAGCUUGUUUUUAAGUUUUUUGAGCUUGUUUCAAUCCCCACAAGUGUUCUAUCAAGUCAAUUUGCAUGGAUUUGUGAUAGUAUAAGGAUUGGAGUAAAGUAUAUUGUUCAAUGAGCCUUUCAUUAUAACGUCCAUCUCUUUCUAAUGGCUCGUGUUCCAUGGGUUCUUCGGUGGCAUCAUGAGCACAAUAUAUUUGUGUUUUGGAAUUGUUCAUCGGGUUUGGUUCAAAUUCAUCAAUGGCAUCAUAAUCAUACUCAUCUUCCACAAUCAUGUUGUGCAGAAUGAUACAAGUCAUCAUGAUAGAUCAAAGCGACUCUAAAUCAAACAAUCUGGUAGCACCCUUGACAAUCGCCUAACGAGCUUGGAGGAUAACAAAACAACGCUCCACAUCAUUCCUACACCCCUCUUGAUAGCUUGCGAAGUGUUUUUCCUUUUCACUUCGCGGAUGUGGCACUGUUUUGACAAACGAUGUCCACCUUGGGUAAAUGUCAUCUGCUAGGUAGUAUGCUUCGUGAUAUUAUGUCCAUUGACCCAAUACGUAACUUUUGGUGCUUUUCCUUGUGGGACAUCGUUGAACAAUGGGGAUUGGGUAAGGACAUUGAGGUCAUUUUGAGCUCCUGGAACACCAAAAAAAUCAUAUCAAAUCCAUGUAUCAAAUGAUGCCACCGCCUCCAAAAUGAUACUUUUUGCUCAUUUUUUUGUCCCCAUAAGCUCAUUGCCGUGCACUUGGACAGUUUUUUCAGGUCCAAUGCAUACUAUCGAUGCUUCCAAUCAUACCAAGAAAACCUAGCAUCUCAUCCUUCUUCAGAAGCCUAUGCAAGUCCAUUGUCGUAAGUCUUAGAAGGUACUAUUUGGUGUAGGUAGAUUCGAUUGCGGAGCAAAACCUCAUCAGGGACUUAAGAAUGGUUGAUUUCUUCAUCCUUGCUAUCUCAUCCACUUGGUCUGCAUAUGCUCCAUAUGCAAGCAUUCGUAAGGCAUCAGUAAUUUUUUGCUCAUGAAGGAGACCAACGACACCAAAAGCAUCAUUCUUUUGCACAAAGUAAGAAUCAUGGUUGCAAACAGCAAUCACAAUUUUAUUGAACAAAUGUCGUUGCAUUCUAAAACGACGUCUAAAGUACAUAUCAAGGAAUGCACUGUUACGGACAAAAUAAUCGUCCAAUAGAUCUUACCUCAUCAUUGCCUGCUUCUAUCAAUGUUUGCGGAAUAGUUGGGCCUGGAGAUCUCAGCCACAGCUUGGAUGACUCGACAGGAAUGUGAGGCUCUUUGGCUUCUUGCUUCGUCAUCUUUCCUUCUACACUCCUCAUCCUCUUUCUCUUCCAUCUCAUUUUCGCCCUCCUGGAGAUUGAACAUUUCUUCCCCUUACUUAAACAAUUCUUUCUCUUGCUCAUUGAUUUCCCACAACAUCCUUGAAGAAGACAUUGUAAGAAGGAAGCAAAAAGUAUGAAUAAGGAUAGAGAUUUUGAGAGAUUUUGAGAGAUUUUAAUUUUGGUGUGUGAUUUCUUAGGAUGGAUGGUGGGUUAUAUGGAGAAAAAAGAAAGUAUCAGGUUAGAGAUAAUGUCAUGUGGCAUGUUGUGAUUUGUUAAAAAUCUUAUUGAAAUCUAUCCUCAAAGAUUCUAAACAGAUUGUGACAUGUGACGCGACGGGAUUGGUUAAAAAUUUUAUCCGAAAUCUAUCCUCAAUGAUUCGAAAAAGGUAACGACACGUGGUGCGACGGAAUUGGAUAAAAAUCUUAUCGAAAUCUAUCACCAAAAAUUGUACUUUCGAAUAAUGACAAGUGGCGUAACGAGACCGGUUAAAAAUCCUAUCCGAAAUUACAAAUAAAAUUAUUUUUUAUUAUUUUAUAAAAUAAAAAUACUAAUAUUUAAUUGCCUAUUGUCAUGGCUAUUUAGUUUAUAAGUAGAUAUGCAAAAGGCAAUUACUGUUCAUUGAAGACAGUUACUAUUCAGUGGAGGGCCUUCCUACACUAGAAGUGCUCUAAUGGGCAAGAAAAAUGGAUAUAGGAUGACGUCCAAUUCCUUCAAAAUGAGGAAUUGGAUUCCUUAUUUUCUAUAGGUCCCACCAUUCGUUUUACUCUCCAAGUUUAGUAAACGAAGGCAUAUCCUAUCAUCGGAAUCCAAUUUCGUAUUUUAAUUUCGAUUACGGAUUCGUAAACACACCAUAAGAGUUAUUUUCCGAAUCUAAAAGAGGAUGCUUAAUUUCAACUAAGAGGGUGCUUGAUUUCAACUAAAAUUUAAAAAGUGAAUCAUUGCCUUAAUCUAACGAGAGAAACGAUAGUUGAUGGAGAAAAGCACACUUAUACUUGUGAGAUAAAGAGUUGAUUUGCUUGACAUAUACUGAUAAAAUUUAAGUCUCAGCAUGGUCCACCACCAACGUCAUCAAUGUUGUACCAACUUAAUUAAUCACCUAGUAAAAAUUUUAUCACAAAAGAUCUCAAUGAUAUUAAGGUCAUGGAAAAGAUAUAAUGUUGUUCUAUUAUCGCGCUCAAAUACUGAUUCAUUUUCUUUUCUCUUUAGUUGUUCAUCAGGGUUCCGAUUCUUUCAAUAGUCUCAUAGUUGUAUAUGUGGUUUUGUAAAAUUUCUUCUAAAACUUUUCUCUUUAUUUGUCAGCAUCAUUGCCUGCAAUUAAAUUCCAUAGCAUGGCACUAUUUUGCCCAAAAACAGGCAUGCCCAUUGAGAUAGAAAGGCUCAUAACAGCCACAACAAGUUUUACAAAUUUUUAUUGCCAACCAUCCAAAGACUACAAGGCAGACUACAGAAAGCAAGACAAAAGGACCACAAAGUAAAUUUAAAAUACAACGAAACACUUAUUUGAGAAUACUAAUUCACAUUAUUAACUUUGUGCUUGUUAAAUUCAAUAAAGUAAAUGCUGGAGGAACCACAAUUUUUAUAAUCACGUUAGUUUUGUUGAUUUCAUAUGUUGAACACUCGUAAAAAAAAAAAUCCCUUACUUCCAUUGGGACUGUAGCAAAGAUUCAACUACCCAAUUUUCAAUGUGUUAAGGGAGACUCUUGUCUAUUAUUGUUAUUGAUGUAUCUUAUUUACGGGAAUCAACUAAGAGGGUGCUUGAUUUCAACUAAAAUUUAUAAAGUGAAUCAUGCCUUAAUCUAACGAGAGUUGACGGAGAAAAGCACACUUAUACUUGCGAGAUAUAUAUAGAGUUGAUUUGCUUGACAUCUACUGAUAAAAUUUAAGUAUCAGCAUGGUCCACCACCAACAUCAUCAAUAUUGUCUCAACUUAAUUAAUCACUUAUUACUAGGUGUUGAGUUUUAUUACAAAAGACCCCACUGAUAUGAAGUCAUGCAAAAGAUAUAAUGUUAAUUCUACUAUCAAGCUUAAAUACUGAUUGAUUUUUUUUUCUCUUUAGUUGUUCGCUAGGGUUCCGAUUCUGUCAAGAAAACUAAUCCUUCACAGAUAUUGCAUAUGCCACCUAUUUUAACGUAAAACACUUUCUUGCUAAUGACCAGUCUUCUGUGGCUGCUUGUAAGCAGAAGAAAACUCUCUUAAACGAUGACAAAAGUUCAAAGUCACCUCUGAAAGUCCAAAGCCAUGUUAUUUUUGCAAAGAGAUUGGUCACCUAAGGAAAGAUUGCAAUGGUUUUAAAAAUUGGCUCUUUAAGAAGGGUAAUGAAAUCAAUGUUUUUGUUUGUUUUGAGUCCAAUUUAAUUUGUGUUCCUCCUUUUAAUUGGUGGUUUGAUACUGGUUUCUCAAUUCACAUCACAAACACCUUGCAGAGAUUCACAAAACUAAGGGAGAAAAUAAAGAUGUCCACAAUGUUUUCGUUGGGAAUGAAAGCAAAGUGGUUGAGUCCAUUGGCAGUGUGCAACUUAAGCUUUCAUCUGGUUUUAUUUUUUCAUUAAGUCUUCCAAGCAAGCAAAAUCUCACCCCAAAUCUUGAUUUUAAAAGCCUUCCAGACUGCACCGAUUGCUGUAAGGGAAAACUAACUAAUACAAGAAUAAUGCGAUCAACAGAAGUAAAAUUCUUUUGGAGAUCAUACACAUUGAUGUGUGUAGUCCUUUUCCAAAUAAAACCAUCUGUGGCAACUCUUAUUUUGUAACAUUCAUUGAUGAUUUCUCAUGGUAUUGUUAUGUGUUCUUGGUUUCAUAAAAAUCAUACGCGCUUGACUGUUUUAAAAUAUAUAAGACUGAGGUGGAAAGAAAACUCGAAAAAUAUAUUAAAAUAGUGAGAUCGGAUAGGGGUGGUGAGUAUUUUGGCAGAUUCACAAAAACUGGUCAACAUAAAGGUGCUUUUGCAACAUAUCUUGAAGCAUAUGGCAUUGUAGCUCAAUAUACAACUCCAGGGACUCCACACCAAAACAAUGUUGGAGAAAAAAAGAAUAGGACCUUAAAGGACAAUGAUUCAAUCCAUAUUUUCAAGGUCUCAGUUACCACUUUUUAAAACAGCCAAUUACACAGUGAAUAGGGUUCCCAACAAGUCACUUCAAGUAAUACCUUUUGAAGCUUGGGCAGGUAGGAAGCCUGGCUUCAAUCAUAUUCACAUUUGGGGCUGCCAAGCAGAGGCUCGUUUGUAUAACCCUCAUGAGAAAAAGCCGGAUCCAAGAACUACAAGUUGUAGAUUCAUUGGAUAUUCUGAGAAAUCAAAGAGUUUUAAGUUCUACCGCCUUAAUUCCCAUACCAGACUACAAGAGACCAACAAUGCUGAAUUCUUUGAGAUUGGAAGAGGAAUUGGUGCAGCAUUCAAGUUCCGAGUUUGAAGAAGAAAGCAGCAAUAAAGUACAGCAUCCAAGUAUCAAGUUUGAAGAAAUAAGAUGUGGUGAGAAUGAUUUGAUUGCAGCACAAGACUUUUCAAUUACCCUCCCUGUCAUAUUGGCCCCUGAUAAUGCAACUCUACCAAAUGUGGAUAUGACAACGAAUUUGGAAGAACUGAUCCCUACAGACAUUAAUGAUCACAACUUUGCAGCACAAGUCAUUGAAGAUCAUGCAACGAUGCAACCUGUAGAACCAGCAUAAAUGACAUUAAUGCAUUCGACUAGGCAAAAGAAACAUGUGUUAUUACCUGAUUUUGUGUAUAUGCAAGAAGUGGAGUAUAACAUUGGAGAUAAAGAUGAUCCAUUGUCAUUCAAACAAGCUUUCAACAGCCAUCAAGCUAAUCUUUGGCAUGCUGCCAUGACAGAAGAACUUGAAGCAACGGAAAAGAAUCAUGUUUGGACACUGAUUCCUCUUCCACCAAAUGCAAAACCCAUAGGCUGCAAAUGGGUGUUCCAAACCAAAAGAAAUGCACUAGAAGAGAUUGAAAGAGACAAAGUCAGGCUUGUGGCUAAGGGAUUCACGCAACAAGAAGGCAUUGAUUACAAUGAGACAUUCUCUCCUGUCUCAUCCAAGGCCUCCAUGAGAGUAAUAAUGGCCUUGACAACUUAGAACUGCAUCAAAUGGAUGUUAAGUCAGUCUUUCUUUUGGUGAUUUACAUGAAGAUAAAGUCAUGAAUCAACCACCUGGUUUUACUGAGGAAGGAAAAUGAUCCAUGGUUUGCAGGCUCAACAAAUUGACCUAUGGUUUAAAACGAUCCUAUUGGCAGUGGUACAUUAAAUUUGAUCAAGUUGUUACUACUUUUGGUUUUGAAGAAACAAGACAGAUGACUGCAUCUACCUUAAGGUCAGUGUUUCAAAGUUUAUUUUUAUAGUACUAUAUGUGGAUGAAAUCUUACUUGCGAACUCAGAUUUGUCUUUACUGCACUCAACUAAAGGCAUGCUUACUGAGAGUUUUGAUAUGAAAGAUCUUGGUAAAGCUCAUUUUGUACUAGGUAUUGAGAUUAAGAGGGACAUAUCAAAGAGAAUGCUAGUUUUUUUCCAAAAGACCUAUAUUGAUAGAGUAAUGAAGAGGCUCAAUAUGGACAAGGGGUGCAGGUGGAGAGCUUCCCAUUGCAAAGACAGACGAGUUCAGCACUGACCAAUGCCCAAAAAAAUGAUUUGGAGAGGACAUGGAUGAAAGACAAGCCUUAUGCAUCACUUGUUGGCAGUUUUAUGUACGCUCAAGCCUGUACUAGGGCCUGACCUAGCAUUUGCUGUGAGUAUGUUGGGUCGUUUCUAAUCCAAUCCUAGUGUUCUUCACUGGACUGCUGCAAAAAAAGGUACUUAAGUAUCUUAAAAGGACUAAAGACCUUGUUCUAGUGUUAUACACAAGUUCAAAAUCUUGAGUUGGUUGCUUACUCAGACUCUGACUUGGCUUGCUGUGUGGAUGAUUGAAAAUCAACUAGUGGAUAUGUUUUCUUGUUGGCUGAUGGUGUUGUCUCAUAGAAAAGCUCCAAAAAAAAGGUAAUAGCUUCCUCAACCGUGGAGGCUAAAUUUAUUGGCUGCUAUACUGCUACUAAGCUUGCAAUCUAGUUAAGAAACUUUAUCAAGGGACGACUGAAAGUUGUUAAUUCAAUUGAGAGACCAAUAACUAUAUAUUGUGACAAUAGAGCAGUAGUCUUCUUUUCAAGGAACGACAAGAGACCUAUUACUUGCAGGCUGAUGGAUAUAAAGUAUCUGGAUGUUAGAGAUGAAGUGAGAAAGGGUCUUCUGAAUAUUGAACAUGUAGGCACUGAUCUCAUGACGGCUAAUCCCAUGACCAAGGGUUUGGCAGUUGUAGUGUUGAAGAAGCAUAACUACAAUAUGAGUAUGCGAGAGACUUUUGAUUCUGUUAAUGAGAAGGAGUAAAACACUCACAUGUUCCUCUUCUCUCUCUUAUUGUUAUGUUUCCUUAAACUGAUAUGUUGGAUUUCUUAUACUGAUUGUUUUGUUCUCACAUUUUUGUUUUAUUUGACAAAAUAUGAGCCAUGCUUUUAUUUGACAAAAUAUGAGCCAUGCUUGCUUGAGUCUCAGUUCAAGAGUUGGUUUUCUGCUUAUCAACCUGAAUUAACGAAAGAUGUUAGCAACAUAGUGCUCAUAAUUUAAUAUUUGUGGUAAUAGAGUACACAUGUGGAAGCAAUUACAUGUUAUUUUCUGUAAUCCAAUAUUUAAACUACUAGUGAAAGGUUGUUAAAGGUAUAUUUGCAAAUUUGAGGGACUCAGUGAUCACCUAUCACUUUAGUCAAGUAAGGAUCAUGUUCUUGGACACUCAAGGGAGAGAAUGUAAGUUAUGAGUGUCAAAGAACGAGUGCUCGCUGUUUCUUGACAUACAAGCAACUCGGCCAAUAUGAGUUUAUAGUUGAAGAAAUCAUGGAGCCUUAUCUAGUUAGGUUUAGGAGUCCUUAUUUAGUGCAAUUAAUCUUGAAAACCUUAAUUAGUUGACAAAGAAAUCAUUACCAUUUAGGACUCUUAUGAUACCCUAAUUGAUAUGGAAUGUCUCAUAUAAUCAGCUAAUAGGUCAGAUUAUAGGGAUAGUCAUUAAUAUAUUAGGAAGUCCCUGCACUCACAGUAAUCAUCUUUGCUUUGUGCUAAACCCCAUUUCCCUAGCAAAAGGACUUACGACUGCUUGAGUGGAGAAGACUCUCCAUGGCAGGAGCUUCCUCAGGUAAGUUCUCCAUUCAUUCUACGUUUCAUGCAUGCUCAUGGUUGUCGUUCUUAAUGUGUCGUGUUUUAAUAUACGCCUUACAAUGAUACCUUAAAUUCUAAAGUAGAUAAAAGAUGAAGGGCGAAGGUCUAAUUUUUGAUGUGCAUGUUGGAGUGUUUUUACUCCUCAAGCUUUUAGUCUCAUAGUUGGAUAAGUGGUUUUGUGAAAUUUCUUUUAAAACUUUGCCCUUUAUUUAUCAGCAUCAUUGCCUGCAAUUAAGUUCCAUAUUCGCAUAGCACCAUAUUGCCCAAAAACAUGCCCAUUAAGAUAGAAAGGCUUACAACAGCCACAACAAGUUCCACAAAUUUUAAUUGCCAACCAUCCAAAUACUGCAAAGCACACUACACAAAGCAAGACAAAGGGACCACAAAGUAAACUUAGAAUUACAAUGAAACACUUAUUUGAGAAUACAAAUUCACAUCAUUAACUUUGUGUUCGUUAAAUUUAAGGAAAAGCUUGAAUAACAGAAUAUUGGAUAGCAGGAACAGGUGUGAUAGUGUGUCCACUAAAGCCAGCCCCCCCAAGAACAUAUUCCCAUUCCUUCAAGCUCCUUUCUUUGCCUUUGUUAGUAUGGGCAAUCAUCACCAUAUCUAACAUCAAUUUCAGAUUUGCUAGCUUCUUGUCUUCUUUCUCAUAUUUUUCGUCGAUAACGGCAUCUAUGAUGAUCACCUUCCCCGUGUCCUUAGGAACGGCUUCCCGGCACUUUUUAAGGAUACGAAUGCAGUCAUCGUCACCCCAGUUAUGAAGAACCCCCUACAAUCAACCAACUUGCACUGUGUAUCAUAACACGAUUUUGUUGAGCAAGAAAAUUUAUAGCGAGAUAAUAAGAGAGCAAGGCUAGAAGAGCCACCCUUAACAUUAAUUUUUUUCUUCUCAAAUUAUGGCAUUAGCAGACCACUUGAUAUGUGAAAGCUGACGUAUUAAUUAACAUAUGACGAAUUCUAUUAGUAUUACCAUAAACAAAAGUAUAAAUGCUUAUUGCUUACCUUGAUGAUUACUGCAUCAGCCUUUGGAACGCGAUCAAACAUGUCACCUCCAACAUUCUCAACGCGAUCACAAUCCUGAGCAGCAGAGACAACAUGCGGAAGAUCAAAGUUAAUGCCACGAAUCCAAGGGCAACCCUCGACCAACAAGCGCAACAUAGUCCCAUUUCCCCCGCCGACAUCUACUAUUGUCUCAAGGCCUUUGAACACCUCUAUACAACUUUUAAUCACUGCAGGCACAGCUGCCUUUACAUCACAAGUCAUUGCAUCAUUGAAAAGCUUGCUGUGAUCAGGAUUGGCCGCACCAAAGCUCCAUAAGUCCUCCCCAUGUACUUCCUCAAACAAUUGAUUGCUAAUAUUUCCUCGAAUUCGGGCACUUAAGCCGUGCCAUGGUGCCAGCAUUACCGGACUACUCUCCAGCAAGAUCAGCGCCACCAUGCUAUUUUCUCCGGAUUUCAGUAGCCGGUGAGACAGAGGUGUUUGUGCAUAACCUUUGGAGCCUAAUUGGUUUGUGGUUAUUUCUUUGAAUAAUUUGAGGUGGACUAGUACCCUCAUGACGCGGUAAAGGUGAGAAGGAUCACAACUUAGAGCAGAUGAGAGCUCUAAGAGUGUCAUGGGGCUUCCAUGGCUUUCAAUUGCUUCAGCUAUUCCGAGCU
This 118101-nucleotide long non-coding RNA is filed under the name Malus domestica (apple). RNAcentral's name for it is "long non-coding RNA (MDOM_LNC004888)". Lineage: Eukaryota; Viridiplantae; Streptophyta; Magnoliopsida; Rosales; Rosaceae. The record is from RNAcentral.